Molecule: long non-coding RNA, 93659 nt
Filed under: Malus domestica (apple)
Lineage: Eukaryota; Viridiplantae; Streptophyta; Magnoliopsida; Rosales; Rosaceae
Description: long non-coding RNA (MDOM_LNC016011)
Source: RNAcentral
UUUUUUUUUUUUUUCGGGUUGCAGGAAGGGGUUUCGGGGGAAGAAGAUGAACAUGGAGGAAGGAGAAGGGGAAGGAGAAGGGGGAGGGAGGGUGAGUGCGGGUGCAGGGAGAAGACGAACUGGUUGCAGGAAUGGGGAUCUGGGGAGGGAGGGUCGCGGGUUGGGGGGUGUGUUCUGGGUUUCUGCUUUUGGGUGGGCAACACGGGUGGGGUGGGUUGGGGGGGGUACGGGGGUGGUUUAUUUCAGUUUUUUUUUUUAAAUUAAAAAAAAAAUAUUUGCCACGUGACAUACAUUUGGCAGCAACGUCAGCACUUAACGGAUUAAUAGAUGAAAAAUGUAACGGAGGUAUUAUUUUGAAAUAAAAUGGUACGUGAGGUAUGAAAGUGAAAUGUUUUAAAGAUGUUGUAUGGGUUUGUGCAAGACCUCAAACCUGAGGGGUUACUGUGUAAUUUACCCUAAAAAAUAACUGUUUUUGAAAAUGAAUUAGGACUGUAUUAUUCUGUUUCCAGAAUGGAAUAGCAUAACAAGAACAAAAGACCACCAGUGACAACAAAAACACAAACAGGAGAGAGGGAGAGACUAGAUAAAGCUUGUAUUACCAAUUCCAACUAUAACUGGAAACCCUUUAUUCUCCAACAAUGCCUGAAAAAGAUGAAUAAUGUAUGAAGGUACAAUCCAACAAAAACAUACUAAUAAGCUUUUUCUUUUGUAUACACUUUUAAGUUUUCAAAAUGGAAAUCUCUCAGACAAUUCCUUACUAACUUCACUCCUUACCUGUAUUGCUUGCACAGCAAGAAGCAAUCCUCGAUCCAAGUCAUACGAAUCAGGCAUUGGAGCAAGUUGCAUGGUAUCCCUGAAAGAGGAAGGAUCUGUGGUUGCUUCAUGAGAGAAGCCUGAAACACAGAGAGACAUAUCCAAGAAAGAUAUACAUCUCUAAGUCAAAGUAGCUUACCUAUGGUUGAGCUUUCAGCUUGGGAAGGAUCAGAUGAGAUGAAAUGCCAUGUCGCUAAUAUAGGCUCCAUCUUAGAUUUUGUUGGAGAUCUAGUCCAUGGCUGAGAUAGAUCCUCAAGCCGAGUAACAAGGUUUGGAGGAACACGAAUUGGUCUUGGUGCAACAAUCGUUUUGUCCUGAUUACUGGUCAUAGAUGUAUUUGACAAAAGGGGUGGUGUAUUAAGGCGAGGUACACCUGCAUCGUGAACAAACAUGAUCUACAUUACACGCACAGAGAGAGAGAGAGAGAGAGAGAGAGAGAGAUAACAAGACAGACCUUCUUUCCUCCAUAAAAUGAUUAGUUAAAAACACCAAUAGUGCAGGCCUAUGGUUCAAAACCAAAAAUACAAAAAAUAACUUGGAAACAAAAAGAUGUAAAGAACAAGAGUUAUUUCUAGCCUCUGACCUUUGCUCUCAAGAAUCAUUUCAAGAUAUGAUUUAGUGAUCCAAGGCUCAGUGAUACCCAUCUUCAAUGCUUCAGUUCCAACUGUCUGCACAAGAGUAAGGGAAAAAAAAGAAGGUUUAGUUGUUAACAAAUGACAAGACAAUAUCUCAGGUUUCAGAAUCUAUAUUUCCUUCAUUUCAAAACCAAAAAAUGUAUAACGACUAUAGUAAAAAUACAAAGUUCAUACUUUUCUAUCUGUGCCCCUCAGCACCAUGAAUGUCUCACCAAGGGUAUCAAUGGUUUCAAGUGACAAGGAAACAUUGCCAUUAUCGACUGAUUUUGAUGCUCGUUUGUAACUAACAACCACAGCAUAUCCCAAAGCCAGUAACCCGCCCAGAGUCAUCCUUCCAACCUGCUUUCAAUGAUAAACAGAGCAAACAGAUAAGAGUUAUUUAACAUCUAGAAACUCUACAGUACUAUUACACAAGGAGCAGGCCUUCACAAAAAUUUCACACAUAAAUAUACAUCUAAAAUCCCCAAAGAAUAACCCCAUUAUUUGCUCGUCACUGACCAGAAGGCUUCCAUAAGAACAAUAAACCCUAAAACAGAAUGUAGAUAGAUGAGGAACCAACCUAAAGUAUAUCCCGAUGAUCAGUGGCUUUGUGUAUUCUCUAGUGUCAAUACUAUAAUUGAAACUUAUGAUAAUACUUCUUACCUCAAACUCAGCUUUUGGCCUGAUAAUGAAAUUUUUGUCAACAAUCCUCUGGUCCCCCAGUGACAGAUAAUAUCUUAUACCCGAUUGACGCACCUUGAUCCAAUCAUUUAUCCGCGCUUCUUCACUUGCCGAAGGAGGCCUAAGAUACAUCUCAAUAAAACUGAAAGAAAAUAAAAUACGUGAAAGUUUCAGUUGCAGUAGAAUCAAAAUUUUAGGUAUAAAAGCAAUUCACUUUUCUUUAAUUCUAUAAUAUCAAAAGAAAUAGACAAGAGAUAGAUAUAACAAUCAUCCACCAGACUCACUUAUCUAUUUGAGCUUCACUUCCUUGAAAAGCAUAAGCAAGAUGCCCCUCUGCUGCCUGUAACGAAAAUGUGAAAUGUAAGUCAUAUUGGUGAUAACAUGAGGGUGAUGAAUAAUACCCUGUCUCAAACUAAAGUUUCAAGAAACAAGAUGGAGCACCAGUAAAAGCUAAAGGAAAAACAACACUGAAAUUGACAACAAUAUUGCCCACACGCAUACACAUUAAGGUUAAAUGAUUUGAUAGGCUGUAUCCUACUGAAAACUCACUUGAUUUGAUUAUAUACGCACUUAUCUUAAAAAGAUUGGGCCAGUUUAUUUCUCAGCCAAAAGAGAAUGUGGGCUAGUAUGUCAUCAAGUAUUAAAGAUAAUACAAAUAAUGUUAGACACUGAAAGCGGGUCUUUUCAGGCUUUAAUCAGAUCACCCAAUCAUAUAGCCAAAGAGAAACUUAAAGGCUCAUUUCCAUUGAAAAUAAAUUAUAUAAGGCAAAUACAGACCUCACUCCGGCAUUUCAGCUUGUAGAUUGCCUCCCUAAAUGAUGAGACAAAGCUGUUGUUAAUCCUAAUCUGCAAAAUAAAUGCUUUAUAUUGAGAAUUGACGGUAAAAUUUCAAAGCUAAGAUCAGUCAAACCAACCUGUGCAUGAUGAAGGUCUGGUUCAAUGUGCUUCCUGAACAAUGGGAAAAUGCUGUCAAUAAGGUAAUCCAGUGAACAAGAAUCUCCGAUAUCAUAUCGAACUUUGGACAGAAGGCUAAAAUGAACACCACCAACCUAUAUAUCAAAAACACACAAUCAAUGUCAUGUCAAUUUUCUUUUAACUGAUAUUCCAGAAGCACGGACCAACCAAAUAGAAUUAAGAAGAUUUUACCACUGCAACUCGAAUAUCUAGCAAAGAGCGAAGCUUUGCAUGCAAAGCAUAGGUACCAUCAACUAUUACCUGCAGACAAGAGGAGGAUAAGAACCUAGCAAACAAGGCAAAUCAUACAGGCUGCGGGCCAAACAAACUUACCACCCCAGAUGAAGCACUCUUUAUUGUUUUUGAACCAACACGUUUCUUUUGUUGAUAGUCAAAUACUGGAAUCAAUGUAUCCUCGCCCUUUGUCAAAUCCUGUUUUCAGCAUACACUCAUGUUACUAAGUUCACAGACAUAAUCAAGUAAUGUGAAACAUGACAAUAAAGAAGUGGAUGCAAACCUCGAGAUUUCUGACAAGCAUAUCAAAAUCUAUUGAACCCAGAUCAUUCCCUUCAUCAAAUCCAUCACGAUAGUUCUCCAUUGAUACAACAGUGCAACCAAUAACAGAUGCCACCUUUCUGCUAAGCUUCAGGAAACAUUACAAUUACAAUAAAAAUUAACAACACAACAAACACGAGCAGGAAUGCUUUUUGCCUACAGAAAAUAAUAUACAUACCUUGUUUUACCAGAACCACUUGGACCACCAAUGCCAACUGUUACAAGACCCUCUUUUUUCUCUCUAAGUUCUUGGAUAGACUUUACUAGCAAAUAAUAUCCGUGAUCGAAAGACUGCACCAUCUCAACACCAGCAGUAAUUAGGGCAUCUCAUAUAAUAUCAGAAAUGAAUAGGUUCAAGUAAUGUAAUGGAUUCCAUGUUUAAUCUUAACCCGAUUUCGAGAUUAAGGUCAUUUCCAGAAUUCUCAUUUCCAACAACAUAAAGGAUCGAAUCCAAAAGCAGCAAAUGAGAACCUAAACAUGCCAAAAAUCCCACCUAACCAGUAACCAGUACAAGUAGAAACACAAAUUACAGCUCCAAAACACAAAUCCCAAUUCCAUGAAAACCCAAAACACUAAGACAAAAAAUACUCCAACAAUUCACAACUACAAGCAAAAAAAUUGGAAAAAUCUUGGAACUGCAAAGCCAAGUACAAAAAACCCAAUAAACCAAAAAAGUGUAAGCACACAUGUGUUAGGUGAAAGUGUGGACUUCCAUACCACAUGGAGAGGAAGCGAUUGGAGAAUUGAGGAGGAGGAAGUGGAGGGUUGCUGCUGGAAAUAGUCGCGGCCUCCUUCUUGGAAGACUCGCUUGACGACGUCGUCGUCCAUUUCUGGGGUCUCGACGAGGAAGGCGAAGUCCUGGAAGUGGAGGGUUCGCUGGAGAAAUCGCAAAUCCCCCACCCAAUUCGAGCUCUGCACCUAAUCUUUUCUUUUCUUUUCUUUUCUUUUUUUCAUUGGAUUGUUUGAUAGAGAGAGGGGAAUCUUUUGCUCCAAUUGAAGAAGAGAGAAUCUUUAUUAUUUAUUUUCCUCGCCGCGCUUGUUUUUGUUUCAGUUUUCUUCCAAUUUGAGACAGCAUUGUAAUUAACAAAUUCAGAAAAAAAACACAAAAAUAAAUUUCAUGUUUUAAUUAGUAUUUGAAAUUUGUUCGAUAUCGAUAUUUUUGUAAAAUAUUUGAAAAUCACAUAAAGAAAUCGAAAAGGAUAAAAUCUAAAUCUCACUACAUAUCAAAAAAAAAAAUUCAAUUUCAAUUGAAGUCGACCGAUUUGGUAGAUAUUUAUUAUUUUCAAUAUACGAGUCAGAAAAACUCUUAUCACAAACCAGUGUUUAAAUUUUCAUCAUAUCUAUAAAAAAAUAACCCAUAUCAAAAUCGAUAUAGAUACAUCCAUUAAUAUUUCUACAAAUUUACGUAUUUAUAUUUCCACCGAUACCGAUAUUUUAAAUACUGAUUCUAAUUAAACUCUUGUUUUAAUAACAAAUUAAUUAUUAGUUUUCUACUGGUGGAAAUGAUUUGACGUGAGUGAUCCCAAGCAUACAUGAAAAUCAAACUAGAGAUUUAAGAUUACCAUGGGCUUAAAGGCCCAAAGGCCACUUCUACAUGAGAUGAUGAGAGCCCAAAAAAACAGAUGAGGAAAGUCCAGUCCCAAACUAACCGGCCCAAAUACUUUAUCAUCCUCAGCUGCGUGCGUUUUUGGACUUUGGACUCUCCUUAUUGGAUGCUGAAACAUUAUAACCCUCAAAUUAUGCAAACUAAUAUGGUAUUACUAAUUCAUUCGUGUUGUUCGUCGAAAAACAAUCAAAAUACUCAUAUUAUAGCACAUGAAGUUAUAACAUUUGUAUGAUAAGUUCAUGACAUAUUUUUUACAUCCUCACUUUAUAUUAUAAUUUAUUGAAUAAUAACGUCACAUGAUGAUAUGACCUCAUACUUAAAAGUUUCUUGUUGUAGUGGCUUGACAUGUAUUCACAACUACACAUCUCUCUUCUUUUUUUUUUUGUCAAACAACUAAUUUCAUUAAAGAAAAAAACACACUGAUACAAAGUAAGGCUUGUCUAAAGACAAUCCAUAACACAGUAAAAGUUCAACCAUUACAAAAGUAAACAAACAAGCCCCAAAAGUGAGCCCAAAAUAAAGUGUAAACAAAAAACCCUAGAUCUAGAAACGAGAAUCAAUUGCUUCCACCAAAAUAGGCACACCACCAUCGCCAAGUUGUCGCCACUGGUAAAAUAAUCAACAAAAUAAUGCGAAAUGCACUUUAGCAACCAUUAAAACCCAAAGCACUAGGGUUGGGCACGAGCCGGGCGAAGUAGAGAGAUUUUGAGUUUGUGAACCAGACCUAAUCCAACCCGUUUGAAACAGGCUGGUUCGGGACGAGUCCACGGGUCCAAUUACUUUCUUCUUUUUUUGUCAGACAUUGGGCUGCUUUUUUUAUUACCAAUAACACAUAUUUACAUUUACAAGAGAAAUGCCCACAUACAAUGUAUGGACCUCUAAAGGACAACGAAACCAAGCCCAACAUAAAAAACCCUAACAACCUGCAUCCUCCGUUGCUGCUGCCAUCAAAAUGCCCACCAAACUCGAACCAGUGGCCUGAAAUCAAGCCAAAUCGAGCCCCCAAAGUGGAUAAAAAGAAGACUUCAACAAGUCCAGCAAGAUCCUUUACAACAUGAUUUUCCAAAACUAAACUAAAAUCAAACCAAAACCAAUUAAAUCCAUAAAAUUUAGAAAUUAUAUCCCUAAAUCUAGUAACCCAUAAUUUUCAAAAAUCCUAAUUCAAACAUCCUAAAUCCAUGAACUCAAAAACCUAGAUAAUUCAAAAACCCUAAUUUAGAAAUUACCUUAAUUUGAGAGAAGAUGACAUGAUACGAUGGUGGUGUUUUCGACAACAGUGAUAGGUGGUCACGUUUGGAAUGAGAGCUAGGAAAUGAUGGCGAUGGUGGUGUUCGUAAGAGGACUCGGCUCAAGUGGGAGAAGGGACUAAUAAUCGAUAGGGAGGAAUUUGGGAGAGAGAGAUCGAGAGGGAAGACUCUGGGAGAGAGAGAUCGAGAGGGAGGACUCGGAAGAGUCUUCGAGAAAGAUGUGAUGUAUGUGAGAUUUGAGUAUGUGAGUGUGUGUAUGUGUGUGUGUGUGUGUGUAUGUGUGUGAGGUUUAUUGGAUACGGUUUGGGGUAGGGGCCUGUGACGUCAGAAAAUUGGAUUCGGUUCGCCCCUUUGUUUACUUGGACCCGCCCCUACCCCGGCCCAGGGCCCAUUUGCCUACCUUUACAAAGCACGCCUAAACUGAAGUUCAUGGAUGAAGAACUUGAUGAGCCAAAUAGCCGAACCAAGUGGGCAGAAGCUCGCGAGUAGGGACAAUAAUUUGGGAAUGAAAAAGCAUGAAACUCAUAUUUGCAACAAGAUUGCCAAACAUUGAAAAAAAGCUCAAAUAAAUUGAGACAUAGCUCAAGGAAAAUGAGACAAACUCAGAGCAAAACAACCAGAAAACAAGGGCCGAAGAAAAAGAAAAGGAAAAUGGGGUCUAGGCUGACCCUACCUAAGAAGAAGGGUCGGCGGCUAAAGGUGAGAUUGAUUUGGAGGUUCUAUGCUUGGGAAGAGGGAGUGGCACACUAUAGUUUGAGAGAGAUAUUAGUGGUUUGUCCACCUUACAGAUCUCUUCUCUAUUUAAGCAAUGUUUGAACUUGGAUUUAUAGUGGAAAAUAUGUCAUUCUAGACAAUUUGGGUAUAUCCAUUGCAUGCGAGUGACUUUAGUUAAAAGUUAUAAUGACUAUAGUUAAAUCUCAGGUCACUUAUAAGGUCAUAUGGCGUUAUAAUUGUCACUAAUACAAGGCCACAUGAAAAUAGUCUUAUAGAUCAUUGUUGGAUCCUCGUCGGAUCCCUUCCCCGGGGAUUCUAGGGAUCAACGCACGUGAACCGUUGAUAAAAAAUCGUGCGCCUCCAAUUAAAUGUUUUUAAUUUUUUUAAAAGUACAGUGGCCUCAUUUUGCGUGAAAAAUAUAAAAAAGGGAAAAUUUGUGGCCGUACGAUUUUUUAUCAACGGUCCACGUGCGUUAAUCCCUAAGAUCCCCAAAAAGGGGAUCUGGCAAGGAUCCAAAUCCAUCAUUGUAUUAGUAUCUCAUAAUGACAGUAAACUCGUCUUACCUGAGUUCAUUUCUGUUUUUUUUUUUUGGUCGAGCCCAAGUUUAUUACUAUAUAUACAAAUCAAGAUUAAAUUGUAUGAAACAUGUUCAUUAUCGCGUGACGUUUCAAUUCAAUAAUGCAAUGUCAUUUGUCGAGAACUUACACAUUAUUAUUUUAUUUAAACGAAAUGUCAAGUACAGUGAACAUAUUUCAGGUAAGUCAAUCUCGUACAUAUCGGUCGAGAAUAAACUAACAUAAAAAUGUAAUGAUGAUGAUUCGAUGAAUAUUUAAAGGAGAGAUGGACUUCCUGCAGCUCCUGAAAGUCAACGCCCUUCCUCGGCCACUACUUUAUGUUGGCUUUUUGUCUUUUACAGCUGCCCCUUCUUUCUACAAUUUUCUUUUUCUACCCGCAUGUUCGCUCAUUGACUUUCAGAAGGCAUCGGCAUCAUGCGCCACUUUCGCCCUCCAAAGGCAUGUUCCUAUGUGUGCGCCCUCAAUCCCUAUCAUGUUUAGCGCAUGUAAAAUAUUAGACUGUGAACUAUAGGAAGGUUGACAAAUUUUCAUAAAUCGUCACAGGUUAGCGCACAUAAAAUAUUUAAUUGCCUAACAUAUGUGAAUUCUAAGUAGGAAAAGAAAUCUCGUAUUCGUAUCCAUUUAUCAUACAUUGUGUUAUCAGUUUUUAUUAUGUACUAUUUAUAUUUGAAUUUUAAAUUUUAAAUGAUUUCUGACCGCACGAUAUACGAUGAAUAUAUACGAUUGUUGGAUCCCUAGUAUCCCCAGGAAAAGGAUCCACCUCUAAGUAGGUUGACAAAUUUUCGGAUCCUUUUCCCUCUAAGUAGGUUGACAAAUUUUCAUUAAUCGUCACAACUUACCCCAAAUAAAAUAUUAAGUCUCCUGUCAGCAUAUGUGAACUAUAAAUCGGUUGACAAAUUUUCAUAAUUCGUCACAAUUAGCGUACAUAAAAUAUUAGAUUGCUUGUCAAUAAAUGUAACUCUAGGUAAGUUGACAAAUUUCCGUAAUUUUUUUUAAGACUUUUAACGAUCUCAUGAGAAAUAUGGAAAAGGAUUUAUGCCAAGUUCUUUUUCUGGGGAUCCGGGGGAUUUGUGAUUAUGAUCGUUCAUCGUAUAUCGUGCGAUCAAUUUUCGUUAGGUACUAUUUAUAUUUAAUUUUAAAUUUUAAAUGAUUUAUGAUCGUACAAUAUACGAUGAAUGAACACGAUUGCGAUAUCCCUAGUAUCCCCAUGAAAAAGAUCCGGCGAUGAUCAUUUUCCGUCUAAGUAGGUUGACAAAUUUUCAUUAAUUGUCACAACUUACCGCACAUAAAAUAUUAAGUCGCCUAUGAACAUAUGUGAACCAUAAAUCGGUUGACAAGUUUUCAUAAAUUGUCACAAUUAGCAUACAUAAAAUAUUAGGUUGCAUGUCAAUAUAUGUAAACUCUAGGUAAGUUGACAAAUUUUCGUAAUUUUCUUUUUAAGACUUUAAGAUCUCAUGAGAAACAUGGAAAAGGAUCCUCGUCAUGUCAUUUUCCUGGGGAUUCAGGAAAUUUCGUGAUCAUGACCGUUUAUCGUACAUUGUGCAUUCAGUUUUCGUUAGGUACUAUAUAUAUUUAAUUUUAAAUUUUAAAUCAUUUUUUAUCGCACGAUGUAUGAUAAACGAUCAUGAUUACGGGAUCCUCCGGAUUCUCAGGCGAGGAUACUUUUCUGAUAAACAGACGAAAGAUAAGGUCACGUGUCUACCUAUGAGACAGGGAUCAUGGCAAGAAAGUGAGGGGAGUUGCAUAGCAUCCUUCCCCGACCUGGAAGAGUACGCUUGAUGGGGACGAAGCUUACCUGGGUGGAGAGAGAGAGAGAGAGAGAGAGAGAGAGAGAGGGUGCGCAGGAUAAAGAGUGGGGGAAGUGAGUCACCAUUUUGUCCCACAAACCCAAACUCCCACUUUUUUUAAUUACUUGGGAUUGGAUUUCUGAUUAGGAGGAAGAAGAAGAAGCAGAGAAAAAUGGAGGAUCUGCCGCCUGGUUACCGUCCCAACGUUGGCGUUUGCCUCAUUAACUCCGAUAAUCUGGUACCCAAAUCUUCUUUUAUCUUCUUAAUCUCUUUACUUAACUUAAUUAUUCUUCCGACUUUUUUUUUGUUGGGGGUGGGGGGGGGUCUUGGAUGUUUAUGGGUUAGAUAAAAUCUAAUUUGUUAUCAUGUUAACUCUGACAAAACCCAGUAAAUCGAAUCGGUUGUACUUGCAUAUGUGAGUUAGGCCGGUUGAUCAGUGCUCUGUUUUACAUAAGUUCGAAUCACCCUCGUAGAUUGGAGUAGUUUAGAAUGUCGUUUUAGAUGUGAUUUUUGUUUUUUUUUUCACUGGGAACUAACUUGGGUUGGUUGUAUACUUGUAUUUGUUAAGUGUCUGUAUAUAUUUGAGGGGAAGAAAUUGAAACUGUAGGAGAUUUUAUUGCAGGUUUUCGUUGGAUCAAGAUUGAAUGUUCCGGGUGCAUGGCAGAUGCCUCAGGUAUUAACCCACUUUUUAAAAGUUGCAAAUAGAGAUUCAUGAAUCAUAUACAAUGUUGAAACUUGAAAAGCAGGCUGCUUUAAUCACAUUUAGGGGCUCUAGGGAGGUCAAAAACACUUUCAGACAAUCAAAAGCACUUUUAACAACGUUUGGCGUAAAAAGUUAAAAUACUUUUGGAAACACGUGUGUUUUUUAGGAUUUCUAAAAGUUUAUGUUGUGUUUCUAGCAAACGUGCUUUUGCUGAAACAGCUUAUGAGCAUAAGUGCUUCCGAUAAAAGCAUCUCCAAACGGGCCCUAUGUACAGGAUUAAGUUUUUUGCCUACUAUCUGCAUAAUGUUCCUUAUAGCUCAGGGUAGAAAGCCUUAGUGGUAAAUCCAACACAGUAAAGCCUCUUUGGGAGUACAGAUUUUCCGCCAAUCACUGUAAUGGUUGAACCUUCUGUGUGCUUACUAUCGACUUCUUCUGUUUUGUCGAAUUACUUUGGUUAACCUUAGUUGCAUAAUUCUUCGUUUUUGUUUUUCGGAUACUAAAUCUCAGGGGGGCAUUGAAGAUGGCGAAGAACCAAAAACUGCAGCUAUUAGGGAACUACGAGAAGAAACCGGGAUAGAGUCUGCUGAAAUCAUUGCUGAGGUUUGUAUAUAGAACACUGGAAAAACUCCAUACCAUCAUGAUACUCACAGCAUAUGUGCAUUAUUCAUGAAGCAAUAUCUAUAAUCCCAUUUUUUCCUCUGUUCUGAACUUCUAAGUAAUUGUUAGAUGGAGUUCAAAGCUUUUAAGUUACAGUCAAAUUAUGUUGCAUCCUGAGUUUCAUAACUAAGCUGAUUGCUGAGGGAGCAGCUGAAGUAAAUUUUGCAAACUCAUGACAGGUUCCGAAUUGGUUGACAUAUGAUUUUCCACCUGCCGUGAAGACCAAAGUUAAUCGUCUAUGGGGAGGUGAAUGGCAUGGGCAAGCACAAAAAUGGCAUGUCCUUAUUCCUUCACAUGCACAAACUUCAUGAGUUAAAAAAACAUGAAUCUCAAGUCCUGCCUUCUUAAGCUUGGCACAAAAAUGGCAUGUCCUUAUUCCUUCACAUGCACACACUUCAUGAGUUAAAAACAACAUGAAUCUUAAGUCCUGCCUUCUUAAGCUUGCAACUUGUCUGCCAAAACUUCUAUUAGAAUGUGUCUGAUGUACUAGGAUUAUUUCCUCAUUAGUCACCAACUUGUCUGUCAACAUACGUUUUGAUAUUAAAUUACUGCAGAUGUUUGUUAAUGUAACAUGUGUUCCUAUGAAUACUCGGCAUGUGUAGUAGCGACUCUGGCACAUGAAAUACCUUUGUAUUAGUGUUACAACUGGUGAAUUUCGAUAUUGAGUUUGCUAACCAUGUAAAUGUUCAGUCGUCAUGCUCCUCUCUCGGUUAAAAUAUGAACUUGCAUGAUGUAAUCUUUCAGUUGUUAGAAUGUGCUUCAUUGCUGCUAUAAAUCCGUAUGCAUGAGUAUUUGAAUGGAUGGCAUAAGGAUGCACAAGUUUUACUUCCUAAUGACGAACUUGGGCAAUUGACAGGUUUCUUAUGAGAUUCACAAAAAAUGAGAGCGAGAUCAACUUAGCUAAUGGAGCAGCUGAUCCGGAAUUUGCAGAGUGGAAAUGGGCUAGCCCUGAAGAAGUCAUCGAGCAGGUGCGCCGAAAAAACUAUCCUUGUACUUAAUUAGUUUCAUGAAUAUGUUUCACGGACAUGAUAAAAAACGGGUUGUCUGCUGAAUACAGGCAGUCGACUACAAGAGGCCAGCAUACGAGGAAGUUAUGAAGACGUUCGAGUCCUACUUCGAUGGAAGUAGUUUAUCUGCGAAAUGUAGAUCGUCAAAAUGGUGAACGUUCUUAACUCCUUUUACAUCGUUGGAUGUGGAUCAAGUAGGGCUCGUGCUUUUUGUAAAUGAUAACGAGAGAACUUUGAAAUUAGAUUGUGUUUCGGUUGUUUCUGUAACUAUAUAUCAAUAAAAAUGUAUGCGGAUGUACUUGUUGCUUCAUAUGGUUUUUCCUUGACGAAAAGCUCCAGGUACUGUUCACUUUAACGAAAAACCACAUUUUUACACUAAAAAGUCAAUUCUGGUACUAUUUACUUUACUCUUUAUUUUGUCCUUAUCAUUAAAACUCAAAAUUUUCAAGCCGAGGUUUUUUUAUUUUUUUACUUUUUAUUUUUUCAGUUCCAUUCGAAAAUAUCAAGCCAUUAAUUUGGGCCAAGUAGGCUCCUGGCCAGGCCGAAGCUCAAAACGAAAAGAGAAGAGUAUAGUGACAGAAAUAAACAAGAAUGUGUAAUAGACAAAUGAGUUUGCAGAAAUGAUUUGCUGUGUUUCAUAGGAGCCAAAAGUUUUCAAAUUCCCCUACCUUAUUUGGAAUUUCAAACGCAUGAAUCUGAAUUAGCAUUCUCAUGACUAAUUCCCAGAAAUUCAAACUCGUGCUGUAUGCCGGAAAGUUUUAACCGUGAUCAGGGAAGCACAAAAACGGCUUUAUUCUGAAAAAACGCUUCAUUUGACAACCCACAAUAGGUAGUUACAACUUACAUUACAACCUUAAGCAAUAGAUCAAAAAAAAAAAAAGGAUCAAAGCAAGUUCUGACAUCGCGGAUUCAUCUGCUAUUUAAUCCUCACAUCUUUAUGAUUGGACCGUAUUUACAUAAACUAUCAGCACGAGCGGCUUCAAGUUUCGUAUAGAUAUGGUACGACAUGUUCUACUCAUCAUCCGGCAACCAUCUCUACUUCUACCCACUUCCAUCGAGCUGUCCGUGAGAUAGGAGGUGCGCCAUGUAAUGCUGCAAACAUGUGCACAAAACGCAUAAGUUAAAAAGCACUCUGAACUCGAUUUCAUUCUACGUAACAGUUAUCCAUGGACUUGUUGAAGUAAAAUCCGGGGCAUCGUAUUUGAGCUAAAAAAAAUCAUAGCCGCUGCUUGAGAAUGUUGAGGAUCGUUCACAAAACAGAUCAAUCGACAUAAAAAAUGAACUCUACCCCGAAGUUAACAACGAAGAGGAGGGUGAAGGAAGCAGUUUAGCAGGCAUAUAAUGGAGCUUGUUAAUGCUUUCAUAAGACCAAAAGUCUCUUCAGAGCUGAGCUCGCUGAUACACCUACUAACAACUCCUACAGCCAUUCUUUUGGGGUGGGGGAACAACGCAGAUAUUCACCCCUCCGGGUAGGGGUUGAACUUUAUUUUUCUGAAAACAUUCGACGCAACACAGUUUUGAUAACUUUCCCACUCUGGGCGCAAUUUGCCUUACAAUGGGAACAUAUGAAUUCUUAAAGCAAAACUGAAAACCACUCUACCCUAAGCGAUACGACAAGAUGGAAUGACGAAUGAGAACGCUUUUCUGGCUUGUAAAAAUGAGAAUUUUUGAAUCCGGAAGAAUCAAAACACCGAUCAACAUAGCAAUUCUCACAAGAAAAACAGAAUUAUGAAAAUGUAGUUAGAAAUUCAAAUUCAAGUAGAAACGAGUGACUUACUGCAUGAUAAGCAUAGGGUCCUUUCCCCUGUCGCUCAAAGUGUUUGGCCAUGAUGCAAUACUCAAUCGGACCCCAUUCUUCGUUUUCGAAACAGUUACCAAGCGCAGCUUUAUACAACUGACCAACAAACCAAUACAAACCAAAUCAAACACAUAAUUAUUUUCGUAAGACGAUAUUCUAAACUACUCGAAUCUCCUUAGAGGAGUUUCCAACACAUUGAAAGCUAAAACCUUUUGCAUUCAAAUAAUUUGAGUUCUCUCACAAACCUUUGCCGUGUCCGUCAAGAGCUCCGUUCCAGCUGGGUAAGAAGCAUAGAACUGGUCAGCUCUCGAAAACCCAGCUCGAGUUCUGCAACACCAAAUACAAAAACCAUUGAUGAGAACAGUUAAGAACAACAGGAACUUCACAACCCAGAUAUAUUUUUUUUCCCAUUUGAUACGCGUUCGAGGUAGGUUGUAAAGCGACUCACGUAUUGCUUGUGUAGGCGUAGGUCAGGACUGCUGUGAAGCAGUAGAAUCCGGCAUACGACACCAUUCUCCGGAACUUCUGAAUCUUCAGAAUCUCUUUGCAGCCAUUGUACAGAUUCAUCGUGAUUUGCGACUAGAAUUUGAGUACCUGAAAGCCAAAACUUUUGCAAAUUUCAGCCGCACAUUUGAUCAAACAUGUGGUGUGCCCUUCACUUUUCCGGCGUCGAUGGAACAUGCAGAGGUUGCAAAAUGGCCAAAGUAUUAAGCAACUUGGGCCGGCACCACAUGUUGUUAAAGAGUUUGACCCGUUUGGAACCCGGCUGGGCCCAAAUAACUUUUUUUUUGUUUUUUCUUUUUUUUUUUUAAGAAAGACACGUUAAAAAAUAAUUUUUUUAAAAAAAGCAGAAAGUAGUUGGACGGACGGUGAGGGUUUUUUGUUUUUUUUUUUGUUCCAAUGGAUGGACGGUGAGUUCAAUUCAUAUAAAUUUAUAGGUUUGAUUUUAGUUGACUUAAAAAAAGUUAUAGCUUUGACUAUGCUUUUAGGCCUUUCCAAAUCAGAAUAUCAAAUUAUUUUAAUCAGGUCAAAGAUACGAUUAACAUAAUUAAUUGAUUAAUUUCUUUUAAAAAAGCCGGUGAGUUAUUUAUCAACACAUGUUUUAACUUUUAUAGCCACCUUCAAACUCCUCUUCAACCUCAUUCUCCUCCUCUCCUUUUUGCCUUUCUGUUCUUUCAACUUUCCCUUUAUCUUCCCUUGGUCAAAUUCAUGCCCCACUGUACCACCAACAUCCAUUAAUUCCUAAACAAGCUCACCGCACUAAGUGUGGUUUGGAAAUGAGGUGCUUAAAAAAAAAGCACUCAUGAAAAAAAGCUGUGAGGGUUUUAGGUAUUUGAUAAACUGAAAAAAAAAGUUUUAUUUUGGAAGCUGCUGUGAGAAUAAGCUGAAAUCAAAGGAAAAAGCUGAAGCUACUAUUUGUAGCUUUGGAAAACUGGCUUUUUUUUCAAAGCACACGGAGCUACAUUGCUCCUUUAAUGAAAAGACCCACUAUCAGACUGCUUUUUUUCCAAAAGCACUUUUACAAAAAAAUUUACCAAACACUUUGCUGAUUUUUUUCACAGCCGCUUAUUCUCAUAGUAGUUUUUUUUCAAAGCACAACAAUACCAAACCAGCCCUAAAUCAGGCUACUUCUUUGAAAACAAAUCCUCUCCGGAGCUAAGGAGUUGGAGCCUUCUCAUCAAACAAUCUGGACCGCUAAUUGAUGUGCAAGUCAAAUCAGGAUUAUCGAUUGUGUGGUGGACCAGUAAAAUGAAUUAAUAUAAACCGUUGUAUUUAAUUUAUGCGGCCCAGAUUGUUUGAUGAGGAAGUUCCCGAGAGGAUCCGUUCUCCUCAUAGUCAACUCCACCACUUCCUCUUCCAUUUUCUACACCUUCUAUGAAGCUCAGAGCCUCGAAGCCUCACUCGAUCGCGAUCCCUCGCAAACCUUGCUUCUCGUUUGGCUCCGAGGCAGCCUGGGAUGCUCCUCCUUGUUCGGUAACUUCAUGGAGAUCGGUCCUUGGCAUGACAACCUUCAUGGCGGCACGAUGAUCAUGAUCAACAAGUACACUUUGUGCUUGAGUCAAACCCGGGUGCUUGGAACAGAGUUUUCGGCCAUAUUUUCCUCGACAACCCAAUUAGUUCCGAAUUUAGCAUCGCACCUCUACCUUGCUAACACCACGUAUAUCGAACUUGACACUGAAUUGUUGAGGUCUCACCCGCUUUACAUAACGUGUGAAAGUCAGGCUGACAAGUAUGUGCCAGCAAUUGCGUACUACCUAUUGAAUAAGAAUUAAAGUUCAGAAGGAAAUUUGCUAAUUAUAAAAAUUCAGGAUGGUAAUUGGCAACUCCUUAAAAGUUCGAGGAGAAAAUCGGUCAAUACCUCUUUUUAAAUCCUUUUCUUCUUAUUAUUAUUUAGGAUGUUUUGUUAGAUGAUAAUUUUAGAUUGGUCAAAUUUUAUGUCCUUCCACACAAAAUUUAUUUCAUGAAUAAAAUCCCCCUUGUAUGGUCAAAGUUUAUAAAAAAUCAAAAUCAAACUCAAGAGUCAAAAGUGCACAUGAAGGCAUUAACUAACUUCACAAUCAUCUCACUUGAAAUAAUGAAACCCAACUGAUUGAACAUAAUAAUCAUCAUAAGUGAAUUGCAAUGUGACACCGUUUCUUUAAGCUACGGAGGCUGCGAUGAUGGGUCCCGGUACCUUAGGUUUAGAAUUCACAACGCUUCUAGAUAACUAAUUCAUUUUUCAUGGUAUGAGUAUAUUAUCACAUUCGACAACCGUGUUGAUGAAAUAAGAGAUAUCUAAAUAAAAAAUUACACAUGUAUUUAUUUUAUUGACAUGAAACGUCAAUUUGAUGAUGUAACCGUCCCACAUAAGUAGUGUGCUCGUACAACGUAAAUAUUUAUCCACAAAGAAUGUAAUAUUACGUGAGCAUGAUGAUUUCCUUGCAUGAUCUGUGUCUUUGUGCAUUUGUAUUGUACGGUUGUACCCAGAGAAAGACAAGAAAGAAAUAAAUCGCGUAGGCAACAAUGCUUGGAGGUGAGGUGGGUGAGAUUGAGAAAGCCAAAGCAAAUGAAUGUCGCAAGAAAACAUGCAAUUUAUUUGGCAUCUUGUAUUUCAAAGAUUGGAGAAAUUUUCGGUGUGUCGUAAAUUGGAAAAAUUUCAAUUAAUUGUAUUAUGACAUUUAGUAUAUCAAGUUAUUUUCUUAGCAUACUGGAAAUUUUCUUCAAAACUUCUUGUGAUUAUAACAACCCCUAAAAUUUGUACCAUUUAAAAAUACCGAACCAUGUCCUGACAUACUGAAAAAAACAUCUCCAAAGAUUCUUAUCAUUACAUCAACCCCAAAGACUUUGCUUUACAACUCUUCCACACUUUGUGAGGGUGCAAUGUAUGUAAGCAAGCACGCUUGGCCGAGAAUUGACUUAUAUAAAGCGACAACUCUUUAAAAUUUAUCCGCAUCAUCACAAAAUUCAACUUUUUAAGACAAUUUUAUAAUUAGUUUUAUAAUUAGUUUAAAAUACCGUUGCAUUCAAAAUCACAUGUAUCAUGCAAAGUCGUAUACGUCUAUUUCCCUAUUUAUUAAGCCUUAUCGUCAAAGGUGUCUGCACUCCCUUGCACUUCACUUUUAUCAUCAAUGGAGUCAACCGCCCGAAACCAUCUCAACCUCCUCUUCCUCCUCCUCCUCCUCCUCUUCUUCUUUCAACGACGCGUCGCCACCUCAUCGUCCCUCCCUCUCUUCCCCAGAGAAGCCCACCCCACCAGAUCAGGCUACCUCCCGGUCAACUCCACCAGCGGCUCUGCCAUUUUCUACGCUUUCUACGAAGCUCAGAACCUCACAACGGACAUUUCCAAAGUCCCCCUCCUCUUCUGGCUCCAGGGCGGCCCCGGCUGCUCCUCCAUGCUCGGCAACUUCUACGAGCUCGGCCCCUGGCGCGUGAAUUUCCACAAACACCCUUCUGAUCCCCUGGCCUUGGAACCCAAUUCCGCCUCCUGGAACAGAAUCUUCGGAGUGACCUUCCUCGACAACCCGAUCGGCACUGGAUUUAGCAUCGCCGCUAACUCAGCGGAGAUCCCGAGAGACCAGGGCGCCGUCGCGAAACACCUCUUUGCCGCGAUCACGAAGUUCAUUGAGCUUGACCCGUCGUUCAAAACCCGACCCAUUUACAUAACCGGCGAGAGCUACGCCGGGAAGUAUAUUCCAGCGAUCGGGUACUACAUUUUGGAAAAAAAUGCUGGGUUGCCCGCUGGGUCUAAAGCUGUGAACUUGCAGGGCGUUGCGAUCGGAGACGGUCUCACAGACCCCAUAAUUCAGGUGAACACUCACGCCGUCAACGCUUUCUACUCUGGUUUGAUCAAUGAGAAACAGAGGAGGGAGCUGGAGAAGCUGCAAUUGGUGGCGGUCGGGUUGACGACGGCGAGGAAUUGGAGCGCGGCGACGGAUGCGAGAAACAAGGUGUUGAAUACGCUGCAGCAGAUGACGGGGCUAGCCACAUUGUACGAUUACACGAAGAAUGCGGAUUAUAAGACGAGUUUGGUGGAUGAAUUGCUGAGGAACGAGGCGGUGAAGGCGGCGUUGGGGGCGAAAGGGGCGGCGCCUUUCGAGCGGUGCAGCAAUCUGGUGGGGGAUGUAUUGAACGAGGACGUGAUGAAGAGCGUGAAGUACAUGGUGGAGUAUCUGCUGAAGAAGACCAAGGUGUUACUGUACCAGGGGCAGUAUGAUUUGAGAGACGGCGUCGUCUCGUCGGAGGCGUGGAUGAAGACGAUGAGGUGGGAGGGGAUUGGGAAGUUUAUGGCGGCUGACCGGAAAGUUUGGAAGGUGGAGGGAGAGGUUGGUGGGUAUGUGCAGAAGUGGGGGAGCUUGAGCCAUGUUAUGGUUUCAGGAGCAGGUCAUCUUUUGCCGGCGGACCAGCCGGUGAGGGCGCAGGCGAUGAUAGAAGAUUGGGUUUUGAACAAGGGGUUGUUCGCAAAUGUUAAGGAAUAAGAAAAUACGAAAUUGUUCCUUAAAUUGUUUGUUGCUUAAAAGUGUUUAUUUUUGCACAAUAAAUUUUGGGUUUAGGUUUAAAAUCUUCUACCUUUACAUAAAACAGAAAAGCAAAGGUAACGAUGUCUGAAAUCAGUUAUUUAUCAACACGUGUUUUAACUUUUUUACGUAACGUGAACGGCAUUCAAACUCCUUUUGAACCUUAUUCUCCUCCUUUCCGUUUCUGCCUUUCUGUUCUUUCAACUUUUCCCCCUAUCUUCCCUUUGUCGAAUUCAUGCCCCACUUUUACCACCAACCUCCAUUAAUUCCUAAACAAGCUCACCGCACUAAAUCAGGCUACUUCUCUGAGAACGGAUCCUCUCCGGAGCUAAGCAGCCGGAGCCUCUUCAUCAAACAAUUAGGAUCAUUGAUUGAUGUGCAAGUUAAAUCAAGGUUGUUGGUUGUGUGUGGUGGCCAGUAAAAUGAAUUAAUAGAAACCGUUGGAUUCAAUUUAUGCGGUCUAAAUUGUUUGAUGAGGAGGUUUUAACUGCUUGGCUACGGAGAGGAUCCGUUCUCCUCAUAGUCAACUCCACCACUUCCUCUUCCAUUUUCUACACCUUCUAUGAAGCUCAGAGCCUCGAAGCCUCACCCGAUCGCGAUCCCUCGCAAACCCUGCUUCUCGUUUGGCUCAAAGGCAGCCCGGGAUGCUCCUCCUUGUUUGGCAACUUCAUGGAGAUUAGUCAUUGGUGUGAAUGCAAAUUUCUUCCUCCUUACUCUUGGACAAAAUUGCACCUACAAAACAAAUAACACCUUAGGUCAAGGCCAAGAGCCUCACGCGCAUAUGAUGAAUGAGGGGCUUUGGCUGAAGAACUUCCGAUGCCAAAGUUAGAAUUUUGAGGGAAAAGUGUUUGGAGAAUUUAAAAAGUUCAGCAAGAGAAUUAGGAUUAGGUUUUUUUAGAGAAAAUGGGGUGGUAUAUAUAGGGCAUGGCCAGCCCCCUUGGGAGAGAAGGUGACCGGCCUCUUGUGUGGUUUUUUAGGUGUAAUGGUAGUUUAAUUAGCCAUUAAUAGAUUAAUUAGGUAAUAAAUUCAUUAAUUAGCCAAUUAACAUAAUCUAAAAUGAAUGUUUUGGGGGUUACCUUGUGGAGAUGAUGGAUGAAAUAGGUUUUGAAUAAAUACCUAUUUUGGGCACUUUUGACUUAAUUGUAGGAUGAUUGUCCACUACUUGCGCGUAGGAAUCCCGGUGUGCUUCGAGUGUAAUUUUAUCCUUUUUAUUCAAAAAUCCACAUGUCGCCUUGUAAUUAUUUUUGGCUCCACACUUGACAUGUCAACCUUCAUGCCGCCCACAAUGAUCAUGAUCAACAAGUACACUUUGUGCUUGAGCCAAACCUGGGUGCUUGGAACAUAGUUUCUGGCCUUCUUUUCCUCGACAACCAAAUUAGUACCUGAUUUAGCAUCGCACCUCUACCUUGUGAUCAUAAAUUGGACAACAUAUUGGUUUUUUUCUUUCUUCAUUUUUUCUUUGAAUUUUAGAGUUUAGGGUUUAGGGGAAAGUUAAAUUCAGGAGGGAAUUAGCCAAUUAUAAAAAUUCAUGAUGUAAUUGGUUAAAAUUAAAAUUUAGGAUGGUAAUUGGCAAAUCCUUACAAGUUCGGAGAGAAAAUCGGUCAAUACCUCUUUUUAAAUCAUUUUCUUCUUAUUAUUAUUUAGGAUGCUUUGGUAGAUGAUAAUUUUAGAUUGGUCAAAUUUUAUGUCCUCCCACACAAAAUUUAUUUCAUGAAUAAAAUCCCCCUUACAUGUUCAAAAGUUUAUAAAAAAAAAGAAAAUCAAAACUCAAGAGUCAAAAGUGCACAUGAAAGCAUUUACUAAAUUCACAAUCAUCUCACUUUAAAUGUUCAUUAAUCAAUUUGAAUGAAACCAACUGAUUGAAUAUAAUAAUCAUCAUAAGUGAAUUGCAAUGUGACACGGUUUCAUUAAGCUACGGAGGCUGAGAUGAUGGGUCCCGUUACGUUAGGUUUAGAAUUCACAUCGCUUCUAGAUAACUAAUUCAUUUUUCAUGACACGAGUAUAUCAUCACAUAUGACAUCCGUGUCGAUGAAAUAAGAGGUAUCUAAAUAAAAAAUUACACAUGUAUUUAUUUUAUUGACAUGGAACGUCACUUUGAUGAUGUAAUCGUCCUACAUAGGUAGUGUACUCGUACAGCGUAAAUAUUUAUCCACAAAGAAUGUAAUAUUACGUGAGCAUGAUGAUUUCCUUGCAUGAACUGUGUCUUUAUACAUUUGUAUUGUACGGUUGUACCCAGAGAAAGACAAGAAAGAAAAAAAUCGCGUAGGCAACAAGAGUCAAAAUCAACAAUGCUUGGAGGUGAGGAAUGAGAUUGAGAAGCCAAAUCAAAUGAAUGUCACAAGAAAACAUGCAAUUUACUUGGCAUCUUGUAUUUCAAAGAUUCGAGAAAUUUUUUGAUGUGUUGCAAACACGAAAAAUUUUAACCAAUUGUAUUAUGACACUUAAUAUAUCGAGUUAUUUUACUAGUAUACUAAAAAUUUUCUCCAAAGCUUCUUGUCAUUAUAGCAAUCCCAAAAAUUUGUACCGCUUAAAAAUACCGAACUAUGUCCUGACAUACUAAAAUAAACAUUUCCGAAGAUUCUUAUCAUUACAUCAGCCCCAAAGAUUCGCUUUACGACUCUUCCGACUUUGUAAGGUUGCAAUGUAUGUAAGCAGCUUGCUUGGCCGAGAGUUGACCUAUGUAAAGCGACAACUCUUUUAGUUAUUACUAUUAGUACCUAAAAUUUAUCUGCUUCGUCACAAAAUUCAACUUUAUAAUUAGUUUGAAAUACUGCUGCUGGCACAUGUAUCAUUCAAAGUCGUAUGUAUCGUCCAAAGUCGUACAUGCCGCCUCUUUCAAGCUUUCCUUAUUUCUAUAAAGCCUUAUCGUCAAGGAAGGUGUCUGCACUCCCUUGCACUCCACUUUUAUCAUCAAUGGAGUCAACCGCCCGAAACCAUCUCAACCUCCUCUUCCUCCUCCUCCUCCUCCUCUCCUUCUUUCAACGACGCGUCGCCACCGCAUCGUCCCCCCCUCUCUUCCCUAAAGAAGCCCACCCCACCAAAUCAGGCUACCUCCCGGUCAACUCCACCAGCGGCUCUGCCAUUUUCUACGCUUUCUACGAAGCUCAGAACCUCACAACGGACAUUUCCAAAGUCCCCCUCCUUUUCUGGCUCCAGGGUGGCCCCGGCUGCUCCUCCAUGCUCGGCAACUUCUACGAGCUCGGCCCCUGGCUCGUGAAUUUCCACAAACACCCUUCUGAUCCCCUGGCCUUGGAACCCAAUUCCGCCUCCUGGAACAGAAUCUUCGGCGUGACCUUCCUCGACAACCCGAUCGGUUCCGGAUUUAGCAUCGCCGCUAACUCAGCGGAGAUCCCGAGAGACCAGGGCGCCGUCGCGAAACACCUCUUUGCCGCGAUCACGAAGUUCAUUGAGCUUGACCCGUCGUUCAAAACCCGACCCAUUUACAUAACCGGCGAGAGCUACGCCGGAAAGUAUAUUCCAGCGAUCGGGUACUACAUUUUGCAAAAAAAUGCUGGGUUGCCUGCUGGGUCUAAAGCUGUGAACUUGCAGGGCGUUGCGAUCGGAGACGGUCUCACAGACCCCAUAAUUCAGGUGAACACUCACGCCGUCAACGCUUUCCACUCUGGUUUGAUCAAUGAGAAACAGAGGAGGGAGCUGGAGAAGCUGCAAAUGGUGGCGGUCGGGUUGACGGCGGCGAGGAAAUGGAGCGCGGCGACGGAUGCGAGAAACAAAGUGUUGAAUACGCUGCAGCAGAUGACGGGGCUAGCCACAUUGUACGACUACACGAAGAAUGCGGGAUACAAGACGAGUUUAGUGGAUGAACUGCUGAGGAACGAGGCGGUGAAGGCGGCGUUGGGGGCGAAAGGGGUGGCGCCUUUCGAGCGGUGCAGCAAUCUGGUGGGGGAUAUAUUGCACGAGGACGUGAUGAAGAGCGUGAAGUACAUGGUGGAGUAUCUGCUGAAGAAGACCAAGGUGUUAUUGUACCAGGGGCAGUAUGAUUUGAGAGACGGCGUCGUCUCGUCGGAGGCGUGGAUGAAGACGAUGAGGUGGGAGGGGAUUGGGAAAUUUAUGGCGGCUGACCGGAAAGUUUGGAAGGUGGAGGGAGAGGUUGGUGGGUAUGUGCAGAAGUGGGGGAGCUUGAGCCAUGUUAUGGUUUCAGGAGCAGGUCAUCUUCUCCCGGCGGACCAGCCGGUGAGGGCGCAGGCGAUGAUAGAAGAUUGGGUUUUGGACAAAGGGUUGUUCGCAAAUGUUAAGGAAUAAGAAAAUACGAACUUGUUCCUUGUAUUGUUUGUUGUUUAAUAUUUGUAUCAAAAUUGAGUGACUAAAAUCCUCAACACUUCAUAUAUGUACUUCAAUAAAAAGAAAGCAUAAAAUAAAAAGUAAAAUAAAUAGUACUUUUUAAUAUAAAAAUAUGUAAAAAUAUGAUUUUUCGUUGAAAUAAAUAGUAAGUUUUUGUUAAAGUUCUUUGAAUAAAUCCUCAACUAUUCAUAUAUGUACUUGAAUUAAUCCUCAAAUAUUUAAGAUACGAGGUCGGAGGUUGAAUAAAUUAAAAUUGAGUAGAGUACACUUUUUUAGUUAAUUUCUUUCUUUUUUCAAGUCUUCUAGACGUAAUCCAUGACGUUUUCUUUCCAAAUAAGUAAACAUGCCAAGAAUUCACGAUGGUUAAGAAAACAUUGAGAAAUAAUAAUUUGAAUAAUAUAGUAAGGUUUGUUAUAUAAAAACAUGAAAUGUAAUGGCGAUUGGAGGCGGAUUUGUGAGAGGAGAAAAAAGGGAAGGAGGUGGGAAGGGAAGGUUUGGGAGUUUCCCAAAUUUCCAAACCCACAAACUGACCAAUGAUUCAAGCACAAAACCCGUACUAUGAUGCCAUCGUCUCCCACGGAACAGUGAAAUCUGUGGAAGGACUUGAUCUGUAGGGCUUCCAUGGCAGGGGGUCCUGUAGAAAACCUACAGGUAAAUCAGAGCCAUUGAUUCAUUGCUCUGCCCUUUUGCCUCAGCCCUUUGAUUUACUGAAACUUCAAACUUAGCAGCUGGGUAGGAGAGAAAGCUGGGAGAAAAAAAAUGGCAGAAGGAAGAUAUGAACUAAUAAGCUGCGCCCUCCCUGUUGAAACCCUAGCUCAGAAAUAUAUUUAUAGUCGCUCUAGAGGGCCAUUGAUUGUAAUAUGGCUAAAUUGCACUAAUAGCCGUUGUAUUUUACGAUUUUCUUUUCCGUCCUUGUAAUUUGUUUUUUGUUGCAUUUUUCUCUCGUCGAAUGGGGCAAAAUUUAUUUCAAGCUUGGUGUUUUCGAAUGAUAAGAUAUGUUCAUAGAAAAAAAGGGAUCGUUAUACUUAUACGGAAAAUUAGAGUUAUCAAUUAUCUUUUUUGGUUUCGCUCGUAUGCAUAAGUAAUGAAUAGUAUAACGAUACUACCGCGAGAAAAAAAUCAAAGAGGUGGCAGAAAAGAAACACUACAAAGCAGUAUCAAUCAUUUGUAUUUGUGGCGUCGGCCUACUUAGAAGUAAGCGAAAGAAAGCAAUCAAUGCAAAAGGCUAAAGUUAAGGGGUGGUAGGUUAACAUACACCAUCUUUCAUAGCCGCUGCCUCUGCGUAGAACGUUGGCUAUAUGCUUAACAUAUUAGAGGAGGGAGAGGUAAAGAGAUCAGAACAACAUAAUUUAAAGCUUUUAAAUGAAUUUUAGUUUUUAAGGUUCAGAAAACUUGAAGCCCUUAUCGAAAAAUAUUACAUAGUUCCCGCAGUUAGCUGAGAGACUUAUAGCCGUUGUCGUGCAAGUGGAAGCUCGAGAUAUAUGCCCAAACCAACGGAUAGUGACUAAUUAGACUAAACUGACAAAACAAAUCAAAGGCAUGGAUGAAAAUGUAAACAAAAAAAAUCAGAAGAACGAAAAUGAAAAUGAAAAAAUGAUACAAGGAUUAUAGUGCAAUAAAAUAUUAGCAGGAUCGGGAUAUACGAACACUAAGGUGCACGGCCCAGCAUGGCUCGUGAGGAUCUCAGCCGAUAAAGGCCCGGCCUUUCCUAAAGAGCCAAACGAAAAAAAAAAAAAAACAAAAUCCUCAGACAUGGAGUGAGAGAUAUGUAGACGACACACUUCUUGUCACUGUAGCUUCUCUGGAGAACCAAACGUUUCUGGAUCGUUUGAUGUUCUGUGCUCUAAGCAAUUCGCAACGGGUACGCUGAUUUCUCUUGUAUAUUCUGAUCUUUUAAUGUUAAUUUCUUCAUUUGACGUUGUCCUGCUGCUUGAUAAUGUUAAGAAUGUUGUUUCCUACUUCCUAGGAUUAAACUUUCGAAGCUUUGACACUUUGCAAUCUUCUGGUGUGCCUGUUUUCUCAAUCCUGUGCAGGUUUUGAUGUUUUUCCUGUUUAGGCAUGUCCAGCUCUUGGAGUAAGCUUCCUCUUUGCACAUGGUAUUGACAGUCUCAUCUUUGCAGUCUGUAAGUUUCUAACUUUUUUGCUUCCUCCCAUCAACAGCCUUAAAUUUUAUGCAGAAUUUUCGAUUUGGAAGUAAGAUAUGAUAGAGUUACUCGCUAAGAUGCUAUGAAGUUGUGAACUUCCCCGAAUCAUGAAUCUGUAUCGUGCCGUGUGAGAGUUGAGAAUUCACAUCAAACUUCAAUAUUAGCGGAAGGGAAUAGCUACAAUGUACUUACAAUUUUCGGUAGUACGAGAGUUUUCAGAGAGUUGCAGAAUAACAGUGCAUACAGUCGGGAAAAUGGCCCGAGUCAAACAAAAUGGCUGCAGUUUUGAGCGUGUAGAAUGUGAUAAUAUGUUAGUGUCCAUGUGCGGUGUUAUGGAGUUUAGGAGGAAAAUAGAGCGCAACCAUGUGCGGGAUUAGAGUGAUUGGGAGUGGCUAAUAUCUAGUUGCCAUGUUGUCGUUAAUCCUUUGGUAUUUUGUUAAAACUGUUUGAAAACAUAGGGAUAAAGUCGACGUCUUUUAUGUGAUGAUUGACAAAUCUUUAUAAUCUAGAUUAUAGACAGGCAUGGUGUUAUAUUGUAACCCUUACAUAAAGCUUCCAUUUCAGCGCUUCAGCGGGAAUGGAUUGAUAAGUGCAAUAGCUUUUGAAGCUGAGAAGGGAUAUCGGAAUGCUUUGGGUAGAAAAAUGAGGUCUGUAAGUUAUAUCCAAUUUCGAUUUUGCUUAUGACAGUAUGAAAGUAAUAACGUGGACAUGCCUAUUGCCAUUUGCAGGUUCAGUAAUUUUCUCUUUUCAACAGUAUCGAGAUUAUGUUCUCGUUCGAAGCAUAGUCUUGCCAAAAAUAUUUUGGAAGAAGUAGGUAGUUAUGGCAUAGCUAGCAUCUCAGAUCGGUCAAAGUUGCUCAAUAAGGUAGGUUGAUUCAUGAAAAGUUGUACUGUUUUUGUUUGAUUGCUGUAACUUUAUCUGAUAUGCAUGUACAGACUACGGGAAUGUGUAAGUUUGCUCUUCAUUUUCUUCUGUUUCUGUUUCAUGUAGGUAUCUGUUUUGGUGGGUUAUGAUAGUCUUGAUGAUUUGGUUGAGAAUGAAAGAGCUGAAAGGCAGUCCGGUAUGCAUGUUAGAGACGUGACAGAUGAAUUUGAUGUCUCCUUGGUGUGUGCACGAUUUCCAUCAAUCAUGUUAGGUAGUUCCCCUCGGGUGGAAUUGUAUGAUGGAACCACCAGUUUCAGUGAAAGGAUGAUUUUUCCAACUCAAAGUUGUGAAGAAUUUCCGUCUGAUGCUAUGUGUGAAGAGCAGGUAUGAAGAUUAUCUUUUUGAAAUAUGGGAUUUUUUGUAUCCUGCUUGUACAAGUGUAAAACAUUUCUUAUUAAGAGAAGAUUUUUAAACGUUGCCCUUAUCUCUCCAGUCCGCAACUGUGGUUACCGAGGAAAACUCACAUCAAACAGUUCCUGUGGAGGAAUCUUCUAACAAGGUUUUGCUUAAAUCACAAAAUGAUACUGGGUCUGUUCAGUUUUCCUUGGACAGUUCUAUCAGUUUCAUACCUGGAAUAAGUAAGAAGCGCUGUCAGCAGCUAGAAGACUCUGGCUUUCAUACAGUGAGUUUUAGGAAAUCAUGUUAAAGGAAACAUCACUCUUCUAAUCGAGAAUUUGAAAGAAGCCUUGGGUUCAUAUUGCUUUGCUUUUGUUUCCAUACAGUUGCGGCAAUUGCUUCACCACUUUCCUCGGACCUAUGCGGAUUUACAGAAUGCUCAGAUGAAAAUUGAUGAUGGACAAUAUUUGAUUUUCAUUGGGAAGGUAUUAAGUUCGAGGUAUUAAAUUGUUUCCAAAAUAUCUAGUGAGUUUUUGGUGCUAACCUUAGCAAUUGGAUGAGGUUAGGCACUAAAAUUAUAAUCUGAUAAAUUCCAAGUUAGCUGACUUGUUAAGAUUUUUAGUUUGUUUCAUAGUUAUGACUCAUGAAGAGGUCGCACUUGGUGCGAUGGUAAGUGCCUUCGCCCAUGAGCGGUAGGUCUCGGGUUCGAGACUUGGGAGCAGCCUCUCCAUAAAUGGGGGUAAGGCUAGCCGACAUUCACCUCUCCCAGACCCUGCGUAAAGCGGGAGCCUUGUGCACUGGGUACGACCUAUAGUUAUGACUCAUGAAACAAUGAGAAACAAAUAUGUUUCAAAAAACAAUGAGGCACAAUGUAACUUGGUGACAGACACCUUGAUGUUCUGACAUAUGAAAUGAUGUUAAUCUGUUUCUUUUUGAGAUUAAUGGAUAUCUAGUUCAAUGACAUAAUAAAGAACAUUUAAUGGCACAUUGUUUGCUAGGAUUGUGCGUUUGUUUCUCAUAUCUGGUAAGGCAUCUCCAGAGAUGCUAAAUGUAUUUAUAUUUAUUUGUGUAUGUAUUCACUUAUAGAUUUACUUCUUUUUCAUCCAAUCUGCAAUAAAGUUUUUGUUUUUAAUAUCUAUAUCUUACCUCUUCUUUUACAGGGGAAUCAAAGCUAGUAGUUCUUUCUCAUUUAUUGAGGUAGUUGUUGGUUGCGAAAUUAUGGACGAUGAAUCAACUGAACAUAUGAAUGAUUCUGCUGAUAGUAGAAGAAAGAAGACGAUUUCUUUGCAUCUGAAGAAAUUUUUUCGGGGUGCUCGUUUUACUUCUCUACCAUUUCUUAGACUUGUUGAGGGAAAGCAUAAAGAGGGGGACUUUGUAUGCGUUAGUGGUAAGGUAAGCUUUUAGAUACAAUGGAUGUGCAGUUGCUUCAAUUGGCUCACCCUUCCAUGUGCUGAAACCAUUAGGGAGUAACAGAAUGAGACUUUUUUAUGAAAUUUUGUACCAGUGCUAUCUAAAGAUUUAUCAUUUCAUUUUCUAGUCUUUCCCUUAAUUGCCUUGUCCUUUCGUGCUGCCUUUUAACACAGGUAAGGACAAUGCCCGCCAAAGAUCACUAUGAAAUGAGAGAAUAUAAUAUUGAUGUGCUUAAAGAUGAAAAUGAAGUGUGUUUUCAUGCAAAAGGGAGGCCUUAUCCUAUAUACCCUUCAAAAGGAGGGUUAGAUCCAAAUAUUUUGAGAGACAUCAUUGCAAGGUUUGUACCUCUGACCUUUUGCAUAACUUCAUUUCUAACAUCAUAACAUAACCGCUCUAAGUUUCUUCAGCGGGGUUACAUUUUCCAAUUCUAAUUUAGUAUCCCCUUACUCUAAGUUCUUUAUACAAACAUACAUUAGUUUUUUGGGUGAGUGGCUGGUUUCUCAAUAUUAGAAAUCUAAUUGUGUUUUUAUCAUUUAUGCAAUAACAUUCCUCCGUUCAUCCUAUCGGAGUUACUUCUUAGUUCUUUGCAGCUGUUUGGAAUUGUUUGAACUAUUGUAUUAAUUGGGUAAUUUCUUUGUAAUUUGCUCCAAGACGUGUAAACUAAAUGUCUACUAUUUUUACUCGUUCCAGAGCUGUACAAGUUUUGGCUGUUGAUGUUGAUCCUGUACCUAAAAAUAUCACUCAGGACUUUGGGCUGUUAAGCCUUCAUGAUGUAAGAAACUUCACUUUUAUCCUUAGUAUCAGCAUAUAUGCAAUUCAUACUUUUGACUAUGGUCACUUAUACCCCUGUGUACAUGUAUAUGUUAAAGAGCUAGCUAUAUGUGCCCCUUGCUGUUCUUUUUAUAAGUUGUUUUGGCAUUUAGAAAAAUUUGAGCUGUUGUGUUUUUGCUCUAAUAAUACAGGCGUAUAAGGGGAUUCACGAACCAAAGAGUAUGGACGAAGCUGAUUUGGCUCGGAAAAGGCUAAUAUUUGAUGAGUUCUUUUACCUGCAGGUGAUUUUGAUCCAAAUUUCUUAAUAAGUUUUUCUCUAAGAUUUGAACUGACCUAGUUGUCAUUGCCUGUCAGUUAGCACGCUUAUAUCAAAUGCUUGAAGGUCUUGGUACACAAAUAGAGAAAGAUGGAUUGCUGGAUAAGUACAGGAAACCCGUAUCAAGUGCUGCUUAUAUGAAGGAUUGGUCCAUUCUUACCAAAAAGUUUUCAAAAGCUCUUCCAUAUACCCUUACUCCUAGUCAACUCACUGCCAUUUCAGAAAUCAUCUGGGAUCUAAGGCAACCAGUUCCUAUGAAUCGGCUUUUGCAGGUUAUACUCUUGUUUACAGGAUGUAUCCAAUAUUUUUCAGAUUUGUUACAGUAUGAAGCAAUGUAACUGCAUAUAAUGUAACUGGAGCACCUGCAGUAUAUACAAAAUAAGGACAAAACAUGAUGGUUUUUGGCGGGCUUCUGGUUGAAUACAAUUUUAAGUCUAGACUUUUGCCCUAAUUCUCUUCCUCACUCUCUUUUCAAAUCGGCCUGCCUGGGUUCUUCCUCCUGAUUACCAUAGCAUGCGCAGUAGGUAUACUCGAAAAAUAGAAAAGAUUCUUGAUUGAUGAUAUGUUGUUACACAUUUUCAGGGUGAUGUUGGUUGUGGGAAAACUGUGGUAGCUUUUCUAGCAUGCAUGGAGGUUAUUGGCUCUGGAUAUCAGGUCUGUGAAACACCUGUUUUGUAGAGUUAAAAUAUGACUACAAUGUGUGAGUUUCUGUUUGUUUCCUUGAUUCAUUUCAGACCUUUGACCAUUUGUAUUUUCAUAAAUGUAAUAAUAGUUAUGAUCUUUGUUCCUGAUUGUUUUUAUUUGUUUCAUGUAAAUUGUAAAGGCAGCUUUCAUGGUUCCAACUGAGUUGCUUGCAGUCCAGCAUUAUGAGCACUUAAAUAAUCUGCUUGAAAAUAUGGAGGAUGUUGAACAAAAACCUUCAAUUGCUUUACUAACCGGCUCAACCCCAUCAAAACAAUCACGGAUAAUUCUUGAGGCAUGGAUUAAUGUCCAGUUCUUUUGUUUUCUUGAGUAUAAUGUUUCAGGCAUCCUAGUUAUUGGUAGUGAUACUAUCAUUGAUAUUGCGUGUAUCAGGGUCUCAGGACUGGAGAGAUAUCGAUGGUCAUUGGAACCACCAGUUUGAUAUCUGACAAAAUAGAGUUCUCUGCAUUACGCAUUGCAGUGGUGGAUGAACAACAUCGUUUUGGUGUGAUCCAGAGAGGACGGCUUAACAGUAAGGUUGUUUGCUUCUAAUUGAACCAAGUAUUCUAGUCAUGUCAUCUGGUGGUGUAGUACUCCGUUUCUAUCCUGUGUGCACACUGAUUCCUUUAGACCUUAUGGAAUAUGGAAGAUCAGAUUUUGAUGGUAUCUUUCCAGGAAUUCAUUUUGUCUAAACUUUUUAGUGUGCCCUUGCAUGCUGCUUGCGUAGUUCUCAAUGUUUCCAUGAGUUACUAUGUAUCGUUAUAGGGUAUCAUUACUGUGGCAUGAAUAAUUCAGUCCUUGAAAUAUGAAAUGAUUUUGUUACUGUAAUUCGUUUUGUAAGAUGAGCUAACUGAGGCACAAAUCUCUGCAGCUAUACUAUACCUCUGUAAAUUCUAGAAUGGUAGCUGCCAAUUCAGAUGUGACCUCCAAAGGCGACAACCAUAUGGCUCCUCAUGUUCUUGCCAUGUCAGCUACUCCUAUACCGAGGACACUUGCUCUGGCUUUAUAUGGUGAUAUGUCAUUGACACAGGUACGCGUUUUUCUUCUUGCUCCUUGAUGCUUUUGAUGGGAUGGUGUUCUCCCCCUUUCUUUUCUCAAUUGGAUAUCAGGCUUUAAGACAGUGAUUUAAAUUUUAAAAACUACACUGAGACGCCUAAUCCUAAAGGCUUGUUUGCAAUGAAAAAGGUUCAUGGCACAUUUUAAAAGAUUAUUAGGUCCAAGAAUAAAAAUUAAUGUUAUAGGGAUAUGUUUUUAGUUUAAAAUUUAGCGGGCGCUACAUUUGUAUAAGUUGAUAUCCUGUAUUGAGUGUUUGUUAAUUCUUUCGUUUCCAUUUCCUUUGAAUAACAGAUAACCGACUUACCUCCAGGAAGAAUACCAGUUGAGACGUUCAUCAUUGAAGGAAAUGACAAUGGAUUUGAGGAUGUUUAUGAGGUGAUUGUCCUUGCUUAACUUUGUUACAGCGCUCUAAUAUAUUUCUUUUCUUAUUUUCCCCUAGAAACGAAGGUGUUCUGGUUUAAAUAAUUUCAUUUUUUCCGAUUGCAAUGAAAUAUUUGAUAUUUGAAACUCGAUAAAGCCAGUGAUGCAUAAAAGGUUUGAAUUGAAACUCAUCAUUCGGUUAAGAGAUCAUGGUCUUCUUCACAAGACGGAUAUAUUAUUUUCUUGCUAGACUAGAAUAGAAAGAUUUCACUGGUUCUAGCUUUUGAUUUUAUUAUUUUCUGACUCAAAUGAUAUUAGCAUGUAACAGAUGAUGCUGGAUGAGUUAAAAGGAGGAGGGAGAGUCUAUCUUGUGUAUCCAGUUAUUGAACAAUCUGAACAGCUGCCACAACUUCGUGCAGCUGCAGCAGAUUUUGAAGCUAUAUCUGAUAGGUUUCAGGGCUACACUUGUGGAUUGUUGCAUGGAAGGAUGAAGAGUGAUGAGAAAGAUGAAGCAUUGAGAAAGUUCAGAUCUGGGGAAACAAAUAUACUGCUUUCCACACAAGUUAUUGAGAUUGGUGUUGAUGUUCCCGAUGCAUCUAUGAUGGUUGUUAUGAACGCUGAGAGAUUUGGGAUAGCUCAGUUACACCAACUUAGAGGACGAGUUGGACGAGGAGUGAGAAAGUCUAAAUGUAUACUGUUAGCAUCUUCUUCCAGUAGUCUAACUCGGUUGAAGGUCCUGGGGAAAUCAUCAGAUGGUUUUUACUUGGCAAACAUGGACCUUCUUCUACGUGGACCUGGUAACUUGCUUGGCAAGAAACAAUCAGGACAUCUUCCAGAGUUUCCUAUUGCAAGAUUGGAAGUAGAUGGCAAUAUCUUACAGGAAGCACAUCUUGCUGGUCUGGUAAAUAGUACUCCUUUUGUGUCCUUUUAUCGUGUAAUUUGGUGAUAAUUUUGGUUACCAUUCUCUUACAUCAUUUCUGUUUUCCUAUGAGAGACUAGACUAUUAGUACAUAAACACUAAUCCGUAUGCAAGAAUUUUUUGCUGCAAUGCCUGUUUGGUUGAUGCUCGGGUUCAUGCAGUAUACCUCCUUUAACAUAUGCGAUGGUUCCUUUUUCGCAGAAAGUUUUAGGCGCUUCCCAUGAUUUGGAGCAAUUCCCGAUCCUUAAGGCAGAGCUUAGCAUGAGAGAGCCGCUCUCUAUUCUGGGUGACUGAGUCUAGUCGUGGUAAAACUGAAACCUUGCAAAUCUAUACAAGAUGAAAUUGCUUGUAUUGAUGGCUUCUUGUCCAUUUUUAUUUUGUGCCCCUUUUGUAAAUGUAUAACUGCUUUCAGGAAUCAUGCCAUAUAUACCAUAUAUGUCGCAAGCUUGAUGCUUCUGCUUGAUUUCCUUGGCGGUAAUCCUUACAACUUAAUGAUUGUACUUGUGAUAUGAAUUGGUUUGAUAUUAGAACAGUCCUUUCUUAACGACUAGUCAUGAAGAAAGUUGCCCAGAUCGAGUUUGGAGAGCAAGCACUAAAUAUGCAGACAUGUCCAUUUUUGCACACCGGCGUAUCCAGACAUGCUUUUUGCCAUUGAAGUAGAUUGUUAAUCGACUAGUUUGUAGUCAUUUUUACAUAUUUCGAUAUGUCAGCAUCCUAACAAUCUGCUUGCUUGCAUCGAAGAAUUCUCAAACAUUUGGAAAGAAUGUGGCUGAUAUGCUGUUUAGUUUUUAUCGUUUUGCUUCUGUUAACGUUUUGAUCUGUACCUAGGAUUUUACUGUAGUUGUAAACAGGAAGUUUUAUAUCAUCUUCUACUGAUCUCAGUGUCUCACUCCCCCUCUCCUUUGAUUCCUUCACAGACAUUCGUUUAAAUCGACUCGUCUUCUUUAAGAUAUGCUGUUCGAAACGUAAAGGUUUUUCGACAAAUUACAGUAAUUUUCAUGGAAAGACUGCUGCUCACGUACUUCCCUGUGAAGCUCUCUUUAUCUGCAGAACAUCCUGCUCAGGAAAGGACUUGAGAAUAUUUUGUCACAAACUUUUGAAGAAAGUCGGUACAUGCUUUCAUGGAAAUCUUUAUGUCGUUCUGUUGAAAAUAUAUGUUGUGUAGAAUAUUCAAGGUCUUUAUUUUUUUGGGCCAAUGACUCCCAAGUAAAAAGAAAGAUGACUAUACCGUAGUGCUAAUGACAUGUUAACGAUGGACUUCAAAGAAAAAUAGUUUCUCGAAAAUGUCAAGGAGUAUGCAUCGGAAUCAAGUCAUCAAAAUUUUGAGUAGGGAAAUGUAUAAUUCAAAGGAGAUAUGAUUGAUUUCCACAUUAAUCACUGUAUAUGCUAAAUCUCAAUUCGGAUUCAGUGUCACCAAUAUAAUUCCUAUGGUUUCUAUCAAGAACAUCAUCAAUUGAUUUUGACCUAAUGAAUGUGCUAUAAUAAAGUCUAGAUCAGCAAUGCGACUGACAAUACAACUUUUUGGGACGAAUAUCAUAUCGUCACGUUAUUAAUUUACGUAUUAUAAUAUGAAUAAACGAUAUUGAUAAUAUGUUACGGAUCAAAAGUGAAAUUAUGGAUUCAUGUUUUAACCAGUGGCGAAUCUGAAAAAUAUUAUGUGGGGAGAAGGGUCAGUAAAAAUAGCGUGCGAAUUUAUUUUGACAAAAUAGCAUGCAAAUUAGCAUUUCAUGGUAGGUUCAAGGUCAUUUUCCACGUCCAUCGACAUAUAUCAACAACUUUUGAGCGAACAUGUUGAUUUAUGUCAACAACUUUUGAGUGAGCAUGCCGACAUAUGCCAACAUUGACAAGUAAGCCUAUCAACAUAUACCCAUAAAAAUGCGUACUAAAGCAUGAGGUUAGCAGCUACCUUGUCCAGUGCCCUUAACGGCAAUUCGUCAAAUAGUUAGAAAAUAGCUUUCAAAUGUAUCUUAGAUUUUCAAAAUACAGCACCCAAUUACAAGUGGAUUGAUCACUUGACGGUGUAAAGGUUUGUAAAUCUUCACGAGUGAGUGUGAAACCACAAGGUUGACAGUGGUGGGCACCUGGGACAUGGAUCCUCUCCGGCUCCAUGCAUCCUAAUCCUAGGGAUUCACCAAUCCGGAUCAUUGAAAUUUGAUCAAACGGUUACAAAUAUGGGCCACUUUAAAGUUAUAAUAAUUUUAACCGUUGGAUCAAAUUUCAAUGGUUCGGAUUGAUGAAUCCCUAAGAUUAUGAUGCAUGGAUCCGGAGAAGAUCCAUGUCCGGGCACCUGUUAUCCAAUGGGAUUAGGGGGCACGGUAAAUGUUUGAUGGAAUGCCCAAUCAGCAACUCACGAGCGGGGACAAGCAGACAAGUGGGUCCAGUACGGUCCCCUACCAAUCAUUCAAAAGUGGGGUUCACAGCCACCAUGUUCCAUGACUUGUCUUCUAUGUUAUGAUCGAAGUGGAUCCCACAUCCCCACGCCUUUGCCAAAUAUGCAAUAAUAAUUCUCUUUUCUCUUCAGAAAUAUAAUAAUUUAUCCUAAAAAGUUGGGACUUUACGACCGAAAAAUCAAAUAAAUAAAAAGAAAGAAAAAUAAAUAAUCGAAUUUGGGACUUGACCCAAUGGCUCUUGCUGGGAGUUGAAAAUCUGGGCGAUGAGGGCAUGGGAAGGCCGUUUUGUGUGCACGAAUGAGUGCAUACGACGAGAAGCGAAACUGAGACCAGCUGAUGAUGAUUUGACAGCCUUGUCACGUUACGAUUCCUAAUAGUUUUACUAAUGAGAAAAACUUAAAACUUUUUGUGUGCCAUGUUUCUCAUCAUUUAAUGCGUGACAGAAACAAAAAACAAAAAAUACAUACACUUCAUUCCAUUGCACCAAAGUCACUCUCUAGUUAAUGCCAAAGUAAUCAAUGCAAAAGUAAUCAAUUGGCUUUUAUCGAAUCAUAUUCAUGAGGAUGUAGAGAGUUGGUUCAUAAAAGAAGUUAAGAAAUCUUUCAUACGCUAAGACUAAAGCUUGCACCACGUUUGAAGUCCAAUUGUCAUGCGUUCUCAACUUCUCUCAAGAUAUGAUGUCGAAGUCCAAUGUUCAAGAGUCAUCACACUUUAGCAUUCAUGUAAACAACAUGAUAAUUUUACGCCAGUUGUUUGAUUUUAAUCUAUAGAAAUGUCGGUGUGUCUCACAAGGUGUUGGGUUUGAUUGGUUUGGUAUUUGACAAACAAAAAAACACAAAUGGCCGGUUGUAAUUCUUCACAUUCUGUGAAAAAGGGAAGGAUCGAGGUGAUAAAUUAUUUGGGACAUUGGAUAUUGAUUUUCCUGGUCAAAUCUAUUGAGUACACAUUUCAGUUGUUCUACCUAAAUAAAUAUUCCAUUAACUGUUCCUCAAUAAUUAGGCUCCUGAUUUUUAUUUUGAUGACCAGUCUUCUGGUGGAAUUUGGGAAAAAUUAACAUGUUUCCAAAUUCCAACCAUGAAUAAUUAGUAGAGGAACCUCAUGAUUUCAUAUAACAUCUUAUUAGUAGAAGAACAACGAAACAUAAUGUUCGCCGUUACUGUGGUGUUUCGAUCCAAUAACACAACAUAUCAUGUAAAUCUCUUUAGACGUGGUAUUGCAUUAUCGAACCGAAACGUUGCUAUAACGAUAAACUCCUUUCAUAUAAGUUCCUUUGGACUUAUAUUUUAUGUUUAGUGUGAGAGAGAGGGGAAGUAAACCCUAGAACAGUUAAUUCAAAGUCAUUGGUGCAAUUACAGAGGCAUUUAAAAUGAAGAAGGUUGCAGAAAAUUAGCAAAGCUCUUGCUUCAUAAAUGGCUCUGCUCCACAACACCACACCUCCCCCAGAAUUAUGUCAUUUUCUUCUUAAGCAUUAAUAUUUUGAGUAAACGUUACGACUCCUUUUGUACCCGCAAACCAGAUAACUCAUGCAGCAUUCAAUUUUCCCAUGACCCAAACACUACGUAACAAUACAUUGCCAUUAAUAUAUAUACCCACAUAUUUUAAAUAAAAAUUUAAAAUUUAAAACAAAAAACAUUCUAUCUAAUGUGUCGCAUCCCCAUACCAUCCCUUUUCCUCUGCAUCACUGAUCAAUCUCUCAAUGGCCCUGAUUCAAUCAAUUAUCAUGAAAGUUGGUAAAUAAUAAUUCCCCUUAUAUGUAUGCUUAUCGGUCGGUCCAUGAAAUCGGUUAUUCAUUUUCCCUUUAAGAGUAGAGGGGGGACAACAAAAAUGUUGUAUAUUUACAUAAAACGAGUAUAUUGUAAAAUUAUAUAAUAACAGGGUUCUAAGCACAAUACGGAUUAUUAUAUAAAAAAAUUAUUACAAGCAUGAUAUCACAUUAUAAAUUUAAUAAACAAUUGAUUUAUCUGUUUCAUGCAAGUCAUUCUCGGGCGCGGAGAAAUAAGGCUCAAUACCUAGGGGUGGUUCGGUAUGGGAUCCCAUACCGAAACCCUUGUCCCGAUUCCCAAACUGAAAUUUUUGGGAAUCCCAAUUUCAAUACCGAUCCCAAACCAAAUUUUUGGGAAUCUCGAAAUAGUUUCAGGAUUUCGAGACAAAUCGGGAAUCCCGAAAUGGUUUUGGGCUUUUGGGUUUUGGACUAAAAUUUGACAUAUUAUGCUUUUGGGCUCAAUUUGCCAAUUUGUUUCUACUAAUCUGCCAAUCAAAUGGCAAGGCAUGUUUGUACUAAUUUGUGCACAAAUUUGAGUCCGUGUACACCAGUAAGUACAAUUGUAGCAUAAAAAAUAAUACGCUAGCUUAAAUUUCUAUAUAGCACAUGAAUCUUUCAUCUCAAUGCAUAUGUGAACCAUCCAGAUGAAGAAUUAUUAAGGAGGGGCAAGGUAUCAAAUAAUCAAAUUUAUAUUCAAUGGUUGAGAUUAAAUCUCAACAGAAUCCGACGGCUAUUAAAAUUCUAAAUAUAUAUUUAAAAAUUAAACAAUAUAUAUAUAAUUCUUUUUUGGUUCGGUUUGGGAAUACUGAAAUCCCAAAAACUUGAGACCGAUUCCCGUACCUAAAUUUUGGGAUCGGUUCGGUAUUGGGUACCGAAAUUUUCGAGAAUUUUGGUUUGGAAUUUUUUUAGUUUGGUUUCGAGAAUUUUUUGGUUCGGUUUGGAAUUUUUGGGAUUUUUUUACAGCCCUAUCAAUACCCAAGCUCAUGGUUCCCAAUCAUUUCAUCAGCUGACCUUUCAACCGACAACCACCCCCUUCUUUUGUAAUCGCCUUUAACAGGAAAACUUGCCGGCUAUUAUACCACACAGGUUUCUCUUCAGUCCUACACGUGUCUUCCAUCCCAACGGUCAGAACCUAUGACUUGACGACAACAGUCAAGAAAACCCUAACCAAUACUCCAUACAUCCUCGUCCCGUUCAUACUUUUAUGCUCUUUUUACUCCUUUGCCCUUCCUCCAUUUCUAUAUGUUGUCCUCUCUCCCCACUAGUUAUGUGACCUUUACACCUUUUAACUUUUUCUCUCUAUUUCAUCAUAUCUGGUUUUGUGGUUUUAAUCUGUCUCCUCCUGUUUUUACUUUACCCUUUCCCCCUCUCUCUCCUCCUUUCUUCUUCUUAAUUCUUCAUCCCACACCUGCAAUUAGGGUUUCUAUGGCGGUUUUACCGACGGCGAUGGCGAUGGGAUCUUCGAGCUUGGAGUUGACGAUAUCCGUACCCGGCUUCUCUUCGUACCCGUCUUUUCCUAAUUCAUCUGGUAAACGAACCCACCAAGCUUUUCCUCCUCCAUUUUUCUACACCAUAUUUUUCAUGCAUAAAGUAUAUUAAAUCGAUUGAUGUUUGUGUAUUAUUUGGAAACCUAUUUUUAGCUUUAAGAUAUCAGAUAUUCCCAGUAUUUUCUUUUGUUUUUUUGUUUAUCAAAACUUAAUUAACAUAUGAUCGUUUUGUUUUUAGUUGAUUUUUAACAUAUAUACGAUACGAUCUUUUACCCGGAUAUCAUGCAUGUCUUUCUUUUUACCCUUUUCCCCCGAGAAGUCAUUCGUAUUUUAUAUGGACAAUCCCCUAAACCCUAAUAAACUCUCUUUGCCAUUUCUCACAAAGACAAGUUUGGUGGCCAAUAUUUGUUUUAAAACUUUUUCUUUGGUACAUAUAUAAAUUAAUAAUAAGUUUGCAAGAAGGUUGUAGCUCGAGCGGUAAAGAAUAUUUAUUCUAUGUUUAAAUAUGGUGAAUUGGGUUUUGCAGUGAGAGACUUGGACAUAAACCAAGUACCAUCACUACAAGGAGAUCAAGAAGAGUGGAUGACAGCAGACAUGGAAGACGAAGAAGAAAGCAGCAACGGAUUGGGCCCUCCCCGCAAGAAGCUUCGUCUCACGAAGGAACAAUCUCGUCUUCUAGAAGAAAGCUUCAGACAACACCACACCUUAAACCCUGUAAGCUUAAUCAUAAUUAAUUAUUAGCCUGUUCUUAAUUAAAUAUUAAUUAAUAGGUUAAGUUGUUCUUGUUCAAAAUAAUAAAUACAGUUUUGGAGUGUUUUGCAGAAGCAGAAAGAGACGUUGGCGAUGCAGUUGAAGCUGAGGCCACGCCAGGUUGAGGUGUGGUUUCAAAAUCGUAGGGCCAGGUAAGUGUGUACUCUGAUGGCUUUAGCUAGCAUAUCUAGGUUCAUCGAUCUCAUGGACUUUGAAUUCUUUUCUUUGGGUUUGGCCCUUUCCAUUAAUAAUUUUGUUGGUCGUUGGGAUUUUUAUCUGUCGUCAUGUCCUUUUCACAAAAUAUUUAUGCAUUUAUAAUUUCAAUCUAAUUCUAUGUAUAGAUAAUAUAUCUAUGCUUGUAUGUGGGCAUAAUCACCUGUCGAACUCCUCUAUAUUUAUAGGGUUUUGCGACGGUUUUAUUUUGUUAUAUUAGAGAUCUUUCGAACUUUAAACUUAGCCUACUUUUAAUUCUACUUAUUGCCCGGAAGAACAUUUAUACAAAAGAGUGUGCCUUUUCUUUGUGUAAUUUUCCUUUUUAAAGUUAAAAUGUCAGAAUAUUCUUUUUCUUUUAUUCCUUGCAAGAAAUGAUAGAAUUUUUUUCCCUUUUAGGCAAAAACUUGUUAAGAUUAAUCAUAGAAUAAUGCAUAUAUAUAUACACACACACACAUAAUUAUAGUAAGUAAUGUUGGCAGUUACGAUUAGGUGGGUAAAGUAGACAGUCAAAUUUAUGAAGAAUUUGAAGGAAGAUAAUCAUAGUGGUGCUCCAAAAGAAUGAAACAUAAUGAUGAUAUAGAAAAUAGCUAGGAGUGAGAGCAUUGAUGAAUAAGAGGAUGUUUUUGUUUUUGGUGUUUUAUAGCCUCGUGUGCUCUUCAGUUUCAUCACUCUAAUAAGUGCUUUUUUGACUCACUCACUCACUCACUCAAUCUAGCUGGUGGUCUUUACUCUUUGGACUUGUUGCCAUGCCAUCCACAUGUAUUUAUGAUUUCAUCUAUGUCAUCCACCAUGCACAUUUAAUUCUUCAGUAUUUGGAACGGGGUUUUCAACUUAUUAGUUAAGAGUAUUUAUUCUUACACUUUCACUGUUGGGUUCGAUUCCUCAUCCUCAAAAAUUGCCCUGGCCUCCCAAAGUUAUGCGAUGAUUCCUCCUCCCCACUUAUGUUCGUGUGUGUAUAUAUACAUAUAUAGUGGUGGAGUCAGAAUUUUAAUUAGUCUAAAAAGGGCUCAAAUGUCUCAAUCCGAAGUGCUCUCUUGAUCUUACAAAAAUGAAUCCGCUAUGUGGUGAGCAACCAACCAACAUUGUUUGCGUCUGGUAUGGUGGCUUCCACAUCAUCAUCUUCCUUAAACCCAAGGGCGGAGCCAAGAUUCUUUACUUGGGUAGGCUAGCUGAAAUUAGUACAAUAAAAUCAGAUGAUAUUUUUUUUGCUUAUAUAAAAUUAUAUAAUAACCAGUAUAAAAGGUACAUUCAAAGGUUACAUUCAUUGGAAAAUUGCAACAUAAGUAAGGAAUUGCGAAGAUAGGGAUUUAAUUGUUGAUUUAAAAAAUUUAUUUUUCUUUUCUUGAGUAAGAAGCACAGAGGCUAAAUUGCAUAGGGUAAAUGAUAUUUUUCUUUAACAAAUAAGAUAAAAGGGGGAUGGGAGAUCAAAUUAAUUUAUAAUUUUUAGCAUAAAACAUAUAAUUUACUACCUAUCAUCUACUAAAUAUACAAUAAACAAUAACCUGUAUUGAAAUUGAGUGGGCUAUAAGCAUGAGUUUACAAAAGAAUAGUGUUGUCCACACACCCGUUUUUACCUCCAACAUACCCUUAUUAUUUUUUUGCGAUUGAUCAUCUUCAAUUUAUUCGAUCCGAUAAUAGAAAAUUGAGAGAGAUAUGUGAGAAGUAAAAAUGAGUACAUGGAUAACACUAUCCUUAUAGGAAACCUCCUUGGGCUACAACGCACCUUAGCCUUGUGGGUGGCUCCGCUAUUGCUUAAACCUAAGCCCCAAAACCCCAAAACUCUCUAACUUUCUUCCUCUCUCCCUCCACUGAUCCCCGAGUCAAAGUCCUCCUCAAAGCUCAUAACCAAUGGAUUACCUAAAUUCCAUAGAAGUCACCAACCUCAAGUCAAAACCGAUGAAAGAAAUUAAAGUAAAAACGUCAUAUUGGGGCUCUGAGCCUAUGAAAAAUCUUGAAAAUAAAAAAAAUGUCAGGAUGAGCCUGAGAUCAUCCUAGGACCACUUCAGAGCUGCGCUUAUGUACAUAUAUAAAGAUAUUUGAGGAAUCGCUCAAGUCAGGUUCAUUGUGAUUAUACAUAUACACACAUGCAUACAUAAACACGUGUGUUUUUCUGCUUUUUUUUUUUUUUUUUUUUUUUUUUUUAGUGUGGUGUGAUCGUGUGAGUGUUUUGGUAAGCACAUCGAAUGCACAUAUGUUAUGUUUGAAUAAUGCUCGGUGCAUUUAAUGUAUUAAUUUCUCGCAUGCUGUGUUUUACUUACGCGUGAAUGGUGGCUUUUGUAGGAGCAAGCUGAAGCAAACAGAGAUGGAAUGCGAGUAUCUGAAGAGAUGGUUCGGAUCGCUGACUGAACAGAACCGACGGCUGCAAAGGGAGGUGAAGGAGCUGAGGGCAAUGAAAGUCGGCCCGCCCACCGUGCUUUACCCCCACAGUUGCGACCCUCUUCCGGCAUCCACACUCACCAUGUGCCCUCGUUGCGGCGAGUCACCACCACCACCACUCUCGACAGAGACACGGUCAGCGGGCCCACCAAAACUAAUAAUAUCUCGGCCGCCGCGGCCACCACCUUGUCCUCUAAAGUGGCGACGCCCGCCCUCUAAAUGCCGCUGCGUGCACUUAAUCUUAACUAGUUUGUAAUUUGACCUACUUGAUCAUGCAUGGAUCGCCAUCGAUAAUUCGAAAUCAAAGGAAUGAAUAGUGAAAAGAAAUUAAGAUUAAAGAAUGUUAAUGUUAAUUAACGAAUUGUUUAAAUAUGGGACGUGUUUGGGUUGGGACACAGAACACUGACUUGGUUUGGGAAUCUGCAUAAAUUUUUCGGAUGUUUUGCUCUGUUUGCCGCUUUUGCGGAGCAAUGAUUUGAAACCACGGACAAGGAACCCGAUUUUCAAAAAUGUUACAAUCUUUAAGCAGACAAGUCAAAUUUAACGACGACAAAAUCAUUUUUAUUAUUUUGUUUGUUCAUGCAACAGGGUGGGAAAAUAAUUUAUUCUGAACUCGUUAUUUUUUGGAAUUUAAAAUUAAAACUUCUUAUUUACCAAAAAGAAUAUCGCUAUAUUAUAGUUCUAAAUGACACAAACUCACAUCAUUCUUAAAAUAUUAAACUCCUCAUAAUAAUUUUCUUAUAGGAAUUGAAUCGAUUAAAAAAGGACAGAAUUAUCAAUUAUAUGUAAAUCAUUGUUGUUGUGGCUUUUUCUUGUGAUUGUUUUAUUUAUUAUGGAAGAAGGAAAAAGAAACGAAAAUGUAAUAUGAGUUCAGCAACUUAGUACUACGGUUUAGUGUUCUCUUCACUUGUAAGUAAAAUGUAUUUAAUUUGAUUUUCGCUAAAGGCGAAUUUGAACCACAUUACUAUGGUUAGCCCAUUGUGAGACUUGUCCAAUUCUCUACUUUUUUAGUGUAAUAUCGUUUGUUAAUAUAUAUAUAUAUAUAUAUAUAUAUAUAUAAAAUGGGUUCCGUCCAAAACAACGGGUUCAAAGUUAGUUUAUAUGCCAACGAAAUAGGCCCAACAUUUGGUUUCAAGGCCCACAGUUUUGGGCUUUAGUUGUAACAGCUGGGGGGAUCAAUGGGCGAACCUAUAAUGCCAGACAAACCCUGAUGGAAUUGGACCACGUCGGUGCAAAAACAGCUAAGCUAGGAAAUGCUGGAACGGUUUCCUCCUUGAGAAAAUCUGGGGAAACAGUCCUGUUUGAUCCUGUCUGAGACAGGGACCAUACGCUCCAACUGGUUUAAUGUUGUUUCUGUAGGAGCAGAAUUGUACUAACACAAAAGAAAAAAAAAAAAUACAGAAUAUAGAACCAAACGAUGACCUAGGAAAGAUUUGCUGACCAGACUACACAUAAGGGGUCAGUUUAAGUUCAAAUCUCGUUGAUGGCGAGUUUGAACCAAUUCAUUUACCCACUUCGUAGUGUAAAUAAUUUCGUUGUGUUUAAAAAAGGAGUUGGUUUAUGGUAUGUUUAGAGGAAUCGGGAUCCUCUUCAAGUCUCCAUGUUCGGAGCCCACAGACCCAAAAAUCUAGGUUGUUCAAACUGGGGCUAUACAUUUCUAAGAGAGUGGUCAGAAUAUCUGAAUCCGUAGACUCUGAACACAUAAAUUUGGGGAGGAUUUAGAGGUUUAUACAUAAGACUUAAACCUUAAUAAGUCCAAGCAUAUAAGAGAAACAUGGCAAUAUGGGGGUUGAUGAGUCCCAUCCUGUCCUUUAAAUUGGGAUUAUGUGGGGCAAAGUUUAAUAUCCUCAAAGCAUUUGAUUGUCUUAUAAGUACUUUAAAGUUUCAAAUCAUGAUUCAUGAAUUGAUGAUCACUUCAUAGCUAGGGCACGUAAUAUAACCUCCCCUCCCCUCCCAACCCAACAUUUCGAAUAUGUUCACCUAUGCUGCCAAACCAUGCAAUACCACAUGGGCCGCACAAUGGAUACGUAAAUCCUUAUUCCAAAAUCCAAAUGGACGGUCGUGGAUUCAUCUGCCAUGACAAGCUAUCAAAAAAAGUUUAAUCACCAAGUUCAUUUCCAAUACAUGAUCUGUCAAAACACACACUCAACAUGUCUCCAAUUCCCAUUUAAUAUGCUCCCCCGUAUUGAAACCUUUUUCCUAACAAAACCAGGAAAAUUCCGAAGAGAGGAGUCUAUUUAUCGCUGUAUUUUGGAAAUUUGUGCUUCUUGGGGAAGGAUUUAGGGUACAACAACAAUUGCUUUAUUCUAUUAAAUAGGGUCAGUUAUAUGAUCAUAAAAUGUCAUUGCACUCGGUUUUAUACUAAGUCUUUCGUUAGCUCUAUAUACUCAUUGUCUUUUCUUACAGUCUAUUUCCCAGUCUUUUUUUGUUCUUCUCUACCUCUUUUGUUUUGAGCUUCUGUCUUAUAAUUGCAUCUUCUAAUGGGAGCAUUUAUAGAUCUUCUGUUUACAUGUCCAAAUCACCUUAACCGAAUUUCUUUCAUCUUAUUUUCAAUUGCGGCCGUUCUAUUUUCGAAGGGAUUGAGGAUAAUAAUAAUAUAUAUGCGAAAGGGCAUUUGCAGAAGGAAAUGGCAGAGAGGAAUGUGAGUGUGUGUCACACCAACUGAUCAGAAAGAAUGUUGCUUUCACAUGGUUGGCUUUGGAUCCAAUAGACUAGAACCUAACAAAACGACCCCACAAGCACGAAAUCUACUUGGUUUGGCUCACAGUUUAAUUGUUCUUCAUAACAUCUAUGUUUAAUUAUUAUAACUAACUUAAUUAGCCUUAUCUUUAUCUUGAUCACAGCCCAAGAUUUGAGUCAACCUUGUAGUCACGUGUUGGAACGGAUAAUUGUGGUUUAACAAUCCAUAUUAAUUAAAAUGCAUGGAGGGGUUGUUACAAUAUUAUACAGUAAUGUAGUAUUCUAAUUAGAUACAUUUGGAUUUGGAGCUAAUUUGAAGUUUUAUUAUAUGUAAAUAAAGAUUACAAUCAAUUUAUGAUCAUCCAAUUAAGGGUGGGAUUGUGAAAAACAAAAUGCAAGUUGAGCUUUUUAGUUCUUUUUUGGUAUGUGCAUUACUGAUUGGGAAUGUGGCAUAAGCUUAAUAGUGGCAGCAAUUGCUUGGAAACCCAAAAAAUUGGGCGAAUCAAUGUUGACCUAAUUUGGUACGAAGAAGUAUAUUAUGAAUGCCCAAUAAAAAGCGGAAGAAUUCCUUAACGGGUAGGUUGCUUGCCACACAACACAAGCAUAGUUAGAGAAGGAAAAUGCACUGAAGAUUAAUAGGAGAAAUUUUUCACCGAGAACACGCGUGGUACACCAAAUGUCAUAUAUAAUACAAUUGGUUGGACAUUUGAAAAAAAAAAAUUGAACUAAUUAUAUUAUGACACUUGAUGUACGAGACUAUAAUUCAUUAGGUUUAGUUUAGUUUUUAUUUUUAUUUUAUUUUAUUAAGGCUAAGAAAACCUCAAUCAGGUUUUCGUAGUUAAGGUAAUUUUGAGCAAGAUCUUAAUUCGAUACUGCAAAUCUGCUGUCUCAAACCCUACCAUAUAAGUUAAUUGUUUUGGAAAGCCUAAACAACGACCUCGACAAGUCAUGUUCCUAGAUUCAUGAUUAAGGGGAUGUAUUCAAUUGAUAUUUUGAAGGGUUCUAAUUUUUUUAAUGAAUCUAAGGGUAUUCAAUCAUAAUUAUAAGUGAUUUUUUAAGAUUAUUCAAUCAGGAUUUUGAGAUAGUUUAUUAAAAUCUUUAUAAAUUUGGGUAUAUUCAAUUAUGAUUUUAAAGAAGUUUAUAACAUACCAUGUAUAUUCUGUUGGUACCACAUAUAUUGGGCCUCCGACAUUGACACAUUGAGCCUCAUUACCCAGCCCAUAAUUAUGUAAAAGGAGGAGCCCCUUAUUCUAUAAAAGGGGACUCCUCCCCCCUUCACAAAGGGGACUUUGUGAACCCAACAUAGGGCAAUACCCUCACAAACUCAACAACACUCUCUUUCUCUGGGGGACUCCUCCUCACCCUUGUAAUCCAUACAUACAGUCAGAGAAAUACAAUCAGUGUGGACGUAGCCCAAACAUUGGGGUGAACCACGAUACAUCUUGUGUUAUUUACAUUUUCUGCAGAUUCACGGUCGGAUUUACGUUGUUCCAAGACCUUCGGUUUUGUGCAUCAACAUAUUCAAUUAUAAAUUGAUUUUAAAGAAUUUGAACAAGUUGAAGAAUUAGAGGGAAUUAGAGAGAUUUCAUAGUGUAUUCUAAACAUCCACAAAUCUCAUCUCACCUCAUGAGAUUUCGAGGGAAUUGAAUCCAAAUUUUAUAUGGAGUCUAUAAAUCAAUUAAAUUCCGUAAAAAUCUAUGAAUUUAUAAAUCCAUUAAAAUCUCUCAAAUUUCCGAUUGAAUAUACCCCUCUAAGUUGUGGCAUGCAAGCUUCUUUUUAAGUACGAGAUCACUCUAGUGGGGUUUAAAAUCUGCACCCUUCAGGGUUAGAAAGUGAAGAAGUAUUAGAAAAAGGAGUGUAAUUACAUCAUCCAUUUGGGUCAAAUGAUGCAGGCUAUAUGAUCAAACUUUAUACUAAAUUAUGACUUUUAAGACCACAACUUAAAGAUAGUUCGAGAACAUAUAUAAUCAUGAUGAACUUUUUAGAUGUACUCUUAAAAGAGAUUUACCUCCAUUGUAUACACAACUGUAUCAUCAAUCUAAACUAAUAAUGAAGUGUCAUGAAAAAAAAAAUUUAAAUAAAAUGACGUUAUUAGUUUAUGAUACUAUUACAACGACGUAAUUUGUGUAGGUAAGUCCUUCUCGCAUAGAAGAGCAUGCAUAUUGUAUUUUGCUGGCAUGUUGGCAACAGGAAAGGGAAGAUGAUGAGGUUGAGCCUCCAGCAGCAUGGGUUAUGGGGGAGGUCCAAUGGCCCGACAGGCGAUUCACACGUUUUCCUAACUGCACAAAAGGAGAGAGCCACUUCGAACCAUUCAGCUUUUAGACCCCUGCAAAAGAUGAUAUUGCCUUUCUCUUUGGCACCCUUCACAUCUCAAUCAUCUCCUCUUUAACCCUAAUAAUUAUAUAUAGCUUUACGACUUUGCAUUACAUCUUUUAUGGAAAGUUCAUAUAUGUUGAUCUUUGAUUCCUCAUUUACUUACCAAUGAUGCUAUUAAUUCAGACGCACAAAAUUAACGUAUUUAAGGACACUUUUUAUUAGUAUAUGUAAGUCUAAAAUAUAAUAGUAGCCCUCACUUCUAUUAGAAAAAUGUACAUAAUGUGUAUCAAAAUAAUUUUAUUGUUUCAUCAAAGCGUGAUGCUAUUUGGAUACUUAAAACUAACACACUCUCUAAUACUAUAACAGUGGUAGCACUCACCUAUAUUAAAGAGUGUGACAACAAGUGUGUCAAAAAUAGUUUUAUUGUUUAAUUAAAAAGUGAUGCUAUUUGAACACAAAACUGAAACACUUAUUAAAAUGCUCUCAAAUAAAAGUGAGAGACCCACAUAAAAUGGUAUAACUCAACUAUAUUAGAAAUUGUUAGUUUUGUGUGCAAAUAACUUUAUUGUUAAUUAAAUACUCAUAUUAUCUUUUUUUUUUUUAACAAACGAUUUUAUCCACACUAAGGAGAGGGGGUGGACUUAGCCUUACAGUGGGCUAUCAACAAUGUGGUUCAAACUCGCAUUUGGCAAGAAUCGAACUUAAGUUAAGACCUCUCACUUACAAGUGAAAAAAAUACCACUAGACCGUAGUACUAAGUGGCAAUACUCAUAUUAUCUUAAUUGUUGAAUUGAGUUUUCCUCCAUAUGAUAGUGAAAGAUUAGUAGUGUUUAAAAAAUUAAAAGUGUCACCAAAUUAAGGAAGCUGUUUGAGGGAAUAUGUCAUAAAAAUGGAGAAUAUUCAAAGGGAAUACGAUCUUAUACGAAGAUUUAUUAUCUUUUUGCAACUAAAAAAAUUCUUAUAUGGCUGCCAAAUUAAAGCACACUAUAUACUAUUUAGUUAAUUAGCAUGAUAUGACCCUGUGAAGCAUUAAUGUAUAUAAGCAAGGCCGGCUUGGAGAUUUUAGGGACUUUGUGCGGAAUAUAUAGUAAAUGGACCUUAAUUUGUAUAAAAACUCAUGCUAUACAGCUAAUUUAUAUGUCUAUGUAUUAAUAAGGGAUCUAAGUAGUGUAUUUACUUCUGACUUAUCAUUGAAAUCAACAAACAUCAUGAAAAAUAAAAUAAAAACACAAUUAAUAGCAAAGCCGGCAGAAUCCAAACUAAAAACAUAAAAAUGAUUCUUCUUAUGCAUGUGGAGGCCCUAUUUCUUUUAUUCACAUGAAGAACCUGGAAAAUUUCUGAAAAAUGACAUCAUCCUUUAGCAGGGUUGGGAACCCGGUGCAAGACCGAUUGCACAUGCCCAAAACCGCCACUGUAGAUGAGGUCUUAUUCGCAUUGACGUGUUAAUAUAUGCUGCUUCCAAAAUAAUUAAUUAGUCAGUCUAGGGUUUGCGUAGAACAAAACCUUUACGUCACUUUACCAUCGAAAAUACUUUGAUUUUCAGUUUUGUCAUUAAUUAGCUAAUCAAUCAAUUAAAAAUGAUGAUGAAUAAAUUAACCAAUUGCCAAAAUAUUCGAUUAAUUGAGUUUAAGUUAAUGGCGAUAUAAGAGCGAGAAAUUAAGGAAAGAAAGAGAGGUUGAUCAGCUAAUGAUUUGGAUGAUCGUAUACAUGUAGAUUACAGAGAAGGGAAUAAACGGUGGUGGGAAGUUCAUGAGUUAUAACAUAAAAUCUUGAAGAACUCUAUCUCUUUCAUCAUAAAAUGGGUUGGUCUGGUUGGACCCAAGAACAAAUAUUUUGCUCAAACAAUAAUGUUUAAUAGGGAAGGUAUUGCCUGCUAGCCUACUCACAGCAGUCCAUUAUUUUGAGAACCGAAAAGACUAACAGAGCAUUUCAGCAUCUCUUUGGCCACCAUCAACACUAAGGAUCGAAUCCAAAACAUGCCUUGUUACGGGAUCGAACCCACUGGGCCACCCCGUAGUGAUUUGCCUACCCAUCAUAUGUUGGAGUUUUAUAAAAAUAAAAAAAUAGUAAGCUAGGUAGCAAUACCGAUGUGACUCUCAACAUAUGUAUUCACUCGUAUAGUUUGGCAUGUAUAGGGUUUUUAUCUAAAAUAAGGCUUCAACAUAUUAGGAACAAAACUAUUUAGUAUAAACUAUGUUUAGUUCCACCAAUUUUCAAAUAUAAAACUUUCUACAUUUUUCAACACAAGCACGUGAUGAAAGAAAAAGAGAUGUACCUUGAUUACAAGUAAGAAGCUCUUGCUAAGUGGAAGAGCAUGAUUGGAUGGACCAAAUCAAUGAGGAUAUAUACAUGCAACUUAAUUGAAAUUCGUUGGGUAAAUGUUUUAGGAUGUGAUGGUCAAAAUGUGAUGAACAAUCAGUUUUUGAUUGAAUUGCGAAGUCUUUGCCAAAGUUCAGUGAUUCUGUGAUUGAUUCUUACUCUUUUGUUUGAAACCGACCAGAUUUUGCCACCUUUAACGGCAAUCCACAAGUUUGGUAUCUUACUAUUGCCCAGUUCAUAAGGUAAACCUGCUGGGGUAGACUUUGGAUCAACACCAAGGAAUAUUCUUUUACUUAUCUUGAGACAUCGUCCCUCUACAUCUCAGUUUCAUGCAAGUCAUUUUCAUAAAAUUGGAUGAACCUUUUGAAUUCACAACACCUUUCUCUAACUUUGAAAGACAAGUGUAACUAGAACCAGGAACAAAGAAACCAGAAAGUCGAUUGAUAUGGAAAGAAGAUAGAAGACUGUCCACGUCAUUGAAGAACCGUACCACACGAAUGAGGCCACGUGUGUGAACCCAUGUUUUUUUUUUGGUCAAAAGAUAAAUUUUAUUAAAUUCUAAUAGAAACAUUCACACCUUCUGCAAGAAUAUUGAAAAGACAUUCAUGACCAUAAGCAUCCUAUAGGAACGAACCACAACGCGAGGUUGCAACUCCGCUGAACAUACAUAAACUUCACCUCCCUAAUCUGAGACGCCAAAUUCUGAAUAUAAAAAAUGAAGCAUUUCAAAUUUGCAUCAAUUGUGCAUUCCCCAUUUAUCAUGUUGAUAAGAGAUAGAGCAUCAUACUCUAUCUCUACCAUCUCAUAAUGCAUGUCCCUACACAUCACCAAAGCUGCACGAAUUGCAGCCGCUUCCACCAUAGCUGCACCAUUGAAAAACUCACCUCCCACCCCACCAGCCAUCUGCAAAAGUCCCGCAAAUCUCGCACCACCCACCCAUAGCCACCUAACAUUGAUUUCCCACGCCAUGCCCCAUCACAGUUAAUUUUCAAAGUCCCAAAACUAGGACGUUUGCAUCGAACUUGUUGCCCGGCAAAAACCGACGUUGAAGGUUUCCCGCAGCGCUCCUUCUCCCUUGUCUUUUCCUGCAUGUAGCGAACCCAUGUUGGGUUAAGCUAAAGAUAUCAGUUGGUCAAUUCCAAACCCACCCUUCACACUCUCCUGUCCCGCCUCCCGCCGGCCCCAAUGCCCUUGGAACCACGUACCCAACUACAAACAUAUAUUUCACGAUCACCUCUCUCCCUCCUCCGCCGUACAGAAUUCUACACCCGCCCGUGUGCAUCCCUUGCCUGUCUAUGUUGUUUGGAAAAUAUAGAGUACUUUAAAAGGGUUUUCUUCUUUUAAAUUAGCAUAGACGACUUACAAGAAUUUCAAAACAAAAAUAAUAAUCUCAUCAUAACGUUAAUGUACGUUUAAGAUAGCGAAAGCUUUGAAAUCACUUGCACGUUGGAAGUCAAAAGAUGCUCCUACAUACAACAACGACGUUGUUUUAUUUCACUAAGUGAGGUCAGUCGUAUAAAUUAUAAAACGCUACUGCACUCAAUUUUGCGUCAAGUAUUUCGUUAGCUCAAAGUACUCAAUGUUUUUUUUAAAGUAUUUUUUCAAAUUUUCCUAGGUCUUCAUCGAUCUACCCUUUUUGCACUGAGCAUCUGUCUCAUAAGCGCAUUUUCUAACCAAAGCAUUUAUAGAUCUUCGUUUCACAUGUUCAAACCACCUUAACCAAUUUUUUUUUCAUUACCUUCAAUUGCAACCACUCCUAAUUUGCCUUGGAUAUCCUCGUUAAUCUUGUCAUUUCUCGUGUACCCACACAUCUAACAAAACAUUCUCAUAUUCUCUACACUCAUUUUUUGCAUGUGUUGAUGCUUGGUAGUUGGUACCCCCAAAAUAUAUUUAUAUAUAUUGAAAAUAAACAGACAAAAAAAUUGGUAUAAAAUAUAAAAUUUUGCGGACAUGGUCGAGCAAAACUGCUAAUUUAAACACAAACAAACUUGCCCUCGAUUAAUAUCAUUUGUUAUUCACACUUUUAUUUUAAGAAGCAUAAUACUAGUAUUGAUUCUAGAAGACUUACAAUUUUCAAGUAAUAUAAUAAUGAUUCAUUUGUUCUUCACAUUUUAUAUACGACAUUAUUUGUUGUGUACCCCAAUCUUACACUUUAACCAUCCAUUUAAAUAAUUAUCUAUUUAAGUACGAUUAAAAAAAAAGAAAAUUCGAACAAAAAUAUAAAGAGAAAACACAUUAUCUUAAGCAACUAAAUUACGUAUAUGUGUACAUAUUUCAUGUUUCUAGUGGUACAGUAGAGCAUUAGUUUAUCCCCUCCAUCAAUGUUCCACCCUCUACCCUCUGGUGGUCCUUACUCUCUUUACAAUAUUUAAAUUGUCUUAAUCAAUUUAUUAUUAUAACUAAAAAUUUAUAAAAAGAAAUUGGCAUAUAUACGCGCACCCGUGUGUGUGUAUGUAUAUAUAUUUUUAAAAUUGAUAUUAUUAUUUAUUAGCAAGCGAAAUUAUUAGUUGUUAUGUAAAAGACAUUAGUUUUCCUUAGAACGAGAGUUUUAACGAAACACUCAUAGUACUGUUCAUUUUAACGAAAAAUGACAAUUUUACUUUAAAAAGUCACUCAUUGUACCAUUCACUUACAACACAUUUUUGUCAUUUUGAUUAAAACUCAAAAUUUUCAAGUAAUUUUCAUUAGUUUUCCUUAGAAUUAAACCUAUACUAGAAUGCAUAAUCAUCAUUACUUUCUAUUAUUGUCCUAAAAUGUCAUAUGCGUCCAUAUAUCUUGACUUUAGAGUAAGAUUUUCUCAUCUCCUAUUUCUCUCUCCUUGUCUCACACUUUCUUUUUUGUCUUAUUUCUCAAUAAGAAAAUCAAUAUAAGAUGCUUACGUAACUUUUUUUUUUUGACAAGUACAAUAUUCAUUAGGACAGGACAAAAUUCGUACAAACUGAGGAUAGUGUGCUAAAUGGGCAUCGAUAAAAAACUUGUCGGAGAUUUUAACCCGGUCUAAGAAAAAGAGUGUCCUGCACAACGAAAGAGCUAUCCUCUUACGUAACUUAAUCGUACUAUUUAAAUAGAAUAAGAAGAAAUAAGAGAGAUUAGGAGAAGAUAAUCCUACUCCUCGACUAUCAUUAUCUACUCUGUUAUCUCUGUCGCCCUAUAUAUAAUAUUCCCUCCAAAGUUACUACAACUCAAUUCCCCUUGUAAAAUCACUCCCUCCCUACUCUCAAACGCUCUCUCUCUCUCUCUCUCUCUCUCUCUCUCUCUCUCUCUCACAUCAGCAAUAUCAGAACCUGAGAUAACACUGAUAGAGCGCAGCCAACAGCAGCUGCGCAAAGUAUACUUCCAAUUCCCGGUUCGUUAACUAACGGUUUUCCUCUCUUCCCAUUUUACCCCUCCCGUCUUCUCCAAUUCACAUCCAAACGCCAUCGCACCUCCACCACGAGAUCUGAACACCGGAAGAGUGACUAAUAAUUAAGCAACGGCGCCGUUUCACUCACGCGCACUCCCAACAGCCAGUAAAAAAUGAUUUCGUGGCACGACCUUUACAACGUGUUGACGGCGGUGGUGCCGCUGUACGUGGCGAUGAUCUUAGCCUAUGGCUCCGUCCGGUGGUGGAAGAUCUUCUCCCCUGACCAGUGCUCCGGCAUCAACAGCUUCGUGGCGAUAUUCGCUGUCCCCUUGCUCUCCUUCCACUUCAUCUCCACCAACGACCCCUACACCAUGAACUUCCGGUUCAUCGCCGCCGACACCCUCCAGAAAAUCAUCAUGCUCUUCGCCCUCGGCCUAUGGACCAACUUCACCCGCAACGGCAGCCUAGAGUGGCUGAUUACGAUUUUCUCCCUCUCCACCCUCCCCAACACUCUCGUCAUGGGGAUUCCGCUGUUAAUCGCCAUGUACGGCAAAAAAAUCCCGGAAUCCGGCAGCCUCAUGGUGCAGCUGGUGGUGGUCCAGUGCAUCAUCUGGUACACUCUCCUACUCUUCCUGUUCGAGUACCGCGGUGCCAAGCUCUUAAUCAUGGAGCAGUUUCCGGAGACCGCUGCCUCCAUCGUCUCCUUUAAACUCGACUCCGACGUCGUUUCGCUCGACGGCAGGGAUUUUUUGGAAACCGAUGCCGAAAUCGGUAACGACGGAAAGCUCCACGUCAAGGUCCGGAAGUCCAACGCAUCGAGGCGGUCGCUAUCUGCAAUGACGCCCCGGCCGUCUAACCUCAGCAGCGCGGAGAUUUACAGCCUGAGCUCCUCCCGAAAUCCCACCCCGCGAGGCUCCAACUUUAACCCCUCCGAUUUGUACUCCGUGAUGGGGGUUCAUGGGUUCAACAGCCGCCACUCCAACUUCGGACCCGCCGACUUGUAUUCGGUUCAGUCCUCCCGCGGUCCGACUCCACGGCCCUCCAAUUUCGAGGAGAAUUGCGCGGCUCAGACCGUUAUGACGGUACCCGCAUCGUACCCGGCCCCGAAUCCUGAAUUCUCGGCGCCCACAGCUAAAAAUAGCAACACAAUUCAACAGCAGCAGCAGCCGCAAGUGGCAGCGCAACCGGUUUCGGACAGUGCUGCUGCUAAAACGAAUAGUCAUCUCGAUGCUAAAGAGCUCCACAUGUUCGUUUGGAGCUCCAGCGAGUCCCCUGUUUCUGAAGGCAGUGGGCUCCAUGUUUUUGGUGGGACCGAUUUCGGUGCUGCCGAGGAAUCUGGACGGUCCGAUCAUGGCGCCAAGGAGAUCAGAAUGCUUGUUGCUGACCACCUCCAAAAUGGAGAAAACAAAGGUAACUAACGUUUAUUUCCCGACAAAAAGUGUUUGUAAUCUGAAUAAAAUACACGAAAAUAUUUGACAAGUUAUCAUUUUCUUAAUUAAUAUUCUUUAUUUUGUGCGGUGGCAGUUCCGGAGAGUGCGCCAACGGCGGAGGGGUACGGCGGGGAAGCGUUGAGAUGUGGCUGGAGGGGUGGCGAGGGAGAGGAGGCUGAAGGGGAAAAAGAGGGAACCACAGGGCUUAAUAAGCUGGCGUCCAGCUCCACUGCAGAGCUGCACGCAAGGGGCGGAAGGCAAAUGCCGCCGGCGAGCGUUAUCACCCGUCUGAUCUUGAUCAUGGUUUGGCGGAAGCUUAUCCGUAACCCCAACACGUAUUCGAGCCUCAUUGGUCUCAUCUGGGCUCUCAUCGCUUUCCGGUGAGACAACUUAAUCCAGUUUUAUUAAACUUGUUUUUUUUUAAUAUGUUUGAUACAAAUAUUUUUAACUAACACUAGCCAAUGAGCACACACUCUGUGGGUGGGAAUAAUUUCAUUUUAUUUUUAGUAUUUUCAUUAAGGAGUGUGAUUAGUUUUUAAAAUUUUAAAAAGAAUAUGAACAAAUAAUUGUGGGAUAAUUUCUCUUAAUAAAUGCAUAUUUUAUCUUAAUAUUACAUAAUUUUUUUUAAAAAGAGUAUGAAAAAAUAAUGAUAAGACAAUUUCUCUUAAUAAGUGCAUAUUUUAUCUUAAUAUUACAUAAUUACUGUUUUUUUGUUUUUUCAUUAAGGAGUGUGAUUAGUUUUGAAUUUUUUUAAAAAAGUAUGAAAAAAUGAUGGUGGGACAAUUUCUCUUAAUAAGUGCAUAUUUUAUCUUAAUAUUACAUAAAAAAAUUUAAAAAGAGUAUGAAAAAAUGAUGGUGGGAUAAUUUCUCUUAAUAAGUAUAUAUUUUAUCUUAAUAUUACAUAAUUAUUGUUUUGUCCUCCUUAUGUAAAUAUUGUGUAUCAAAAGUGAGGGUAAAAUAGGAAAAAUAGGAAUAUGAUUGUCAUUUUCUCAAAGAUACAAAAUUACUGUUUUGCCCUAGUUAUGUAAGUAUUGUGUAUUAAAAGUGAGGGCAAAAUAAGAAAAAAUAGGGUAAAAAUUUGACAAAAAGGGUUCUCUAAAUAAUAGUAUAGAUUAAAAUUUAUGAUUUGAAUUAUUGGAUUUGUAGGUGGCAUGUGGGGAUGCCAAAAAUAGUAGAAAAGUCAAUUUCCAUACUGUCUGAUGCUGGACUUGGAAUGGCUAUGUUCAGCUUAGGUAAGUUAUAUGUUUCUUGAUUACCAUACUCUUUCAAAUUAAUAACUUCAUAUUCUUCUCUUGGAUAAUACUUAGAAAAUUGUUACUAGCACUACACAAUAUUUCUUCAACAUUCCUAAUUAGAUAAAGAAAAACUGUAACAACAACCACACCAACAAAGUUUUAUCACAAUGAGUGAGGUUGAGUGCAUGAAUUCUAGAACGUCACUGUGCUGGAUUUUGCGCUAAGUUUUUCGUUAGCUUUAAGCACUCAAUGUCUUUUCUUAGAGUCUGUUUUCAAGUUUUUCUAAGUUUUCCUCUACCAUUUUUGCCCAGAGCCUCUGUUUCCUAAUAAUAAGUUGCACCGCCUAGAACAAUAGUCAUGGUUCGGUAAUUUAUGCAAGUAAACAUUGGCAGAAUGUUGUUUGUCUAGCGUAAACCGAAACACACUAUGAUAAUAUAUUUCAAGUCAAUUACGCAUUUGUUAUAGCAUAAUUUCAAUUACAGAUAAGUUUAUAUGGGUGUGGAUACGCAGUACUCUGACGAAUCAUAACCAACCAGUGGUUCUUACAGCUGUUUGUUUGGUCACAAGAAAGAGAAGUUGAAGGCUGCAGUUUAAGGAGUUCACUAUAAUUGGACAUUUUUCACGACAGAUGCGUGAUUAGGUCCAAAUUAGUCAAUGUAGUUGAAAGUUUGAGAUAACCGGCUGGAGUAUGGGAAUAGGAAAUUUGAGCUUUUGGUUUGUGUGAAAGAGAGUUUGAAAUCAUUAGUUUGUGUGAAGUGAGUCAACGAAAUGAGUUAAUGGAAAUAAUAAGAUGCAAUUUAAGUUGUUUGGAUUGCCUGAUCCUUGGGUCGUAGACAGUAAACUUAGUAAGAUUCGGAGUGAAUCUAUGUCUCUUACGAAAAUAAAUAAACUUGUUUAUGUUAAUAUAUUUCUAUUCACGGGUGAUUUUAGCACUUCUCGUUUGACUUUCCUUCUCUUUGUAACUUAAAUUUAAUUUGUAACAAAGGGAAUAACGAGUUACUGAUGAUUUUGUUGUUGUAUUGAUGAUAAAAAUGACAGGUCUUUUCAUGGCACUUCAACCCAGGAUAAUAGCAUGUGGGAACUCAGUUGGCGGAUAUGCAAUGGCAGUAAGGUUCCUCACUGGCCCCGCCGUUAUGGCUGCCGCCUCCAUUGCUGUUGGCCUCCGGGGCACCCUCCUCCACUUAGCGAUUGUCCAGGUACUUUUAAAUUACCCAUUACGCCCUUCAACUUUUUCCUUUUCUUUACGCUUAAUAUUGGGAUAAUUAUUAAAAAAAAUUAAUCCAUGUGUGGCAAACUAGGCUGCUCUUCCUCAAGGACUUGUUCCCUUUGUCUUUGCCAAGGAGUACAAUGUUCAUCCAGCCAUUCUUAGCACUGCGUAAGUAGAAACAUUGUAUCUCAAACUUAGUUCUCGUUUGAAAGUGCUGUUAAAAUGACUGAAAACGUUUUUGGUAAUAUUGAUUUUAGGUGUUAAAAGCACUUUAAGUGAUUUUCUCAUGAUAUAUUUGAAGAUUGGUUUUAAAAACAUUUUCACUAAAGCGCUUUUAGUCAUUUUUAAAGCACUUCAAAUCUAGCGCUUAAUCCCUUCUUAUCUUAAUCAAACUUAAUUUUAUUUUAUAAUAUUAACCAAUUAAAUAAUUUCUUGCAGGGUUAUUUUCGGAAUGUUGAUAGCGUUACCUAUUACAUUGGUCUACUAUAUUCUUCUGGGAUUGUAAUUGUUGGUGUCACAGAAGCACAGAUGGAUACACAAAGCUAGGAAAAAGAAGAGAGAUCAAAUCGUAUGUGUGUGGCCACGCAAAAAUACUCAAAAUGUGUCACACAUUGAAAUCGACAAGGAUUUUCUGGUAGAGAAAAAGCUUAGCUAGCUAGAUUAAGUACGAUGGAAAUCAACGAAGAAUCCGCCGAGGUCUGAAGGUGUUUUAUUCCAAAUUUUGGGGAGCAAAUUAAUAGAUUUUUUUACUUUAUGUAAUUAAGAAAAGCCCUGUUUAUAAGGAUCAUGCUCCCAUGAAAGGCCGAAGUUAGUCUAAAUUUGUGAGAGCUUGUUGGAAGGGAGCAAACGUAGGAGAGUAAAACAAGGAAGAAAAGCAGAUGAUUUAUUAAUUAAUCAAUGUGCUUUGUUGCGUUAGAUUUUGCGUCAGACUUAUUGAUUUUUAUUUAUUUCUUUAAUCAUACGUGUUCUUUCUGCUCUCAACUAAACUAAGAAAACAAAAUAUUCGAGAGCAGUAAGUUGAAGAUGAAAAUCGUAUCUAACAAUGCGAUUCCCCACUUAUGCCUCUUCUAUAUUUUAAGCAAUGGGAGCAACUUGUAGUAUUGUUCUGUGAAGACUUUUACCACUUGGGGGUUAGAGCAACCGAACAAGCAAAGGUUUUUCUCGAAAGCACAUUGUCUUUCUAUCAACUGAAAGUGAGAACGAAUCAUGUACGUUUAGGCACAGGAGAGGAUUUUGUAGUUGGGAAGGGGGUGAUGCUUCUUCUUUCAAGAGAAAAAGUUGAGAGAAAGUAAAACAGAGACGUAGAUAAACACAAGUCAAAAGUAGUUUUAGACUGUUACUUAAUACUACUAUUUAGUGAUAUUCUUCUUCAUUUGUAAGUUGCAAGUGAGAAGUUUUAGAUUCGAUUAUUGCCAAAAAUAAAUUUAAACUACAUUAUUAUGACUAGUUUAUUGUGAUGCUUACACUUCCCCAACAGCUAAUAUUAUUGUUCGUUAAAAGAACAUAGUUUUAGGCUUAGAUUACUCUUUUGCUUUUCGCUUUUGAUGCAGCCACACUAAGUCACGAAGCCCACAACCCUACCCUACUUUUUAGUUUUUAUUUAGGCCCACUAGGCAGUGGUGGGAUGGUCAACACAAUUAAAAUUUAAGAGUGAUUAUAUUCACACACCUCAAAUUAUUUUUUUCAUACUUUUUUAAUUUUUUACACACCACUAUACUUGAUAGAAAAAUAUUAAAAAAUUAAAAGAUGUGGAUGAAGUAAUUUGGAAUGUGUGAAUAUAAUCUCCCAAAAUUUAAUUGUAUUUUUUUAGUUUUUUAUUUUUAAACGAUUAUUAUUAGUACUCUAAAAUAUAAUUAUGCAUUUCAAAUUUUUUAUAUUUAAAACAAAUACGUAUAAAAUGUGUAAAAUUAUAAUGUUAAAGUGCUAAUAGUAGUUCCUUAUUUUUAUUUUACUUUUUUCCUCAUGAGGAAAUGAUAAAUAAUACUUAGUUACUCAAAUGAUGAGUAUGAGUUCCUAUUCAAAAUUAUUCGGUGCAAAUUCAUAUAAUUCGUGUUUAUGAUCAGAAUCGUUCGUAUUAUAAAUCAUUUUAUAAAGAUCAUCUCUACAAAAAAAUCAAUUAAACCUAAUGUCUUUUAGUGAACAAAUGAACGAAAUUGGUAAAAACACUACGAACUGUCUUUGUAUUUGCUACAAUAGAUUGACUAAACGUCCUAAAUUUAAUUUAUUUUUUGCAGAAAUGUUAUUUACAGAGUGAUUCAUAAUAUGAAUAGUUUUGAUUAUAAAUGGGCCAAUUAAGUUAAGGGCAUUUUUUUAGUACAAUCGGUAUUUUACAUUAGUUUAUAUUAAAGGUGAAUGAAAAGAUUUAAACUUGGGACGUAAUAGCUUGAAGAAGAGUUUUUCAACUAUCAGGGUAAAAGAAAUGCUUAUGGAACUAUCCAUAGAUUCUCUGUCAUCUCAGGUAGUUUUUAUCACAAUAUUUUAUAAUAGGGUAAAUUACAUAGUAGCCCCUCAGGUUUGAGGUCUAUUACAACCCCAUACAACAUCUUUAAAACAUUUCACUUUCAUACCUCAAGUACUAUUUUAUUUCAAAAUAAUACAACCGUUAGAUUUUCCAUCCAUUGAUCCGUUAAGCGCUGACGUGGCUGCCACAUUUGUGCCACGUGGCUGCCAAAUGUGUGCCACGUGGUUAAAAAAAAUUAUUUUUUUAUUUUUUUUAAAACCUAAGUCUUCUAUUAAAAAAAAAAAAAAAGCCCAAAACAAAUGCAGAAACGCGCAACCCAGCAAACUCACUUCCUUUCCCUACCCCCCCACGCCCCCGCACCCGCACCACAGCACCUCCCUUCCCCACCUUCCCAGACCUUCCCCGAGCCCUUCCCAGCAGCUCCCCCCCACCCAGAAACCUUUUCCCCCCCCUCCCGCAGCAUACCCACACCCUCCCCGCAUGACCCGUCCGCAGGCUUUUUUUGGGUUUUAGGAACUCGAUCAAAUUAGGGUUCUUUUUCUUCUAAUUCCUGUUCAAAGAAUCAAUCAUAGAAGAGGAGGCAAUGGCGACAGAGUCAUCGGAGGGAGAAGAGGAUGCGAAGCUGAUGGGAGGGAACCAGCUACUGGUAGUCGACGACGAUCUCAGAGAAAUGGGCAAGAAGGCUGCCUGGAGCGUUAGCUCCUGCAAGGCCGGCAAUGGCGUCUGUUUUCCGUGACGACAAUCUCGACACCUACUGGCAGUCUUUGCUCCAAUUCCCCUUUCCUACUUUAAUCCCUCAAAAUAUUGAAAUCUUUGAAUUUUAAUUUUGUUUGUUUGUUCUUGGUUUGCAGAUCCGACGGUGUGCAGCCUCAUUUGGUGAACAUUCAAUUCCAGAGGAAAGGCUUCAAGGUAUGGUGGUUGCAGGUAGGGGAGUCGGGGGAAGAAGAGAUGGGAGGAGGAGGGGGACGACGAACUGAUGGGUAUUUUUUUUUUUCUGGGUUGCAGAGGGGGUUUUUUUUUUUUUUUUUCUGGGUUGCAAAGGGUUUUUUUUUUUUUUUUUUUCUGGGUUGCAGGGGGAAGAAGAUGAAGAUGGGGGAGGAGGAGAAGAUGGAAGGGGGGGAGACGAACUGGGUUUAGGUUUAGGUUUUUAUUAUUUUUUUUUAAAUUUUAAUUUUUUUUUAUAAAUUUUUAUUUAGAAGAUUUAGGUUUUUUUUUAAAAAAUAAAAAAAUAAUUUUUUUUGCCACGUGACACACAUUUGGCAGCCACGUGGCACAAAUGUGGCAGCCACGUCAGCGCUUAACGGAUCAAUGGAUGGAAAAUCUAACGGUUGUAUUAUUUUGAAAUAAAAUAGUACUUGAGGUAUGAAAGUGAAAUGUUUUAAAGAUGUUGUAUGAGGUUGUAAUAGACCUCAAACCUGAGGGGCUACUAUGUAAUUUACCCUUUAUAAUAUUGACAUAAGAAUUGAUAUUAAAUUGUGAUGUGACAGAAAGUCAAUAGUCCUACUUUUUAGAGAAUCUCUUUAGUAUUUCUCACUAGGUGAUCCACCACUUGUAAGUUAAGAUGGUAUUUCAAUUACCAAUUAAUUAAAUCAAUGUUUCUAGAUGCAAAAUCCAUCGACAAGUUGGUGAAUUUUAGGAUAAUUAGGCAUUAGGGCAAAGGGGAACCCCGUAUCCCAAGAUUUGAUGUAAGGAGGAGGGGUUAUGUAGUUUUGGGAGGGAACACACGCACUACACAGUGUUAGGUGUUAAUUUCCCCCGUAAAAAGUUAAAAAAAGUAAGGAAUCAAAGAACAAAAAUUAGGCAAUAAAUCACGGACAAGGGAAGAAAGACCAACAUGCUCGACGAUCGAUCAGUCGGCCAAUAAGAAAACGAAAGCGACGGCAGUCAUGCAUGCAUGCAUGAGUCCAUUUUUGCUCACUACCCUUAAGUGAUGGUAAUGCUCACCAUCCUAUUUAUAAGUCUAUAACCGUUAGAUGAGUUUGAAUUUUGAGAUUUGUCAUAUCCACUACACAAAUCUCGAAAUUCAAACUCAUCUAACAGUAAUAAAUAAAGUGAUGAGCAUACACCAUUGUUUAUGAUAGUGAGGAAAAAUACUCUCAUGCAUGCAUGCAUGCAUGUUGAAUGUUGGAGGUUGCAAAUUGGCGAAUUACGAAACGGCGGACUCAGCCUUGACAUGCAGAUGGGUUCGCUCUCACAUGCGAUUGUAGCCACAAUCCAACAAAUGCAAUUAAGCAGCUAGCUCUCACCCCCAUGUGUGCACUGUGUUGUCUACCGCACUGUGUUGUCUACCUCACUUUCUUCUCAAUAAUAUAUAAGAAUUCAUGAUUUAUAUUCAAACUUCAAAUUACAUAGACACGUCUUGUGAUAAACUCUUACAUUUGUCAUGUUGUGUAUUUGAUAAAAUGCUAGUUGAAAGACAAUUUAUCAAUGUAAACUCGUUAGGUACUGAGCUUUUUCAUGAAAUCUUGACACUGUCUCAACUCACUAUCCUGUUUUAGUAGCUACUACUUGCUAAUGAUUAAAUGGCUAAUAAUUAUCAAGUUGUAAAUAAUAUCGGUGUGCAAGUGAUAAUUACUAAGUUAAGGAUAAUAUCGGAGUUGUUUUAAGUGAAUAUUUGGCUCGUCUCUCAACAAUUUGACAUUAUUUUCUAUUCAAACACGUGACCAAAGUGGCCGGGGUCCAUGCUCAUGUGGAUCUCCAUGUUUUGUUCGUGUGGAGCUGGAGCCUAGAGAGCUUGCUAAAACUGUUUCAAACGGCGAUUGCAGCCAAACAUGCCAUUGCAAUCUAUAUAUGACUGAUCGAAUUUCUCAUUGACACCAGUAGACAAAAAGAUAUAUAUAGAAUCCAAGCAAGGUAGGAACUGUUUGGGAACCAAGUUCCUCUGAGGCUUUUGGACUUUGUUGUUGCAACUUUUCUUUGGAUACAAAGGGGGAAUGGACCCCAAUGCGACACGAACCACACAGAUACACACACAUCAACAACAACAACAAUAACAAAGUUUUUUCACUAAGUAGGGUCGGCUACACACACAUAUACAUAUAUAUAGUUAAGCAGCUAUAAGAGUCUGAGGGUCCUACCAUUUUAGGACUUUUUACCCUGUAAAGGGAUCGAACCCAACUUUGUGUGGAUGAUAAAAUACAUGCAUGGAAGCCGAUUAGGUUUAUAAAUUAAGAGUCCCCCCCGAUAUGGAAUUAUAAGGUCCUAAAACUCCAGGCCUUUUCAAGUUUGAACUUAUCUCAAUGUAACACACACACACACACACACACACACACACAUAUAGAUAUAUAUAUAUAUAUAUAUAUCCUUUUGCAGCUAAAGAAGAAGCCUCUGCAUAUGCAAUGCAUGAUUAAUUGAUCGUUUGCUGCUGAUUAUUCCGAACUUUAGUCGUACAUUAAUGCCGUCAGUCCAUAUAUAAAAAUUUACUUAUUCAUUGAUUGGGUUUUCAACGAGUUGUUUUAACAAUAAUGUUAUUUAGACUCACAAAACUACUGAUGUUAAUUACUACAUGCUCUUUAAUAAUAUAGAUGAAUUCACCAUUGUACGUAAAAUAUGUUAGCGAUAUUGUCAAUUUAUGUAAAGAUAAAUGGGUGAUUAGAUUGGACUGAAGAUGAGUAGGGUACACCAUAAAGAACAUAUGGUAGUGUCCUUGUGCGCGUGGCUUCAUACUUGAGCAUACAUGGGGGCCAUGCUACCCUUCUGGUCCUAAGUUCUGCAGGCACACCACCUCAUGAUACAAAAUCAAAUCUUCUGAAUAAUGAAACUAUGAUUAUGUACUGCGUGACUUAAUCGGUUCCUUUCAAUAUUAUAUGCCCCCUAGCUAUUUCAUAACCAAAAUUUAUUCAGGUGGAAAUUUUCAAUAACAUAAGAGUGUGUGUGUGUGUACAUACAUAUAUACAUAUAUAAAAGAAUCGAGAGAUAUCAAAAGAAAUGUUCACUAGUACAAAAACAUGUUUGCGCGACGGAAACUUGCGCGACGCAGCAAAUUUCGUCGCGCAAAUAGCCUUUGCGCGACGACACUUUGCGCGACGAAGUCUUGCGUCGCUCAAAGCAGUUUUGCGCAACGAAGGUAUACCUACGUCGCGCAAAACAUCUUUGCGCGACGCAAGCCUUCGUCGCGCAAAGUGUCGUCGCGCAAAGGCUGUUUGAGUGACGUUUUGUGCAUCACCAUCCCAACUUUGCGUGACGCAUGUGCAUAUACGUCGCGCAAAGUCGACGACUUUUUUUUCUAAAAUAACCACACACAAGGGCCUUUUUCUUCACACUCAACCUCUUUCUUUCAGACUCUCCGUCUCUCUCAACCUUCAGGUAUUGUAUUUAUUUGAUUAAUUAAUUAACUAUUUAUUGAUUACAUUUAUGUUUGGAUUUUUUAUUUUUGUGUAUUUAUGUUUUUCUUUAAUUAUCUUUGUCAAUGCUUAUUUUUAACAAGUUGAGUUUUGGUUUUGAACAAUUGAAUGAGUAGAAUGAAUGACUAGGAGUAUGAAGGAUUUUGAUAGGUUUAGGGAAACAAAAGCUAAGAAACUGCAAGUUGCUCAGUUAACUUGAUCCAAUUUAGGGAUAGAUUGAUGUGUGCAAAAAAAUGAUUUCAUUUCUCACCAAAUUGGGAAGAGGAAACUAGAAUGUUAGACAUUUAGAGAAGAAUCCAGUUUACAUCUUUGUCAAACCACUAUUCUAUUAUGUGGUUAGUAAUCAUUUUAGGUGUAGUCUCUACCCUUUACGAUUUUGAAUACGUAGUCUCAUCAUAUAGGUCCUUAAACAAUAAUUUUAAGGCAUGAGUGGAAGAGGUAUACAAGAAGUAAAAACUGUGGAAUAUAGGAAAAAAAAAACACUUUGCGCGACGGAGGUACACAUGCGUCGUGCAAAGCUACUUUGCGCGACGCAUGUGUACCUCCGUCGCGCAAAGUGUUUUUUUUUUUUUUUUGCCUUUUGCUUUGCUUUUGGGGUUCUUGCAUUGGCUUUUUCUUUUGUGGUAUCCACUUGUGUAAAUGUUUUAAAUUGACGAUCGAAUUAGUUCCUUGCAUUCAUAUAGGAUCCAAGAGUGUAGCUGUAAAAAAUCAUCAAAAUCGGAGUUAAAAUAACCGUUAACUCGUUAUUUUUUCUUUUAUAACCGUCAAAAAGUUUUGUCCCGUUACUUGAUCUUUGAAGGUUUGUUUUUUUCAAUUUUUGGCGUAUGUGAUCUCAAAGCAUAUACAAACAAAUUUGACGGUUAGAUCGUUGAAACUAGUUUUGUACAAUGUGUAUCCCAUUAAAACAAUAGAUUCCCUAACACUUAUAUUUUAUUUAUACUUUCAUCAAGUAUAACAUAAAAUUUUGUGGUAUCCACUUGUGUAAAUGUUUUAAAUUGAUGAUCAAAUCAGUUCCUUAUAUACAUAUAGGAUCUAGGAGUGUAGCUGUAAAAAAUUAUCAAAAUCGGAGUUAAAAUAACCGUAAAAUCUUGAUUUUUUUGUUUAUAACCGUCGAAAAGUUUUGUCCCGUUACCUGAUCUCUGAAGGUUUGUUUUUUGCCAUUUUUGGUGUAUGCGAUCUCGAAGCAUAUACAAACAAAUUUGAUGGUUGGAUCGUUGAAACUAGUUUCAUACAAUGCGUAUCCCAUUAAAAUGAUAGAUUAUCCAACACUUAUAUUUUAUUUAUACUUUCAUAAGUAUAACAUAAGAUUUUGUGGUAUCCACUUGUGUAAAUGUUUUAAAUUGACGAUCGAACCAGUUCCUUGUAUUCAUAUAGGAUCCAGGAGUGUAGCUGUAAAAAAUCAUCAAAAUCAGAGUUAAAAUAACCGUUCAAUCGUGAUUUUUCGUUUAUAGCCGUCGAAAAGGUUUGACCCGUUAUAUAAUCUCUGAUUGUUUGUUUUUUGCGAUUUUUGGUGUAUACGAUCUCGAAUCAUAUAUAAACAAGUUUGACGGUUGGAUUGUGGAAACUAGUUUCGUAAAAUGCAUUUCCCAUCAAAACGAUAGAUUUACUAAAACUUGAGAGUUUAUUUAUACUUUCAUUAAGUAUAACAUAAGAUUUUGUGGUAUCCACUUGUGUAAAUGUUUUAAAUUGACGAUCGAACCAGUUCCUUGUAUUCAUAUAGGAUCCAGGAGUGUAGCUGUACAAAAUCAUCAAAAUCGGAGUUAAAAUAACCGUGAAAUCGUGAUUUUUUCGUUUAUAAUCGUUGAAAAGUUUUGUCUCGUUACUUGAUCUCUGAAUGUUUUUUUUUUACGAUUUUUGGCGUAUGCGAUCUCGAAGUAUAUACAAACGAGUUUGACUGUUGGAUCGUUGAAACUAGUUUCGUACAAUGCGUAUCCCAUCAAUUUCAAUACAUUCACAAAGACUUGAAGUUUAUUUAUAAUUUCAUUAAGUAUAACAUAAGAUUUUGUGGUAUCCACUUGUGUAAAUAUUUUAAAAUGACGAUCAAAUUAGUUCAUUGUAUUCAUAUAGGAUCAACGAGUGUAGCUAUAAAAAUCAUCAAAAUCGGAGUUAAAACUACAGUUAAAUCGUGAUUUUUCGUUUAUAACCGUCGAAAAAUUCCUGUAACUUGAACUUUGAAAGUUUGUUUUUUGUCGAUUUUUGACGAAUGCGAUCUCGAAGUAUAUACAAACAAGUUUGACGGUUAAAUCGUAGAAUGCGUAUCUCAUCAAGUUGAAUGGUACAUAUAUUUAUUAAGUAGCUUUAAUUUUUUUUAUUUUGUACGUAUAACACUUAAGAAAUUGAAUGGUAUAUAUAUUUAUUAAGUAGUUUUAAAUUUAUUAUUGUACGUAUAACCCUUUGCACGACGCACCAACCAAUGCAUCGCGCAAGUUGUUGAAAUUUUGGCGGUACGAUUGAAAAAAAUAGGCGCUUUUUUUUUUUAAUUUUUCUCAAAUUACUUAUAAUUGCUCUCGCUUGGUCUCUCUCUUCCUUCUCGCUCAUCUCGCCCUCUCUCUCACUCCGUCUCGCUCUUCUCUCCCACUCCGUUAGACGAAUUACAAAGACGAAGGAAGACAGCAGCCACUACCCACCCAUCUGUUUCUCCUCCGCUCCACCCUCCGUCGGCGUUUUGGGCAUUUUACCUGAUAGGGAUGUGCACCACCAGUAGAGCCGCGACUUGUGGUACGCAUUCAACCGAGAGUCACACACUGACACAAGUACACUAUUUGCCUGUAAUCUUCGUCUCCGCACAACACACAUACGUGGGUCGGUAAGCCCUUCCAAUUUCCCAAUCAUUUCCCUUCUCAAAUUUUGACAUAUAUGAAUUCCCAGUAUUCCAAUUACCAGGAAUUCACAGUGUUUGCUGUUUGCGUUCCCAUUUCACUGUAAAUUUCAAUCCUCACUGCCAUUUUUCACCUUAGUUUCCAGUAAUCAGUGAGAAAAAGUGUAAAUUUACCUGUUUAAAUUUGUGGGUUUUCGUUCUAUUACCGUAUAAUGGCGAUUUCUAUGCUUUACGGAGCUCAGAAUCUCAAACUUGUCAAUGGAAUAAUAGCAGUAACACCAAGUGGGUUAGGUUCUGGUGGGAAAAAUUACCCUUAUGGGGUUUUUCCCAGAAGGGUUUAGUGAGCUAUGGCGGUAGGAGUCGAAACACCAAUCGCCGCACCAACUUGCCAAGGCUAAGGAGAAGGAGCCCUUGAAGGAAUGCAGGAAAAUUGAAGGGGAUGCCGAUGAUCUGCCGUACCCAACUGAUUACGUGGAUCGAUAUGUCUCUGCUGGAAGGUACAAUUUCUGCUUGUUUUGCUUCCUAUAAUCAGUGUAAUGAAUUUGCAUUUAAAGGAAUCUCAAAGUGUAAUGUGUUUACAUUUAAAGGAAUGUCAAGUGGCGUUUUGAGCAAUGGGGUUAUUUGUCUGAAGUUCGGGUGUAGAAAUGUAUCAUAAAUUUAGCCAAGCUUAUUAUCACUUAUUUCAAAUUUUAGUGUCAAAUUCUGUUAUAAUGUUUCCUUGUUGUCAGGUUUGUUUCAGAUUUACAUCUUUUUCUUUUUGCCUUUGCUAGAUUUUCAAUUUUGUUAUAAUGUUUCCUAGCGGGUUAAUAGCACUUUAUCAUAUUAUACUUGUAAAGCUUGGCAUGCCCGUCUUUGCUUCAAUCUUGAGGUCCAGUAGCUUUUAGUGUCAAAUUCCAUUUGACCAUGAAUUGUAGAUCAUCACCUGCUUUAAAAUUCAAAACUUGUCUGCCUGCUUUGAAUUGGAAGGAUUCAGUUUAAGUUUAAAAUAGGGAAUAAGUUGACUUACUUUGAAUUGGAAGGAUUCCGUUUAAGUUUGCCUGCUCUGAAUUGGAAGGAUUCAGUUUAUGUUUAAAACUUGUGAUUUAAGUUGUUGAGUUUAUGGCUUUCGCUUCAAAAUGCUCAUGGAUUAAGGAAAAUUUCCUGUUAUUUGAUUUAGUCCUCUCAUUUCUCGUAUGUGGUUAUGCAUCUAUUGCGAAUUCUUAGGGCAUAUCGCAUUUGUCUUUAGGCAUUCAAUUAUUUAGAGUUACCGUACUUACUCUUGCACUCUUGUCACCAUUGAUGAUCUAUCUGCCUGUGUAUUUACUUUGUUAUAUAUAUUUUGGGUCGUGUCUGUAAUUUGUACUUCUAUAGUUAAGUGUGUGGGGUUUGGCGUUUUGAUGUUUUAAGGUCAUUUAAUUGCAGAUAAAUGGUUGAAUUUUUCAGUGCAAAGUGUUAACUAGAUUUCUUGUGGGAUAUGGUCAAUGAUUGGGCAAUCUCUAUGGGAUUCGGUAUCUAGAAUUAAAGAUUACUCCAUUCUUUUCUGUUAAUGUGGAUUGAUAUGCUGUUGUAUCUUCAGUCGGUUCCCUUUUUCAGGAGGUUAUGAUGUCUUUGGGGCUUGGUGUCAUUCUACAAUGUAGUUUUGAUUGUAGGGUUUUUAUUUUUGGGUAUAUCUCUUGUAUUGCUGGUCCAUUGCUUGUUGUAUUUUGCUGUUUAGCACAUUUUAGUAAAAUUUAUCAAUCUUCUACAAAAAGCAUUAUUUUUGUAAAGUGAUAUGUAUAUAUUGUGCAUGGCCUAAAGUGUGUUUUUCCCUGUAGGCAUCUCCAAUUCAUCUAGCUGGAAGGCAAGUUUACAUUGAGAAGCAGAGACCAAACAGCACUGGAUUAGCAGCUCGAGGAAGUAUGUGCUUAAUUUCAUUAUUUUUUUCUUAACAUCUUUGAUGUGGCAAAAUUGUCAGACUUGUGAAUGCAUGAUGUUAUUCUUAAAUACUGUAUCUAUUGGAAAAACAUGAAUGUAAGGGGAUGUAUUGGGGAUGUUGUGUGGAGUCCUCGAGUGGCCCUUACGGUUGUGUUUGUCCUAAUGUUGGCAGCUGCUGCAAGGAAGUGGUGUUGCCUUCAUAAAUCUUAGAAAUUUUUUGUAGUAGAGAUAGAGAACAUACUUUUUCCCAAUUAGUCUCGGAAUCAAAUUUGCAUUGCAAUCUUCCUUCUUCUAAGAUGUCGUUUAGAUGUGCAGUACUAGCGUCAAGGUUUUUCAUGGAACCAAAUCAUUUGUCCUGUUCAUGAGCUUACUGAGUCUAUUGGCAUAGCCAGCAUUUAGAAUGUGAUCUACCAAACUAUUAAGCAUCUAUGCAUCUGUUUUCCUUAGAGAUAACAUUUAAUUUGCUCAACUUUUGGUCUCCUUACGUGGAUUUUGAAUUUUUCAACCAGGAGGAAGGGGCAGAGGCAGAGGAGGUUACCAAACUGAUGCCACAAGGGGGCGUUUUGGUGGCCGGAGUUCAAGCAGGGGUAGUUACGGAUGGAGAUUACAACAGACUGAGAGGCAAUGGUUUUCAUCAGCGUGGCAAGGCUACACCACCAGCCGAUACUUAGUAGCCUGAUGCAUCAAGCCUAAAAGACUACUUGUUGUAGUUUUUUCUUUUAUGUUUUUUUUUUGGGUCAAUUAGUUUUUUCUUUUUUGUUCGAACAUCUUGUACGUACAUUUUCAUAUAUUUUAUAAUUAAAUAUUUUGCUUGGUUAAUUCAUUAUUGUUUAGAAUUUAAUUACAAUAUUUAUUAAAAAUUUAAAACAAAAUAUUUUUGACGAAAACAUAAAAAAGGGAUUUGCGCGACGCAUGCCUACGUCGUGCAAAGACAAUAAGCCACUUUGCGCGACGCAUAUCUUACGUCGUGCAAAGCCACGAAGGCACUUUGCACGACGCAUGACUACGUCGCGCAAAGACACCUAUGCCACUUUGCGCGACGCAUGUAACCCCUUCGUCGCGCAAAGCUUUCUGUCACUGCCUUGCCGCGACGGUUUGCGCGCGACGAAGGUUCGUUGAGCAAAGUUUUGCGCGACGUUUUUUGACUUUGCGCGACGAAGGACCUGCGUCGCGCAAAGUGUUUUUUUUACUAGUGGUUGUGCAAAUUGGAGAAUUGGCUAGGUUUUGGACCAAAGCAAUAAAGGCGUGGUGCAGAUGAAAAUAAAUAAGAAACAAAAAUGCAUCAUCAAAAGAUGGAGAGAGCAAGGGAGGAGGUGGUCAUGCUGCCGUGGUCAGAGUAGGGUGAAAAACGAACACGAAAGCCAGAGGGAUGGACCAGCUGCGGCUUUGGGACCAUUAUUUGUUUAAUUAGGGUAGGGUUGCAGACUUGCAGAUGAAGACUAUUGAGGGCCAUCGAGAGAGACAUUGCAUGUAAAUAAGACUUUUGUUCAUCAAAUCCAAUGAUAACACAAUGAUGUUCAAAAAAUUAAAGAAAGAACAAAGCCACCAUCGAUAGUAUAUAGAUAUAUCUAACUCGGAAAAUGAAACUUUCUUGCAACCAAUGCACCGUACCAUAUUAUUCGUUUGAUAGACAUUUGUCAUGUAUUUAAAUAGUGAAUCAUCCAUGUAAACGGUGAAUCAUUCUUUCGAUAGACAUUUAUCAUGUGUUUAAAUCGUAACUUAAUUUACUUAUAAAUUAAUGUAAAGUUCUUCCUCCCAUUAAUGUGGGAUUUAUUCUCAACAUAUCUCUUCACGUGUGACGAAUUUUCAAGCCAAAGACGUGGACAAUACCACUGGAAUGAUGUGGAGCACGUGUGACCGUUAAACUUCACACAUGAAACAAUCCACUCCAAUACCCCGAAAAAAAGAUAUGUUUCUUUUGUAACUAAAUUAAGCGGAUGAUAAUAAAAAAUUUCGAUCCUGCACAAACAAGGAUAAAAUUUUACCCAAACAUUCAACUAACUACAGUCAAAGUAAACGUGUAAAAAAAUAUUGACUUUGUUGAUUUUAUUUAUAGAGUAAACACCUUUAUAUAUCUCACAAGGACUUCAAAGAGUAGGAUUUCUAAGAAAGAACCGAUUACAUUAAAUUACAAAAUAUCUUUUAUGCGUUAAGGCAUGCAAAAUGUGAGCUGCGUGGUGCCGGCGAGAUGGAAAAUAUAUACUAGCCAAAUUGUUAAAUUGAGUUUGAAACCACGGGCUGAGUUUGUUAAUUAUAUCAAAUAUUUUUAGCAACAAUUGAAGCAGAACACAAAAGACUGAACGAAGCUCUUCGGAGCCCCAGAGUAAGAUGGGCCAGACCCAUUUUGGUACAAACCCUAACCCUAAAAUAAAAAUCGAAAACUGAUUGACAAAUGCAUGCAAUUCAACCCUUAUUUUCGUACAAGUUCGGUAAUAUCUCCGGUGGUCAUGGUUAUGGUUCCAGGAAUUUCAGUUACAUGAUGAUUAAUCGUCAUGGUUAUGGUGUAUUCGAUUGGUCAUAUCUCCAGUGCCCACUUUAAUCCGACAUAACCUUCACCAUCUUCCGCCAUUUUCCACCCAAACACGCAUUAAUUAAUCAAAAACUAUUCCGCCCAAUUAAUUAAUUAAUCAUGAUUAAAUUCUUGUCAUAUAUUCAUGCAUUCAAUUGCAUAAUUUGUACUUGCCUCUGUAUAUUGCAGCGCAUGUGUUAGGAUCCAUCCUUGCAAGCGGGACUUUAUGCCUUGUUUUGGUGCCCCAAGCGGCAUAUUUUGGAACAUAACUAGUUGGAUCAGACGUUCGAUAUUUGGUCAUGCAGAUCAUUGCCUCUUUUGUCUUGAUGUUUGUUAUUUCAGGCAUCGCCACAGAUAGUAGAGCUGUUAGUAAUUAAUCCCUAAUAUGCUCAUACAUAUGCAUAUGUGCACUGCAUGCAUGCAUGCAGAUUGGAGAAUUGGCAUUAAUUGCUGUAGGAAUGACAAUAACUAUCGACGUCCUCGUUGCCAGGUACAUAUAUACAUAUACAUAUAGCACAUAUAUAAAAUACAAUAAUAUUGUACGUUUGGAUAUAUAAAACUAACGUACUUGAAUACAUAUAUAUGACAUGGAGCAGACCGGUCUUAGGGGCAUCGAUGGACCCAGCACGGAGCCAAGGGCCAACAAUAGUGAUGCACACAGACAAGGGAAUAUCGAUUUAUAUUGUAGGUCCAUUCGUUGGCACCAUAUAGACUCGGUGGAGUCGCCUACAAUCUCAUUCGGUUCGCUGACAAACCACUGAGAGAGUUAACUGACAAAACCAAUACUGCGGGAGUUAAGAAGAGUGCUUCCUUCAUCAAAUACGUUUCCGAAAACAAUUUUUAUAGAACUUAAUUAUCACGAGCUGGUGGUCCAAUGGUAAAAGGUGGAUUACGAGACUUCUUUAAAACUGAAAACUGGAAGUCUCUGGUUUGAAACCCACUACUAGUGUGGAAGCUAGACUUGUGGCCAAGGGGAUGCUGAAAUGCCUCUGUUAGUCUUCCCCCUCCGGGAAGAAGUGAAUAACCGUGACUUGUCGCCAAUUGUCCCCUUUUUUUAAAAAAAAAAAAUUCGUAGUUAAUUCAUAAUCAAUUAUUACGUACUGUUGUGAUGGAAUCGAUUGGUCGUCGAUAUCUUCUCCUUCUACAGCCUGCUGCUGCAUGACAUGCAUGUCAAAUAGGUCGUAUGUUGUUUGGAAGGAAGAAUAAAAAAAAUUUUAAUUUCUUUUUUGUUGAUUUCUUAAUCAGUGUUAAAUUAAAUUGUUUUUUCAUAUUUUAUUAUUGGGAAGUGUUAUUAGCACUCCAAAAAUCUUAUUCCACACUCCUCACAAGUGUAUUUUUCUUUCUAAAUAUAGAAAUUUUGGAGUGUAGAAUGAGAUUUUUGAAGUGCCAAUAACAAUUCCCUUAUUAUUUUAUGAAAUAAUUUGUAACUUUUGUGUCGUGCUUAUGAGGUAUUUUAGGUGUACAUUGAAUGCGGUCACAUGCGUGAUAUAAUACUAUUUCACGCAAAUUAUUUCCAAAAGCAUAGGUAGUUCCCAAUAAUUUCAACAGGUAACCAUAUAUAAUUGGAUUACAAUUUCCAUAACUAGUUACUCUAUCAAAAUCAUAUUUGAUUUCAAUUGAUGUGUAACCAUGCAUAUACAUAAUGAUAUAUAGCUGCCUUUAUUUAAUUAAUAUGCAUAUAAAUGUGACCUUCCUGAGAUGCUCCUUUUCAUAAACUUCAAACUAAUUAUUAAUUUAGUUAUAAACAUUAAAUAAUCGCACUUUGUUUAAAAAAGUUUAGAUCCAAAACACAUGGAGCUCCUCACAUGCGUUAGUCAUACGUUGCAUAGAGCAAAAAUCUCACAUGUCCUUCUAUUCAAAACUAUCACAUAUUUCUGACUAGCUACUUUAAUCGUUUACCAAUCGUUACAGGUGUAGUAGGAACUUGUGAAAUCAAUCAAUUGUACUAGCUAAUAUAUAUAUAUAUAUAUAUAUAUAUAUAUUCGUCAAAGGAUCUAUAUAAAUAUAAGUUGUCAAGUUAUUUUCAAAACCAUCUUAAUCGAUCCCUUUGUUUUUUAUAUAGUCUUCAAAGUUAUGGUGAUCAGCCAUAGACUUUUCCAUCUGAUAUGUCCCUAGCUCCCACCAAAUGUAUCUGGGGAAAAAACCCUUGACUCUCUCUAAUCUUAUGGUGCCACAUGGGUAAUUUUUGGUUGUCAUUGUCUUUACCAUCUUUGUAAUAUAAAUGGAUCGAUGUCACCAACAUUUUGUUUCUAAGAAAAGAAAUUAAAAUUAAAAAGCUAUACAUGUCAUAUAACAACUUGUAUUAUAGUUUAGCUAUAUUUUUCUUUCUUUGGAAACGAGAGAUCUCACAUUUAACUUCCAUAAAUAACAAGUUUGUAUAAUAUUUGUGUUGAAUUUGAUAUCUGAUUAUGUCUUAUUUUAAAGUAAAAUAUCAUCGUAUGAAAAAAAUAUGUAUGCUCUAUUUCAUGUUUGGUUGAUAUAAGCUCACUCUCACUGGGGUUAGGUGUCUAUUCUUUUCUUUUCUUUUUUGAAUUGCUAUGUAUUAUUUUCAAGUGGACGAAACCAGAGGAAUACUACCUCAACCUACAUGCUCCACUCACAAAACUUUAACAUACAAGCUUCAACAAAAGAAAAUUCAGAGAACUUAGCGAAGAAGGCUUUGGUGUAUUUAACACAAUACGUUGAAAUGAAGGAAAGCUAUUUAUUGAUAUCCCCGAUAAGUCACAAAUAUAUACAUAUACAUGAGUCAAAAUAAACAAACAAGAGGGAGCCUUCACAAAGGUUGCUUAGGAGAAGUCUCAGCAGUCGGUAGAGCCCCAGAAAGAGCAGGCAUUGGAGGGGGAUCAUUUGGAGCCUCAGUACUGGACAGAACCCUAGAAGGAGGAGCCAGCAGAGGUUGAUCAUUUGGAGCUUCAUUACGCGGUACAGCCCCAGAAGACGAAGGCAAUAAAUGACUUUGGAACAAACCCACAAAUCUCUGAUGAUCAAGUAAAACCUGACCAUCAGAUUCCUUCAUCUGGUCAAGCUUCCUCUUCAUGUUUGUAGCAUAGUCAUGUGCGAGCCGGUGCAACUGUUUAUUCUCAUGCUUGAGCCCUCUAAUCUCCUGUUUGAGACUCAUCACUUCAGCCGCCAAUGAUUCAACUUGGUGGGUUCGAGCAAAUAGGCGUUGGGCCAUGUUAGACACAGAACCUGCACACUGAAUACUGAGAGCCAGAGAAUCCUUAACAACCAACUCAUCAGACCGUUUGGAAAGUAGUCUGUUAUCUUUGGGAGUGAGAAGGUUCCUGGCCACUACCGCAGCGGUCAUAUCAUUCUUCAUCACGGAAUCCCCAACGGUAAGAGGACCAGUAGGGGAGACGAAUGAUGGACGCCAUAUGUUGUCUGGAGAAGGCGUGACUGCCUCUUAAACAAGGUUCAAGUCAAAACGACGGUCGGAUGGGCCAGACAUUUUCAAAGGUGUUGAAGAGAGAAGAGGUUGGACAAAUCAAGAUCUUAGAAGUGUAAGAAUAAUGAAGCUUCUACUGGUGGAGAUUCAAGUGUGCUUUGGAACUUAAUGCCAGCCUCUAUAAAAAUCUGCACUUGACGGAGCUUCAGAAAUCGAAGAGGCGUUUGCUUUCUCAAAAGCUGGGCUGCUCAGAGACCACGAGACGUUUACUUUCUCAAAAGUUAGGCUGCUCACCACGAAGGCCGAUCUUAGAAAUCGAAGAGGCGCUUGCUUUCUCAAAAGCUGGGCUGCUCAGAGACCACGAGGGCCGAUCUCAGAAAUCGAAGAGGCACCUACUUUUCCAGCCUUGUCAGCACCUGUCAGCUUUGCGGAAAUUAUGGGCAUUAUGUCGAAGAUUUCUGGUGAAGUAGAAAGCACAUGAAUCUUACUGUUCAAUCACCCACUUCCCACACGCAACAUUAGCUCAUGGGUACCACAGAUAACUUUGCCAAAGUUCUCUGACAAAGUUGAGACAUGUGAAGCUUGCAGCUCCCACUACACCGCUCUGACCAAGAAGGGUAAAAGAAUAGCAAAGAAACAGCACUAACAAAGUUUAGACACAUAAAUUUUAAAGGUCUAGCUACCAUAUUAUUACCCACAAGGGUAAAGGAACAGUACCACUGCUGGAUAAUUGGAAAGUCCCUGUGUUUCAACCUCUGUGCUUCGUGGCAAGAUAGACUAGCAAACAUGCCCAACCUUUUCUCACAUUCGAGAAAACACUCCCAACAAGAUUGCUUGCUCCAAAAUCGAAGAGGCACCGCCCUCCGAAUCUCGAGAGCCAGACUCCCAACAUGAUUACUUUCUCAAAAAUCGAAGAGACACCGCUAUCCGAAUCUCGAGAGCCAGACCCCUAGCAGGAUUGUUUUCUCAAAAAUCGAAAAGGCAUCGUUAUCCGAAUCUCGAGAGCCAGAUCUCCGACAAGAUUGCUUGUUCGAAAACCGAAGAGGCACCACUUUCCCAACUUCAAGAGCCGAAUCUCCUUGGAUAAAGCUUGUCUGUAAUCUUUACACGCAACAUCAGAUUUCCAGAUACCACAGACCACUUUUUCAAAGUGCUCUGACAGAGUUAAAACAUGUGAAGCUGGCAGCUCCCACUACCGUGUUAUGACCAAGCAGGGUAAAGGAAUAGCAUUACUACUUGUUGUUAAGGAGACUCCUAUAUAUGUUGACCUCCAUCCCUAACAGACAGGCAAACCUGCAAAAAUGCUCAACCUUUCCUCAUAUCUGAGAGGGCACUCCCAAAGAAGCCUUUCGAAAUAUUCAGCUUUCUUUCCCCCCGAUAAUACCUCUGCAAACAAGCUAUACUAGAGCAAGAAUAUCUCAUAUCAUCAGGGUUAAAAGCAAGAGUAUCCCAUAUCAUGUUUUUUCCCUGUCUUUUCCUUUGGCCUUGUUCUUACCUGUAAGACAAGGAGAAAGAGAGCAAUCAGUCAGCACUUGGAAUCAAGCUUCCAGUCAGGAACUGACUGCCUGGAACCCCCUACUUGAUUACUUACCUGGCAUUGCUCUCGAGUACUCAUCUUCAACAUCUUAUGCUUCCAGGGAAGAUACCGCAUCUGCCUGAGGAACAUAUUGAAGGAAUUAUUUUGAAAAACAUGUUCAUUUGAGCAACAUCAUAUAGCAUGCAAUUAACAAUUAAAGACGGAAUCAUGCUUGUAUGCACUCAAAAACAAAACAUUACCAUGAAAUUCAAAGCCUAGUAGAUUGGUGAACCAAUAAUCAACUCAAAACAAAGUGAGUUGAAAUUAAUACCUUUGUAGAUUCCUCUUUGCAUAAGCAAAGGCUAAUCACCUAGAGAGAUAGGGGCCUUCAUUCCUUGCUUCUUAGAUCCAUGGAUUUGGAUGGAAGAAUAGGUUCUCCAAGUUCCCAAAAUUGAGAACCUCUAAGUCUCUUCACCAAGGUUAGAUUGUAGAAGAAAUGAGUGACCUUGGAGUAGUAGGAUUGCUAGAUGUACCCUCCAAGGUGUUGGCCUCUUUAGAGAGAAAAUGGAGAGACAAUUCUCACCAAUUUUCCCCCAAAAUAAACCCUUUUAAUCCUUAAUCACAUUAUGAAUAUUUGGCUAUAAAGUCCUUUAUAUAGUCCCUUCAAAUAAGUGACCUAAAGAACCAAAACCCUAAUUCAUCUAACAUGGCCGGCCUACCUAGGGAUUUUUGGGCUUUUGGGCCUUUGUGAAUCUUUAUUCAUUAAGUUGUCAUACAACUUAAGUCAAUGGGCUUGACUUUCGAAGCCCAUUGGGCCUUAAGGUCCAAAACUAUCCCGAGGUCUUUAACGAACUUAUUCGUUUGAUUAAUUAACAUAUUAAUUAAUCCUUGCCAUAAUUUAAAUGAUUAAACCAUUUAAUCAUUCUUACUCAUCUCCGUUUAAUCUUCAAUCUCCACCUUUUAUGGUGUGCGAUCCAUUAGGUUCCUUUUAGCGAGGUAGUGGGCGAUUAAAACCAUUUUACAUUGAUUGUGAAUUGAAACUAUUUUCAAUUCUCCCUUUAGUGAUUACACACGUUUAGGGCUUCCACAAACCAUGGUUGACGCCUAGCAGCAUGUCAUGGUUACCCAAGCUAAUCAGAAGAGGUUAGAGAACCUAUUCAGUUCGGGAUUACAAAUGCAAUACGAUCUUUCUCUAAUCUAAUACUCUUGACCACAUUGUUUGGUUUGAUAGUUUAUUUGUUCAUGUCUACUAUCCAAUGUGAAUCUUGUGCUUAUAUGAUUUACUUGAAUGUGAUUUGGAACGCAUUCCCUAAUCUCAUUCAUACUCUGGCCAGAGAUUCUAAAUCAUAUCAUAGAGUAUUCUCCCUCAACUGUUUGAAGGUUAGAGAUCCCUUGUUGCGCAUUCACUUGUCUCCAUAGCUAAGUCACUUGACCCCAACGAUGCCGUGGACACCCCGAGGGGGUGACUUUGACAUAAUCAAAGAUCAAGGACUUAACCACAAGACAACUGUGAUGCCUCAGGUCAAAGGACUACUUUGCAUUAUCCCAACCAUGAGUUCUUAUGUGACAUGGAAUAUGAGAACUCUUCGUUGAUCACGUUCAGUGUACUCAUUCUCUAUUGAGCACCUACGUACUUGUCUUGAUGUCACACACACCAAUGACUCGAGACUAAUCACUCUUCCUGAGAGAAGACAUAGUACGUACCGAUCUUAACGGACUGUCAAUGCCCAAUUGACAAUCCUAUGAUCAGGAACAUUUAGGAUGUGUCUACGAAAGAAUGGUCUCAUGAAUCUAACUUCAUUAGAUUACAUUCUCCCAAUCACAUAUUCCUUGGACUUUAUCGUUUAAGCAUAUAACAUUUAUAUGAGACGGCUCAAACAAUAAUCUUUGCCCUUUAUAUGUAAAACUAGAUUAGUUUAACAUGUGAAAUGUCCGUAAAGUAUCAUCACAUGAUUGGCUUUAGGGCACAUUUCCAACACAUAUAGGGCAAGUGAGAAGGAUACAAGGAAGCAUGUGGAGACAAGCGUAACAGCACACGUGCCGAUACAUCCACUACUCUGUCAAAAGCAAAAGUAUCUCAUAUCAGCAGGGUCGAACGUACUAUAGAUUUGAUGGACUUGUUUUGACCCUCAAAUUCUUCAGUCGGCCUUAUACUCUGGAGGAAACCAGAAAACCCUCCAGCCUAGUUCAAGAAUAAGCCUGUGGAAAGUUACUUCUUCAAAAGCAAAAAUAUCCCAUAUCAUCUCUUCUCAUUUUUCUUCUCUUUAUCCUUCAUGCUGCCUACAAGAUAGGGAGAAUGUGAACAAUCAGCCGGAACUCGAAAUCAAAGUUCUGAUCUGGGACUGAUUGCUUGGAGCUCUGAUUGCUUACCUUGUCUGUCACCUCUUUCAGCAGAUCCCCUAGCUCGACGACUUGGAGGACUCCUACUACAUGGUUUGUAUCGCGCUUGACCAAGCCUGAAACUACAAGUAAGCUUCAAGUGAAAUUGAUACAUUACCUUGUGCAUCUCCACCAGUUAAAGAUACCACCCCUGGAUGGAGGAAGAGUACUUCCAGAGAAGAUGCCACAUCUACCUACGAGACAGAUAAGGCAAGUCAAGACGAUACCACACUCCAGAACUUAGAAGUUUCGUGAUUACGAGAUCAUUCUCCCACAAUAUUUCCUAAUGUCAUUUGUACUAAAUCAUUCACUAGUACUUACUAAAAGAGAGCUUGAACCUAUGUACUUGUGUAAACCCUUCACAAUUAAUGAGAACUCCUUUAUUUCGUGGAUGUAGCCAAUAUGGGUGAACCACGUACAUCUGGUGUUUGCUUUCCUAUCUUUAUAUCCAUUUAUAUACUUAUCCACACUAAUGACCGGAGCAAUCUAGCGACGAUCACAAAAAGCGACCGUUUUCGCUACCUAGGAUCUAUCUUGCAAGAGAACGGAGAAUUAGAUAGAGGUCUCAACCAUAGAAUACAAGCUGGAUGGAUGAAGUGUAAGAGUGCAUCCGGCGUGUUGUGUGACCGUCGUAGGUCACUGAAGCUCAAGGGAAAAUUUUAUAGGACGGCAAUAAGGCCAGGGAUGUUGUAUGGCACAGAAUGUUGGGCGGUGAAGCAUCAACACGUACACAAAAUGGGUGUAGCGGAGAUAAGGAUGCUUCGUGGGAUGUGUGGGCACACGAGAAAGGAUAAGAUUGUGAAUGCGGAUAUCCGAGGUAAAGUAGGAGUAGCCGAAGUUGAAGGAAAGAUGAGAGAAAAUCGGUUACGGCGGUUUGGACAUGUGCAAAGAAGGCCUACUGACGCUCCGGUUCGAAGAUGUGACUACGGAACAGAGGUUCGGGGCCGAAGGGGUAGAGGAAGACCUAGGAAAACUUUGGAAGAGACCCUAAGAAAAGACUUAGAGUACUUGGAUCUAACGGAGGACAUGACACAAAACCGAGCGCAAUGGUGUUCUAGGAUUCAUAUAGCCGACCCCACUUAAUGGGAAAAGGCUUUGUUGUUGUUGUUGUUGUUGGACGAAACCAGAGGAAAAAAUAGAAAAUAAAAUAGAACAAAAAUUAUUAGUGUUCUUCUAACGGACAGGAUUACAAGAACACAAUUCAAUAAACGGACAGAAAUUGAGUUUAGAGAGGCGUUGCAGACCGGUAUCUUGUAUAUGUUGGCCACGGCGGGACAUGCACAGCCCUUGCACAUGGCUCCUCCACAUCUUUGGACUUCGUCCCAUAUGUGUAUGAUAAUGUAUUUGUGACUAGUCGGCCCACCCGGAUUCUUAACCGAAUACCUAAAUUCCUACGUUUUCUAAUCUAACGGUUCUAAUCUUUUCACAAGACUAUAUUUGUUGGAAAAGAAGGUAUGGUUGGAGGAAGCUGAUCGUCCUGGGCAGAACAGAAGGCAUUAACGACGGAAAGAACGGAGGAUAUGAAGGCGUUAUCGAGGUGUCAGAAGGCAAUGAUAAUAUGAUGAUGCAAAUGCAAACCAACCAUUUUAAGCAAGUCCAACUUCACAUUUUGAUUUCGUAUAUGACUACACUAAUCACUCUCUCAAUCACUCACCAAAAAGUCUUAUGUCUCUAUCUCUCUCCUACUCUUUCUCUCUAGAAACCUCGGAAGCUUGUUAGCCAAACAACAAGAUCUAAUCUUGCAACGCAAAAAACACGAAACCAAGAUCUAAAGACAAAGACAGACAAGUGGGUUUUGUGUCCUAGAUGCAUGUGAGUGUGUUUUUGCUCCUAACACGCUUGCUUCUGAUUCCCGACUAACAUUUUAGCUCCUUCAUUCUUCAUAACCCAACUGUUUCAUCCUCUGGAAUCCAAUCCCACAGCACUGUUUGAUAUGCUUUUCUUGUAGCUGUGAUAUGGGGUUUUGACUAAGGUAAAUUCUUAACUUUUCUUGCAAUUAUUUAACUCGCUCAUUUGGGUUUUGGAUAAAUUAAUGGACUUGCUUCCCAUGUUUUGCUUGCUUAUUAAUUUCUGAUUUUGUCUCUGAAAGAUUGGCAUUUCUUUGAGGUUUUGAGGGCAGAUUGUAGUGAUGUCUGGGGAGAUAGAAGAGCCCUUUAGUUUUAGCUUUCAGGUACUUCUCUUCUUAUGCUCUUUAAUAAUUUUGUUAGUGAGAAUGCUUCUUAAAUUCUACACCAGUAUGAGAUUAACUGCUUAAUCAGGAAGAUUAUGGCCCGUUUGAUAACCGUUUAAUUUUAUGUGCUUGAUAUGAGGUUCAAAGACGGAUAUAAAUAUACGCCUAGAGGUUGAUUAAAUGGAAUGUUCACGUUAUGGUAAUUAGUAAAUCGUACCAAAAGCGCGAUGAAAUUGCAUACCGGGGUGAUUAGUGAACUCUGAUCUGUUUUUCUGAUCGCUGAUUUGCAUCCCUUUGAUUUACUUUCAGUAGAAGUGCUCCGAAAUUGGAUAUUAAUGCAUCCAUUCUCCCACAAUGUGCCAUUCUGCUACGAAUUUUCAAACUAGUGGAUGAAUUGACAAAUUAUGUUUAGUGAUUCAUUCUGUUUUGUAGUCAUCUGCUUUUAUAACAGCUACUUCUUCGAAAUGGACAGGCAGACUCUUUACACUCUGGUUCCAUAUCAUUUGGGAGGUUCGAAAACGAAGUUUUAUCUUGGGAAAAGUGGUCGUCGUUCUCGCAUAACAGAUAUGUUGAAGAGGUUGAAAAAUGCUUGAAACCGGGUUCAGUUAUUGAGCGGAAAGCUUACUUCGAAGCUCAUUUCAAGAAGAAAGGUUUUCCCAAACCAAAUUUAGUUGAGUGCUAUAGCGGUACAAGUUAUCAAGUCUGUGAAAAUGGUGUCUUGGAGAGUGAUGCGUACGGAGAAGAAUUUGAAGACGGAAAUGAAGACAACAGUUGCGCUCAAUUUGAUGAGGGCUCCGAGGGUUCAGAGUACCACGGAGACAGUCAAGUGAAUGAAUAUGAAAAGGAAGAUCCUGAAGUUUCAUUGUCUGAUCUUCAGAGGGCAUCAGAGUUGAACGAUGAAGAUAUUCUGGUCGCUAUUAAAGAUGAUAAUUCCGAGGAAACAAAUCAAAUUGGAAAAGGUUGUGACAUGUUUUCUUCAAUUAUCGAUGAACCAGAGAACAAUGUAAUUGAGAAUCAUGAUGGUGAUGCUGUGAAUGCUGAUGAAUCAUAUAAUUCUGUUAAGAUAAACCCCAAGACUGCAGCAGAUGAUGAAGUUAACAUGACGAUUGUGGAAAGUUUGCAUAGUUCUUCUUCAAAGGUAUGUUCUUCUAUUAACUCAUUUUUGUUUAGUUGGUAUCAGUAUUAACUAUAAAUUCCUCGAUUUCCUGUCUAGUUGAAGGCUGGAAAAGAAUGCAAAAUUUCCAAGUCCAGAGUAAAAUCUAAGGCCAGCAUUUCUCCGGUUAAGAGAAGUAUUUCUUCUGAGUCGUCUAAAGAUUGUACAAAGAACUCUAAUACAAGAGAAAGAGAGGGUACACGAAGAAAAACCGCCAUUCCAACUACACAAUCAGUUCCCAGGACUCCAAAAUAGAGGUAAGCAUUUUAUCGUCUUAAUGAUGUUCUUCACCCUCUACAUAGUAUAUUAUAAGCAUAUUGGUUUCUCUAAAAACGGUGUGCCUUUGGAUUCUACACGCAGGAAUCUACAAAUCUGAAGGGAAAAUUUGCUCACGAAAGUAGAAGGUAUAUAUUGGUGAUUGCAAGUAGAAAUCCUAGAUGCUUUACUGAAUGGAACCUCAUAUGCAUACUUCUUGCAUUGUUCUAGUGGUAAGAAACUUGGUGAACCUCAACCUCCUGCCGUCAAGCCUGAGUCCAGAGGACGCCAAACGGCAAACAGGUUUAUUAGAAUUUCUUACUGAAUGCUUUGAGUGUUUCUAUCUUUCAAACUGUAAAAUUUUCGUGAAGUCACCCUUCUGUAUUCCUCUCUCGUAUAGGCUUCACCAAAGAGUCAAUUUGACCAAGUCUAAUAUAAGAUCAAGUGUUGCAACUUUCAAUUUCAAAAGUUCUGAACGAGCAGAAAGGAGGAAAGAGGCAAGCCACCAUGUACUUUCUCUGAAUUUGUUGUUUCUUUAGAUUUUGGUUUCAGAUUUAUAUGGCUUACAAUGCUGAAAUUGACUUGUUCCUUUGUCCUUAUGGCUCAUACAAUCCAGUUCUUCACAAAGAUGGAAGAAAAAAUGCAUGCCAAGGAAGAUGAGAUGAAUAAGAUCCAAGCAAAAAAGCAGGUAUAUGAAAUCAUUUGAUUACGUUCAUGUGAAUAUAAUACAGAAUUAUUUCACAAAUUCAUAUUUUCGGAUGCAUCAAUGUGUUGAAAAGAUAAUUAUAUCCUUCAAACUAGUGCUGUACUUGCCAACGGCGGUUCUAAUUCCUAUUUGGAUGAUAAAGUAUAUAACUGAGGGAGAUGCAUGAUUGAUGGGUUUCGGUUAAUGUUAUUGCUGAAUUUUCCUGAAUGCAUGCUAAUGAAACUUCUCUUAAUAUUCUCAACGGGUUUCGGUUAAUGUUAUUGCAGGAAAAAGCCGAAGCUGAGAUGAGACAACUCCGCAAAAGCCUCAACUUUAAAGCAGCACCAAUGCCUUCCUUCUACCAUGUAGCUGUGAAUGCAGCGCCUGAUGGGAGCAAGGUAAAUAACUGCCAUUCAUAAAGGCAUGAACUUCCAAGUGAAUCGAUGAGUUCAAAUUUGAAAUAGAGCAUAAAUUCAAGAUUAGAGGAUGACUUUUUGUUCCACUGUGUUGCAUGGUUCACCACUUUGCCUAAAACUCCUGCGGGAAGGAUGAAUCGCUUCCGAAAAGGAAUCUAUUGAUUCUCUCCCAAUUGAUUGGACCGUAGGUGUGAUGAUUUACUUCACGGGUGAAGUCUCUGGUUCUAGUCCAGGAUGGCUCAGCUGCGCCAAGGAAAAGAAUAGAAGAAGCAUUUCACUCCUUCAUGCAUGCUCCACUUGGCUCGGGAGGAUAUAGCUCAGUUGGUAGAGCUCCGCUCUUGCAAUUGGCUCGUUGCGAUUAUGAGUUGGAUGUCUAAUUGUCCAGGCGGUAAUGAUAGUAUCUUGUACCUGAACUGGUGGCUCACUUUUUCCAAGUAAUAGGGAAGAGGACUGAAACAUGCCAUUGAAAGACUCUACUGAGACAAAGAUGGGCUGUCAAGAACGUAGAGGAGGUAGGAUGGGCAGUUGGUCAUAUCCAGUAUGGAUCAUACAUAAACAAUAGUUAGAGUCGGCAACUUUUCUAGGGUUCCCUCAUCUGGGAUCCAUGGGGAUGAAGAUCAAGUUGGCCAUUAGGAACAUCUUGAUGCACUAUCUCCCUUCAACCCUUUGAGCGAAAAUGCGGCAAAAGGAAGAAAAAUUCAUGGACCGACCCCAUCAUCUCCACCUCGUAGGAACUACGAGAUCACCCUAAGGACGCCUUCGGCAUCCGGGGGGUCGCAAACCGACCAUAGAACCCUGUUCAAUAAGUUGACUGCAUUAGUUGUCCGCUUUUAGGUUGGGUAGUAAGGAUCGAAGAAGGGCAAUCACUCAUUCUUAAAACCAGCAUUUUUAAGAACAAGGAGUCGGGUGGAAAAGGGGGGAAAAGCUCUCCGUUCCUUGUUCUCUUGUAGCUAGAUCCUUUGGAACCACAAGAAUCCUUGGUUAGAAAGGGAUUCCAACUCAGUACUUUUCCCUUUGAGAUUUUGAGAAGAGUUGAUUUUUAGAAAGCACAGUUUAAUGAAAGUUGUAAGCUAUGUUCGGAGGGAGUUAUUGUGUAUCAUUGGCCUCUAUGGUAGAAAUAGUCGGGGCCCUGAGAGGCGGUGGCAGAUGUUAGCGGUUCGAGUCCACUUAUCUCCAACUCGCGAAUUUAGCCGAUACAAAGUUAUAUGAUAGCACCCAAUUUUUUCUAUUCGGCAGUUCGAUCUAUGCUAUGCUUUAUCAUUUUAUGUUUUUUUUUUUUUGCACCAAACAGUUCUUUUCGGAAUGUGAACAAGAUUUUGAAAUGGAAAUUUGAAAAAUAAGGGCCCCGUUAACCGCGAUAUCAUGGAUUUUCUAUAUAUUUUUCAGGUUGUAUCUACCAAAUUCUCUAAAGUACAAAGCAAGUCAACAAAUCCAGGGAGUGGAGCCGCUGCAAGAUUUCCAUCACAUUCAGAGGCAGGCAAGGUUGAACCUCCCACUGCUAACGUUUCUGUAAACACAGCUGAUUUGCAUGAGGCCUCGAGAGAAACUAACAGCAUCAUGGCUGAUCCCUCUGAAACUAGUUCAGUUUCUUCAGCUACACUGAGCAGCAGAAACUUAUCCCGGGAUACUGCAACUAAAAGUGAACACCCCAGGACGAAAGGAAGGGAGAAGGAUGCUAAUUAUACGCAGAAACAUCGGUUAUUAGAGAGCGGUAAAAUGGCAAAAAGUCAGAAAGCUGAAGGGAAGCAGAAAGUGGGAGUCCAAAAAAAUGGCAGAGAGAUGGCAAGGAAGGGUAUGAAAGGCGGUGUCGGCUUUGGAAGCAGUUCAAGAAUGGGUCAUCUAACGGUUGGUGUUGCCUCAUGAAUGAACACCAAGAGAUCAAAUAUAUUCAGCCGUGCAGGAUGAACACUGCAAGCCUGAAAUUUAAUGAAAGCAAAGCUUGUAACAAACCAUGCAGACGAAGGGAUAAUAAUAUAUGGUUGUGCUGUUUGAGGGAGUAGAAAAAUUGGAAGCCUAGGCCCUCUUGCCACCUUUAUAAAUUAAAAGUUUUAUUAAAUUUAUUCAUCGUGUGAUGAAACCAGGUCAUCUUCCAAUGUAAUCAAGCAUCUUGAAAUGGAUUAAUGAGUGCAUUCGCUCUUAAAUUUGAUGUCUCGAAUUUGAUUAAUCCAUCUUCUUCAUCAUCGCUUGUAUAAAAAUUGUGGCAUGAAAAGUUGGAGAAACUUGACCCAUCUUUACGGAUUGGUGGAUAAAAUCCCGGAUAUCUCAUCUUGAGAUUUCUCCUUGAUAUUUUUCAUGCCCAUGAAACAUUCGGCAUUCUAGAAUUCACACAGUCAACUCCAAGUAGUGAAAUAAUACUUUUUUGUUAUCGUUGUUGUAUGAAACACUCAGAAAAGUCACUAACUAGUUUGACUCCUAACUUCAAUUGUUUCAGUGAAGUACUCAGUUGUUUAGAUUCGGUUGUAAGUUAGAGUUCCGUUCCUUUUGUUGAUGGGAGAGUUACGUGCACGGCAAGUGCACCAUAUGUUAGGGCAAAACCGUGUUUUGCGCGAAUAGUUUGACUCAGAUUUCAAUUUUGGUCAAUGUAGUUUUUUUAAUUGUUUCAAUCAGGUCCCUGAAGAAACAAGUGAUGAAAAGUUGGAAUCUGGUGCUUAAAAGGUUGUGUGGGUUGGAAUGUCGUAGGGGAGAUAGAUAUACUCCAUACUCCCAUCUGUCUCUACUUUUGACUCUAAAUAGUAAAUACCAAACAUAAGGCCCCUACCAUGAAUUAAGCCUACCUAUUACCCUAAUAGAUAUUGGAUUAUACUUAUUGCGUUUGAUUCAUGGUUGUAAGAUCAUCUCCAGCUAAGUACCAUGUCUUAUAUUAGACCGUAAAAUUGAUAAAUAUAAUUUCCAAUUAAAGAGCUAAAAAGAAUCACGCUAAAGAAAUCAGACCACAUUUAUCCCUAGGCAGCCUACUAAUAACCAGUUCUCCGUCUAUUAGUUAAAUAUUUUUUUUUCUAAAAACGCUUUUAAUCAUUUAAAAAUAUUUCUUAAAUAAACUGUUAAUGAUAAUGAGGGUCCUUCACCGUAUUUAAAAAUUUGAAAUGAAGACAAAGGUGAAAGGAAGGAGCCAGAGGAGGAUAAUUAACUAGGAAUCGUGAAGUUUCCAUGGACCUGCCGACUGUAAAAUUAAUGAUAUUUUCUGUCCUGUUGUGAAAAGAUAAGCAAAACAAGUGAUGUAAUAUACAAAUUGGUGGUUACAAAACGUCAAAACAUACUCAAAUCAUGCACCUUAAGACAAAAGAAAACGAGUAUAAUAUCGUCAUCUUCAUCUUCUUUCUUAUCACUUUUCUGUUUCUCUCACUUCCAGUGCCAAUCCUCAAUUUACCUAAUCAUAUUUACAACUAAAUGUAUUGAUGGAAGAGAUCAAAUGCAUAACAUGUGUUUGUAAUCUAAAGCGUCUGGACGUUUACUCAAGAAUUUUUUAAAAAUUGAAUAUAAUAUCAUAAAAAUACUUAACAUGAUUAAUUUCAUUAAACAAAACAUGAUGUUUGAUCAUUCCAACGAGAGAUAAUUGUGACUAAGCUAAUUAAUUCAUUAAAACAAGAUGGCUUUUUAACUAAUUUUACAGAAAGUUAAAAAAGUAGACGAAUACAACGAAAAGAUGGGUGGUGGCGAUAGUGUUGAAGAGAGUUGACGAUCUUCUGAUUACAGAGGUUGCCGACGAAGCGUCUUUGUUUCCACGAGCGCCGUUUUUGAAGUAGAAUGGAAAAUAAGGUAAGAUGGGGUCAGGAGGAGGAUUAGCACCAUAACCAUAACCACCGUUAUCAGUAGACGGAGGAGGGUUGUACGGGUAAUUUCCAGUUGGGUUGUUGACGACGGCCGGGGGCGGGUAUGACCCGGUUUGGGACGACGGAGGCGAUGGAGUUGUGGUGGUCGUAGUUGUUGGAGUAGAAGUGCUCCCGGUGCCUGUAGGUGGAGGAUAACAUGGGUAUGCGCAGGGAUUAUCUGAUAUUGUUAUUGCGGGAAAGCUGAGCAUUAUUGAGAACAAAAAGAGAGCUGACAGGAUAAGUGGGUUUAUCUUUGCAGCAGCCAUGGGAGAUCGAAUUGAAUAUGGUGUGGGAUCUUAGGGAAAUGAAUGAGAGAGGAAGGAAAAGGAGAGGUUUGGGGAAGAAAACAAAAUGUGAAAACGAGUGGAGUUGGUGGAGGUAAGAGAAGAGCCCUUGUCAACUUUUUGCCCAUUUUUCUUUUAAUUUUACCCUUACUUUUGAAUACACAAUGAUGACAUGAGAAGGGUAAAAUAGUAAGUUUGUAUUUUAUGAACUUUUCCUUUUUUUCCUUAUUUUGCCCUCACUUUUGAUACACAAUAUUUACAUAAGGAGGGCAAAAUAGUAAUUUUAUAUCGAAAUAUUUACAUAAGAUAAAACAUAUGCACUUAUUAAGCGAAAUUGUCUCACCAUCAUUUUUUUCAUACACGUAAGUGAAAUCAUGAUGUUUUUUGGAUAGUUUGACUGAACUGAAGCGGUUGCGCUUGAGGAGAACGUGGGAGGAGAUGAACGGUUGAAGAGGCUUUAAUUUUGUACCUUUUGACAAAAUGACAAUCAUAUCCCUAUUUUUUCUAUUUUACCCUUAUUUUUUUAGAAAAUGACAAUUAUAUACCUAUUUUGUUCACACACACAAAAUGUGUGCUCUCUGCUAGUACCAUUAGAAAGAAAACUUUGAGAGUCUUGUCAUGACUCAAUGAGUAAAUAAAAAGAAAGAAAAUAUAGAGGGGGCCAAAAGGGGGACUGUUGAAAAAGCAAAUUCUAAAAGUUUUAGCAAUUUUUCUUCAAUACUACAUAACAUUGAAUGAUACAAAAAUUGAAUAGCUGAGGUUAAACAUAAAAAAUUCUAAGUAGUAGUAACAAUCAAAUCCAAUAGCUAAAAUACCCGUAACAAGGUAUAAUAUGUAGCAUUGAAACCUUACCCUAGUUUUAGACCCUGUAUAGCUAGAAGAUGUCACAUUCAUACACCUUUGUUUUAUGAAUAUUUUUUUUUCCGUUAUACGAGAAGUUUAGAACCCUGUAUGUAGUCUUUUUUUACCUAUCAUCCUAAUUACCUUCACUUUUACUUUUAAACUUGGCUAUUAGUGUUAUUUAAAAUCGAUAGUAGCCUGCUAAAUCAACAAAUUUUGAAGUUAAUUAACUUGUGCAAGUGAACAAACUUCUUUAUACACACCUCGUAGUUCUUGGAUGUCAACUCAUUUCGAACUUCCUAGGCCUUACGUUAAAAAAAAAAACAUACAGUUCAGUUAGGUUAAAAUCACUAAUCAUUCUUUUUGAGCUCAAACGUCACCCGAAUUUGUAUAAUUUGAAGUCAUGGGACAUUUGGUAAAUCCUAAUUUACUUGAGUUUCUGUUGACCCUAGAAACUACAGAGCCUACGUGGCGCGCAGGCCGAGUAUUUUCUAAGCUAACUACGUCCUUCGGUGAUUGCGGGGCGUGCCAACUCGUCGGCCGAGCUCGGCCGAGGAGUAAAUUUGUUGAUGUUGCGUUGAGCGCGCUGAUGACUUCUGUGUCUUGCGAUUGCGGCCGAGGAAGGAACAAUUCUCGGCCUCUUGGGUUCUAGAGCCUGAAGACAAGGCUGCUAAAAUGCGAAGUUCACGAACCGAAUUCGGCUUUCAACGUGCCGAAUACAAUAACCUGGUAACACCUCACUUCGCCGAGAAGGCUGAUGAGAUGACCUCGACCAAUAAGAAUUCGGAAAUCCUUCUCGACCGAGACUUGGAUAGGUAACCAGUCGUCCUCGCCGUAGUGCUGUUGAUGCCAACGGAAGAUGCUGCGAGAUCGGCUGAUUCUACGGUGACAGAGCUAUCUAUGCCGACUUAAGAUAUCACCGGUUGCUUUCACAGUGCUGUUGAUGCCAACGGAAGAUGUGUCAGCGAAAAAGAAAAAGAAAAAUCACAAGUUGUGAGAGUUUGCGCAAGGCAAUUUUGUAUUGAUUUUGUAGGGCUCUCCUGAUGCACAGCGUCCCCUAUUUAUAGUACUGAACCUUGAGUCCGAGUUUACAUCCUACUCGGACUAGGUUUCCAUCUCCGGAUCACCUCGACCAAUCCUACACCUACUAGGACUAUGAACCUAGUCCUUAGCUAAGCUGGAUUAGUUUCCUGGAUAUCCGAUCCCGUCGAGACUCCCCAUUGCACUAGGAUUCGUCCUAACCGCCCUAGGUUUGGACUCCCACGGGUUGACCGAUCCAUGGUCCUUUUGCCGCCCGGCCUCCUGGGCCGAGAGUGAUCCUACCCUCGGCCCAAACUAUUAUUUUGGGCCCAAACAUUGCCCCCUCGCUUCUGAGGUCCUCGGCCUGAAACCUUCGGCCGAGUUUCGGCCUUGAAGAAGCGAAUCUACCACUCAGGAUCCUAAUACCCGAGUUCCAAGGCGCAUUUAUUGAGCACGAUCGCACGAUCUUGACCCUGCUAACCCACUCGCCACGUGGCGUCUUCUAACAUGGCCAAUCCCCCAUAAUGACGUCUAAGGCGUGCGGCAGCCUGAACCGUCUUGCCAUCACCAUGUAAAAAGACCUAGUCUACCUAGGUUCCUUAUCCCAUCAUUAUCCAAGAUCAUGACUUUAAAAUCAUCAAAUCCCCAAGUUUUUUUUCAAUCUGCACGUUCAUUGCUAAACAUCCAAAUUAAUUUGAACUGUACCUCUUACUUGAGGAUAUAAUUUGCAUCAUAUCCAUCCCGUUUAAGAAUAUGUCAAGAUAAUUCAAAUUAAAAGAUAAUUAUGAUAAAACCAUAAUAUUAUCUUUUAACAAAAAUAUUUUCACUUUUCCAUCCGACGGCUGAGAACUAUGUUUACUCUACGGUCUCGAUUACACGGGCCGAUGAUGUAAAUUUGGGUCCAAACAGUUUCACACUAGUUAACUAUAGUGAGCCCCAAUCACUUGGGGAGAGCUUAGACGUACGUAUUGGAGGAAAGUUAGAGGAAAUUGUGUGGGACUGGGCUAGCUAACUAUUAUUGUAAUUAUCUGCAAUUAUUGGCCUUGCGUAGUGAGGGUGCACGUCAAAGAUUAAGAAAUGUCAUAUGAUAGCAGCCUUACAUGACUGAAACUCAAUCAUUUUAGUUUUGGGAUAAAUUAUCACUUCCUAAAAUAUAUUUCUUUGCUACCUGUCCCAAGUAAUGUUUUAUGUCAUAACUUAUACUUGUGAUUCGUCCCGAACCAUUGAGUCAUUCUGUGAUGAUUAUAUACUUGUGAAUUGCUAACUAGAAGGAAAUAUGUUUUUGCUGAGGCAAUAGUUUCAAUGGCUUGGAUGAAAACAGAUCACUUAAACCAACCUGCAGGAUUUAAUUUGAUCAAUGUUUGAGAAACUUACAUUUAUUUUGUUUUGGUGAAAAACCCUAUAGUUGGUCAUCUCUGCAAAUAAAUUAAUAAUGCUUUAUUCAUCUCUCUCCCAAUUUCGAUGGAAUUGUAUCCUGUUCCCUAGCUAGCUUCUUCAAACUUGAAACUUGUGUUAAUCUGCUAUAUUAUUGGAUCUUGCCAAACUAUCGAAAGAAGCCGAGUAUCGAAGAGAUCACUAGUGACUAAUGAGUUGUUCAUUUGAUUCUUCACUAUAUAUAAAAGGGGACAUGAUGAUUACAAGGAACAUUCUUCUGGCAUAAAGCUACUGGUUAGGUAAAAGCGAUAAAGUAAUGAAUAGAAGUAGAUUAUGUUCAAAAUUCGAAACGCUACUGUUAGAGUAAGUCCAACCCUAAAGAUUUUACGCCAGCAUCAAGCACAUUUAUCCACUCAAGUGAACAGUGAUAUACCACAAUGAACAGUAAUAGGUCAAUUUUAUUAAAAAAUUAUUAUUUUUUAUUAUAAAAUAAUAAAAAAUUAUUAUUUUAUUUUUAAUUUCUAACUUUAUAAAAAAAAAAAAUUAUUAUUAAAAUAUUAUUAUUUUCUCAUCUUCCACACCUCCUUUCCCUUCCAUUUCUGCACGCCAUCCACCCCUGCACUUCCUACAUCUCAUGCAUCUCCUCACCUCCUGCAUCUCCACAUCUCAACAACUAACUCCUCUACAACAUCUCCACACCUCCUGUCCUUCAACGCCGUCGAUUCGUCCUCCUGCAUCUCCACACCUCUGACGUUGUCGCUUCGUCCUCCCGUCGUUCUCCCUCCGUGGUUCCUUCCCUCUCGACAUCCUCUCCCGCCUCGACCAGCUCCGCUCCUCAGCCUCCACAACAACUCCCUCUCUGGCGCAACUCCCUCUCUGACGUCAUAUGCCCUCCGACGCCACGCUGACGUCAGAUAGGCCGGUCCCAAGGUCUGUCGAUUUUAGGCCGGCCUGUGGACUGGCUUAGGCUGGGUGCCAGUCGAUUUCACGGGCUGGAGUGAAUUGACAAGGUGCCAGCCUGAUUUUUUGACUGGGUGCUGGGCUAUUCCACCUCCGGUGGAACUGCUCUUAGGUAAAAGCGAUAAAGUGAUGAACUGAAGUAAAUUACAGGUUCAAAAUUCGAAACCUCUAAUAUUAUAGGAAAAAAAAAACACUAGUCCUUCAAGGCAUGCAUGUCUUUAAAUUUUAAACUACAAAAAAUAAAAAUAAAAUUUAAAGUCGCUUUGGCCGUGCGUAUAUGUGCGACCAUAUGCAUGCGUAUCUAGCAAAUUAUUGUCGACAGCCACCAGCUAAAUUCCACACCUAACGAUGUUCUUCUAAAUAAGCAUAAUUAAUAUUUGUGAAAAAUAUUUGAUAAGCAAAUUAAUCAUGGAAAGAGACAGACAGGUGUAGAAAGAUGCAAUUGAAAGGCUUUUGAAUAAUUCCGAUGAUUUUUCUUUGCUGCCACGUAGUCAAAGAGCAAACUUGAAGGCACAACCGCACAGACGGAAGCAAAAAGUGAGCAGAGGUUGAGAAGUAAUUUUGACGAACAUGAACAAUGCAACCCAACAUAUAUAAAAUUCGAUCACUCACUAAAUAACAUGAUUACUAUGAUUUUUGUAAGAGAAUUAUAGGGUUUACCAUUCUAUUUCUUACACCUAAGACAGAUUCAUCCAUUAUUUGGUACCCUGCGAUUUUAAAUAAGCAAACCCCUUUGACAUGGUAGUUACAACUACCAUUUUUUUUUAAAUGGACAAGUUGGUGGCAGUCUUUUUUUUUUUUUUUUUUUUGUGACCGUGAAAAGUCACAGAGGCAUUGCAGUCUCUUCAUGGCCACCAUCAUGUGAAUCAUUAGUGCCAAGAAUCGAAUUUAGGAUGUGUCGUGUGAAAUACGAACCCAAAAUUUAUCCACAACUAUUGAACCACCCCGUGGUGGUUAGUUAUAGCUACCAUUGAUUCUACUAAAGUUAUUAGGACCAUAAGGACCCCCUGAACAUCGUGCCUUCUAAAUCGCCCUAAUAUGAUGAUGAUGAAUUUAAGUUGGACUGGACGAGCACACUAUUUUGGCCAAAAUUUAAAAUAAUUUUGCUUACCCAAUGAUAUGCAAUUAUUUAUGUUUUCUAUCAAUAAGAAAUCUUCAAUUUUUAUUUUAAAAAGUUAGAUAUUUGGGAUGAAUUACUUGGUGGAAAUUCACUCUCUCAACAAUUUAUUGACUAAUAUCAAAAUUGUGUUUUCAGCAAGUAUGAUGAAAGUGUUGCAAUCUUUUAAGUGUGAAUUUUGGGUAUUCGAAAGGAAUGAUGCUUUGCUUUAUCAUCACCUAUAGAAAGAGGUGAGCUGUGAUGUUAGAAAAAGUCCUUGGGAGAACAUGUACAAUUAGAAACUUCCUUUAAAACAUUUAUCUAUCUUAUAACUUUGAAAUUGAAAUCUAUAAACGUGGCUGUAAAUAAUAGAAUGGAUUUGUCUUUUUUACACACGUAUGAUGCUAGAUGAGAAUCAUGCAUCACCUUUUUAUCUUAAACGUUUUCUUUUCAUCGAAUUAACGUCAUAAGAUAUACAUAUGUAAAUUAAGUCAGUUAAUUAGAGUAAUAAAUGCAUUUCAGCAUUGCUUAUCGUUUCUUCUUUACUCGAAAUCAAAAUGGGUUGGUCUUCAAUUUCAUGAACAUUGAUUUGAUGAUUUACCAUCAAUCUGUUAUGUUUGGUUGGAUGGUUGGUGACUUGGUUAACCUUAUCAAUGAGCUGCCAACUUGGAUUUCCUAGAGCCAAUCAGAGACUUGCACGCGACCCAUAUAAUUAAGGAAUCACAAUCCUUACUAAAUUAAGCACUGGAUUUAUCUCUGUUUUUGUCACAUCUUAAUAUGCAAUUUCUAACUCUAAUGAUUUUAUCCAGACUCUAGAGCAAUGCAUUAAAAAACCAGUCAGCACAACUGCCACUUCCAAUUGGUGCAUCCAUGAAUGGUGCUUAGUAGAUAAUGGCAACUAGCUAAGUCUUAAUCAAACUUAAUUACCAAACCUGCCCUAGGAGACUAUUUAAAGUGAUGAAAAUUGACCGACGACCCACCAGUCGUUGGUUGUUUAUAAAAUUCAAGAUUAAUAUGAUGUUGAAAAGAGAGAAUAUUUUGUUACUGUCUUCAAAUGGUCGUAAUGUUCGUGAUUUUAUUUAUUAUUAUUAUUAUAUACGUUUAAAUUUCAAGAUCUAUAUACAUAGAUAUAGAUUUCGAAAUUUAAACUUUUAUAAUUAUAAUAAAUAGGAUGUAAGGCGGUGAAGAGAGGACGAUGAGUAAAAAUACUUCUAAAAAGAAAGCAUGGGACCAUAGUUUGGUGAAACCGAAGUUGAUCUUUCUUUUACAAGCACUGAAGCAGAUGCACUUUUCGACAUUUGACACGUUAACGGAAUGGAAUGAAGUCUGACAUCAAGAUCAAAUGGUCGGCAUUUUUUAGCAUGUCACAGCGACCGGCCCACGUACCCAAAUUUGACAGUCCAUGUGAACCUUCGUGAUAAUUGGCUAUGAUGUGAACACAUCAACCGACGAAAGAAAUUUAUGUGCAAUCAGAACAAAACGUCAAAAUGCGUAUCGUUUUUGUUUGAAGAUUGAAUACCACCUCAACCUUCUGAUUACAUCAAGUUCUUCUCUAAGAACAUUAAGUUUUGUUAGGGUUAACUCAUCCUCAAGAACAAUCUCGAUCACCCUAAAUUUUACUUGGUGUACGACGAAAACUUUAUCGGUUUAUAUUUUUUCUGUCAUGAAUUUAUUUAUUUUGAUAAUCAGAGUUAUUAAAAUCAUUGUUCUAAAAAUCUUCGUCUAGACCUUACUUAGACACUAAGACGUUAAAUCUUUACCCACCGCUUAGCCCUUUUAUAACUUUGUUGAAAUACUGUGUGUCGACUUUUUUAAACCUUUAUGGAAAAGAGCUUAGUUUGCAUGCCUCAGAAAGUUGUUGUGCAUUGUAUGUAUUUUAUUUUAUCAACGGCCCUUUCACAGAUUGCGAAAAUUGUGUAUUUUGGUUUUGGAUUGCAUAUUGUAUUGUCUACUGUUCGCAUCUGAUGACCAUUUUCUCAUUAAAAAUGAAUACACCCAACUAGUACUCAUGUACAUACAAACGCAUCAUUGUCGUUAUAUUUUUUCAAAAUUUUAAUUUUUUAAAGCACUUGGGUAGUCCAACUGUAUAUUCAUUAGCUUGUUAAGUAAGCAAAAAUAGUAUUUCUCCAAUUUAAUUCUAACCGUUCGUUUUCUGUACAAUCGCGGAGUCCAAACUAUUGAGACUAUCAUAGGAAGUUUUCUAACAUACGCAAUUGAAAAAUCUGUGGACAAAAUGCACAAGUUCUGCCUUGAAUCACAUUCAUAGUCGAGUCCACAUAGCACAUGCCACGUGGACACAUGAGCUUACCCCUUACCUAAGCUACAAGCACAUCAGACGUUAUAUAAUUAGAGGGUCCACAAAUGAAACGAAGUUUUUUAAUUAAGACAUCAGUGGAAGUGCAAGCUGGUGAGUUGGGUUGUCGGAUCCAUACACACUCAAUCAAGUUCCACAGGAUCGAUCGCAUCGAUUACGAAAGCAAUGAAAUUUCAAUAUUAAUUUUUAAAUUUUCGUAAUUUAAAUGAAUUUAUUAUAAUAUAUUGCUAAUAUAAGCCAAAAAUAUAAAAUAAUUUGAGAGCAAGGCACCAGAAUUGAACGAAAGAAAACAAAACUUAUGAGAUUGGAAAAAUAAAAGUGAUUAUGUACUCUAAUGCUAUUCAUAAUAAAAUUGAACUUGAAAGAUUUUAUGGAAGAUUAUUACACAAUUGGCGAGAUAUGAGAUUAGAGCAAGAAUUAACAAAAUUAUUAACCAAUCCUUGGGCCCUUAAUAGUUUCCUGGAUUACAAAAACUGAUAAUCCUGCCUUCAAACUCUUUAUCCUUCACUAUAACACCCAGAAAUUCAAUUUUAUCUCCCUUAUAAUCAUCU